UUCAUUGUAAAUGAGAAGAGUACUCAAGACAUAUUUGGUACUCUCUUUUGAAGGACCAUAUUUAAUAUUAAUUUCUUUCAAUCUUGUUCUUUCUAUUCUUGACAAACUUUUAAAAUAAAAAAUGAGGUAGCCUAACCAUUCUUGCAACUGAUUUGUGGUGCCAAGAAACUCCAAUUCUGUUGUCUUAAAGAUUCUUGUUGCAGUAAGUUGCUGGGUCAUGUACUAGCAAUAGAGUGGUUCGGGAGUUUGUACAAGGAAUACUUCUCUGAUUUUUAACUUGAAUUACUGUAAGUGCCUUUGUCCUUCACCCUUGAGGUCUGGCUCGAGUCGUGAAGGGGAGGCUUUGUGGGAGGUUCCAGGUUCAAGUCCCAAUGGAGACAAAGAUAUACCUAGCAAAAAAAAAAAAACACAAAGAGUGCUUUUAUCUUUCAUAAUUUUAUUUUAGUAAUUUAGUUUAGCAAAAUGAUGUUAGACACUAACAAUUAUCAUGGUUAAUUUUGAUUCUAGAAACCUUGAACACAUUUUUUUUCUUUUUGUAAUGUUUACAACUUUAUUUUUAUUUUUAUUUUUAUUUUUGAGUUAAUGGAUAGCAUAACAAUCUUUUUCUGUUCUUUAGUUUUCUUCUGACAUUUUACUGCAGUUUUUUAAGGGCCUUAACAUCACAGCAGAUCAUAAGAAAAUCUUCAGGAAGGCAUUUCAUACUUAUUAUGAUGCUGCUGCUGAGCUACUUCAGGCUGAGCAUACGGUGAGAGUUCUGCUACCAACUAUAGCUUGUUUGUUAUAUUGUAUGCUGAUUGUUGAACUAUAUUACCUGACUUCUUUUGAUAAUCUUUUUCCAUCAUACUAUUGUUUCCCCUCAUGCUAUAUCUUUCUUACUUUCUGUCUUAAUAUAAGUCACUUCGCCAAAUGGAGCAUGAAAACGCAAAAAUCCUAAAUGCCAAAGGGGAGCUUAGUGAUGAAAAUGUUUCUUCAUAUGAGAAGCUGCGGAAGUCUUAUGACCAUUUGUAUCGUGGUGUCUCAUCGUAAGUGUUUUUCUGAUUCUAUUUUCCAUUUUCUGGUAUCUAUUCAAGGCAUAUUGUUGAGUGGUGGUUUGAAACUGUGGGAGUGAGAUGUACCCCAGAGUGACUGCAAAAAUCUCUCAGGAUUAUUCUUGCAAUGAACCUAAAAUAAUUUGAAGAAAGGAAAUUAGUGUAUAACUUAGCGUGAAAAAUAAAGUUUGAGAAGGAUCCCCCUGAAAUAAUUGUCUUGAAUGCAUCCAUUUAAUGGACAAAUGGAAGUUGGGGCAACCCCAGACAAACCAAGCCCCAAAUGAACUGAUUCAGAUUUAGGCCUCCUGUACCUGAUGAGUGUGCAUCCAACUGGAUUUGUACCCCACUAAAUCUAACUCAACAAAGCGAACUCAUAAUCCAACUACAUGGGUUCAGCUAUUGGAAUUGUUUUACACCAUUCAGCUUUAUGUAUUUCCAUAUCUUCUGCUCAAUGUUUGCCAAUCAUGUCUUCUUCCACUGCUUCAGUCCCCAUGCUCUUUUUCAAUCCAUUGUUUCCUUUUGGUCUUUUCUUCUUUGAUAGGUAAUUUUUUUUCCUUUUGGUCUUAAGGUCUAUAAAAUUAUAAUUUUAAAUAUAAUUUGUUUGGCCCCAAAUAAAUGGGUAGGGAUUUUUUUAGAUAAUAAACAGAUAAGGUUUGAGUUGGGUGAUGUUGACAUGAAGUCACUUGAGCUCAAUCUGUUAUCUCUAAACUUACAAAUAUAGAGGGGUGAAUGGUCAUUGACACAGGGUUUGUGCAUGUUUUGAUGUCAGCUAUACAGGCUGCUGAUGUUAGCAUGGAAUGGUAGUAGUGUGAUUAGGGAGUUCUGUUCUUUUUCUUGCUAUAUAACUUUGCUACUGAGUGCAUUGCGGAUUCUUUGAUUUCUGGAUUUUAAUUGAAAAGAACAAAGUAUUUCAAUGAGAAGUAAGACAAGAAGUGGUUGGAUUUAUGUUGGGCUCAUUGGGGUUUUGAGGGUUGGUUACCUGUUGAACAGUUUGAUCUCUUAGCCUCAUUAUGUUUCACUUGAAGUGGACAUUAUCCUUGUACCUAAUUCUUUCCUAAUAAAACAGUUUCUCUUGUCUCCUAUUGAAAAAAGAAUGAUAAGUGGAAAAAUGGAGAAAGGAAUAGAAAUAACUUGAUUCCUUCAACUAUGGACUUUAGAUUCUCAUAGUUAGUGCAUCAACGUGCGGAGAAACUAAGUGGAGGUAUGAUGAUAAAUUUUGUAACUGUGUACAAGGGUAAAAGACACUUUCAUCGUCUUUUGUAUUUUAAGCUGGUGGCAAGAUCAAUUUAAAUUGGUAUCAGCUUUUACCACGAGCAAAAGCUAGUCUCAUUUGGUUGAAUUAUUGAAAAAAAUAAAGAUGUUAUUGGUUUUAAAUAACUCAGAAGGAUGUAACUUGGUUAUUAUUCAAGGGUUUCAGUAAAUCACUGCCUCAUCAUGACAAAGAUAGUUACAAUAUUUUGUGUGUUGGUAGUUAACAUGUGAAGAAGAAAAGGAAUUUGCUGGGUGAUGAACCAGAAGAUCUGAGCAAUCUUUUAAGAUAUAACAUGAGUGAUUGUGUCAGUUACAAUUUUUAAAAACAUGAAUCUAAUAUCACACAACAUCAAACUCUCAACCUAAAAAAGUUCAUAUUGGUUCUAGAAGACCAUAACAGCUGUGAGAAAAGUAUUGUACUGAUUCAUAGAGAUUUAAUGAGUACAUUCCCCUUUAAACAGUAUAGCUAAUAUCCAUCAGAUAAUAGCUCUGCUAGCUUAUUCCUGAAAAUUGAUGGAAAUCUUCUUUAUGGUCCAUGUUUCUGAAACCUUCAAAUGUUUUACAAUGUUAAUUCAAAAUGCCCUAGAAUACAUGUUUCUCAUAGUGUUUUAUCAGGUGUCAUUUUAGGGUUCCUUCCUGCUUCAAUAUCCUUUUCCAUAUCCUGCCCCCGCCCCUCUCCCUGUCUUCUUUUGGCUUUUCUCUAAUUUAUGUGUAAUUGAUUUUAUUAGUUUUCCACUUUUUUCUUAUAAGAAUUUCAUAUCACAGCCUAGCUGAAGCACUUGAUAUGCAACCUCCGGUGAUGCCAGAGGAUGGUCACACAACUAGAGUCACAUCUGGAGAAGAUGUCUCUUCUCCUGCUGCAAAAGAAUCUUCUGCUCUUGAAGCAGUGUGGGAUGAUGAAGAUACAAGGGCUUUCUAUGAAUGCUUACCAGAUCUCAGGUUUGUUUUGGGUGGAUUAUCUUUGUUCAAAUGAUGGUUAUACAUGUCAAUAAUUAUAAUCAUUUUUGUUGGCUGGGUUGCCUUUUAGAUGAUGGCUCUUGGCAAAAUACGCCUACUGAACUACACUAUCUGUGUGUUCUAUGCAGAGCAUUUGUUCCUGCUGUACUAUUGGGAGAAGCAGAGCCCAAAGUGAAUGAGCAAUCUGCAAAGACACAAGAGCAACCAACUGUAAGGAAUCAAUGUCCUGGAUUUUGUUAGAGGCUUUACGUUUCCUAGAGUUAUCCAUCACACAAAAAUUGUCUGUUUUUUUUUUUUUUUUUUUUUAAAUUAUAAAUAUUUGUGCUUUUUUAUUUUACUCAUAUAUAAACAUGAUUUUGCCCCAGAUCUGCUCUUUUUCUUUUAUUGACCAAAAAAAAAAAUAGUAGUUUCAUCAUUCUGGGUUAAGUUCACGUCAUGCCAUUCCCCUUUAUUCUAACCAUAUUUGCUGGGAAUUUCAAAAUGAUUUUGUAGUUGUCUUGAAAGAAUAGUUGGAUUUUGCAACAAGUGCGCAUGACUGAAUUUCAGCAUAUUUCCUAUCUGGUCCAGCUCCCAAUCAUUGAAAUCUCUAGCCAAUCUGAGAUUCCAACCUCCUUGACCCAGACUAGAGUCCCACACUUCACUUACUUUGGCAUUCCUAUGACCCGCCAAGGUAAACAGCUGUGGGAAAAUUUGAGAAAGCGCCUCAUUGCCACACCACUUAUCCGUCCAGAACAAAACUCUGGUCCCCUUCCCUACCUUAAAAUCAAUGCUCUCCCAGCACCAAUCAGCUUCCUUCAUGAUCUCCUUCCAUAAUCCCACUCCAUAAGGCCCACAAACUUCCUUAGUCCUCCACCCACACUCCUUUUGACCAUACUUCACCCCUAUCACCAUUUUCCAAAGGUUCUCUUUCUCAUAGGCAUAUCUCCACACCCAUUUGCCCAGCAAGGCUUUGUUCAAUAAAUCUAUCUUUCGGAUGCCUAAUCCUCCCUCCUCCUUAGGGCUACAGACCACCUUCCAUUUAAUUAAGUGAGCUUUCCUCUCCAAACUUCCUCCCCCCCAAAGGAAAUCUCUUUGGAUUUUCUCAAUCCUUUUUGUAACAGACUUAGGGAUGCGGAUAAGGGAUAGAAAGUAGAUGGGUAUGCUGGCCAAAGUACUCUUGAUAAGAGUAAUUCUACCCCCCUUCGAGAUGUAUUGUCUUUUCCACUGGGCUAGUCUUCUUCUCAUUCUCUCUUCCACCCCAUCCCAGGAAGAAGAGGUUUUAUGGUGGGCUCCAAGGGGCAGCCCCAAAUAAACAGUGGGUAAAACUCCCAAUCUGCAUCCUAGUUCAGCCGCCAGCUCCUCCAAUUCAUCCACUUGCCCAACAGGAAUUAGGGCACUCUUAGCAAGAUUAAUUCUGAGGCCCGAAGCCGCCUCAAACCACGCCAAGACCCAACUUAGAUUGGUUACUUGCUCUCUUUUUGCUUUGCAGAAAAUGAUUGUGUCGUCAGCAAAAAGGAGAUGAGAGACAAUCAGCUCCACACCCCCUCUCCCCCGAAGCCUACAGCCAGAAAGAAAGCCCCCCUCACCAGCCCGUCUAAGAAGGGUGCUAAGAACUUCCAUACCCAAGACGAAGAGAUACGGAGAGAGAGGGUCUCCUUGCCACAACCCCUUUGAGUUUGAAAAGAAACCGGCAGGCACCCCAUUGAUUAAAAUGGAGAAUUUAGCAGUGGAAAUACACCACCACAUCCAAUCCAUCCAACGAGACCCAAAUCCCAUCUUCCGAAGCACCUUCAUCAAAAACUUCCAAUUGAUGCUAUCAUAGGCUUUUUCAAUGUCCAACUUGCAUAUCAACCCUUUCUCUUUCCUUUUGUGCCAGUAAUCAAUCACCUCAUUAGCCACUAGAGACGCAUCUAAAAUCUGUCUCCCUCUCACAAAAGCAUUUUGAUCUACUGAGACGACCCUAUCAAGCACCUUCUUUAGCCUAUUCGCUAGGACUUUGGCCAAGAGUUUAUACAACCCCCCAAGCAAGCUAAUGGGCUUGAAAUCCCCUAAGUCUUCAACACCUCCUUUCUUGGGGAUAAGGACCAGAAAGGUAGUGUUGAGACAUUUGGAAAAGGACCCAUGCUCAAAGAAUUCCUUAAACAGAUCCACCACCUCCUCCUUCACAAAUUCCCAGCAUUCUUGCCAAAAAGCCAUUGUGAAUCCAUCCGGGCCUGGAGCUUUAUCUCCCCUCAUCUCCAUCAGGGCACCGUGAAUUUCCUCCUCAGAAAAAGGCCUCUCCAAGUCUUCAGCUUCCCGAAGGUUAAGUUGAUUUAGAUGCAGCCCCUCAAUAUCCGCUCUCCACUCCGGCUCUUCUGAGAGUAAAUUCUGGAAGGCGUUUACAAUCCCCUCCCUCACCUCUUGGUCCUUAGUCAGCCACUCCCCAUUAAUCAUUAUCCUGUCCAGGGAAUUAUUCCUACGGUGGGCAUUAGCCAUCCGAUGGAAGUAGCCAGUGUUCCUAUCCCCUUCCUUAAGCCACAACUCCCUUGACUUUUGCCUCCAAUGGACUUCUUCCAAAAGCACCCAUUUGUGGAAGGCAUCCUUGGCUUCCUUUUUCUGCUCAGUUUCAGCUAUAGACAGACUCCUCUCGCUCUCCACUCCAUCCCAAUAUUCCACUUGCUGUAGGGCAGAAUUUUUGUUAACUUCCAGCCUUCCAAACACCUCCCUAUUCCAGACUUCAAUUUUUUGCUUUAAAAACUUCAGCUUAGAGGCCAACCUGAAACUGGCCCUUCCUCUCACCUCAAUCCCCUGCCACCACCCCCGGAGAAGACCUUUAAAGCCAUCCACUUUCAGCCACAUGUUCUCAAAUCUAAACGGGGUGGGACCCCUCCUCAACCCACCACCCAUCAACAAAAUAGGAAAAUGGUCAGAAGUAGGUCUCUACAAUCUACAUUGGGCGAUCCCACUAAACAUCUCCAGCCAUUGCUGCGUCACCAGAAACCUAUCUAGUCUAGCCCAGGAUUGGUUAUUCCUACCCCCACUCCAAGUGAAAGCACCCCCUUGCAUGGGGAGAUCCAGAAGUUCUAAUUCAUCAACAGUUUGGGCAAAAAUUCUCAUAGCGCCAGUCAGCCUUCCCUGUCUACUCCUUUCCCUCUGGGACAGGAUGACAUUGAAAUCACCCCCUAAACACCACGGAUCUUCCCACAAGCCUCUGAUCGCCCCUAGCUCUUCCCACAAGCAUUCUCUGUCUUCUUUGGAAAAAGGCCCGUACACACCAGUAAAAAUCCAGGUUAGCCCAUUUUCCACAUUCCUAAUCCUACAGGAGACAGAAAACUUCCCCACCUCCGUCUCCAUCACCUCCAGAGACCUUUUAUCUCAACACACCACCAUCCCUCCUGCAGAGCCCACGACAUCCAAGGCCACCCAAUUAGACCACCUACCAGAGCCCAAACUUCUCACCAGACCCUCUAACAAUGACUGAAUUUUGGUCUCCUGAAGACAAAAAAGAUCCACCCUCUGACUUCUGAUCACUGCCUUGAUAACCCUUCUCUUGGAGCUGUCAUUAGCUCCACGAACAUUCCAACUGAGAAGUCGUAGCUUCAUUUAACUUCCGUAAUCUGGCACCCCCUUACUUGCUCGUCACCAUUUUGCUUCUUACCCCCUUCAUAGUUAAUGGAACACUCUAAUAUUUUCAGUUUUCUCUUGAAUUUAGAUUUCUCCAGCAGGGUUUUGCUAUGAACUCUUUCCCUUCUCUUACGAAUUUUAACCAAGAAGUCCAUAAUAUCCUUUUCAAGACCCUCUGUCGAAAAUCCCAAGAAUUACUGAACUUGGCUAGAUCACUUUUCUCCCAGCUAAGCUCCCCCUCUGCCUUAGUUGCUCGUGGCACUAUUUGGUUUAAGGCCAUCUCCUUUCCACUAUCUUCAGUUCUGCUUUUGUUGACCUUCACCAAAUCCCAGCAUUCGACAGUCUCACCCAUAGGAGACUUCGUGCCAAUGAGCAUUUGAAGCGGAUUUUCUCCCUCAUUGCGCUCCUUUUCAUCCCUAGAAUGGUUGCAAUACUCCCCCACUGGAGUCCGACCGAAAAAAGGAGAAGGAAAAGAAGGGGUCCCAAAGACCAGACAAUCGGAUUGAAAGAAAACCUUAUCGUACCUCAUUGCUUCCUCAGCCAAGGCGAGAUCAGUCAUCGAUCUCUCUUUUUGGAUGAACUCAGCCUCGCUUAGCCUGCGCAUGCCAUCCUUCUCCCAAAACAGGGGAUCUUCAGAGAAUGGUUUCCUCGAACGGCUUGGGCCACAAUUCUGGGCCACACUAGAUUGGGAACUGGUCUCCACCGAUGGGCUUUCUUCGGCUACCAAUCCAACACCCUCCAUGGGCUUCCAGAUUUUGGACCGUCUGAGAUCCACCCUCUCCUUUGGCCCAAAAUAAUCCACACAAGGGGGGGGGGGGGGGAGGGUUAAGACCCUCAGGCCCACGAGACUUCUCCAGAAGGCCCAUCGCUAAAGGCCCGCCCUGCAUUCUCGCCAUUCCCUGAAGCCCUAGGUGCGACCCACCCCUCCCGCGAAGACAAUCCAUGGGUUGCCCCGACCCAGCUGUCAGCCUCCACGUCCCAUCCGCCAACUGCGUCUGAUCCUCGAGCCUUGAGCCCCCUUCAGCCUCCAUCACGCGCUUGCCCUUGCGUGACUGAACCUCACCCUCUACCUCUCCAGCUGCUGCGAGGGUUUUUCCUUUUUCAUCGGCCGACAACAUUCUUAACGUCGGCCUGGUUUCCCACCACAAGGCUAAAGAAUAGCACAUGUUCUCAACCCAUAUGUCCACCAUAUUAGGGAUUCUCUCUUCUUUAAUCCUUACCCGAAUCCUAGCCCACUGUAGCUCCUCCAUCCUCUCCGUUUUGGCAUCGAUGUCCAAGAAUCCCCCACACCCCUCUCCUAUCUUACGGAGGAUGUCCCGAUCCCAUAAGGAGAUGGGCAGGCCAAGUAUUCUCACCCAGGCCUCUCUCUCCUUCUCUUCUUCCAUCAAACAUCCCGUCCUUUGGCUCCAUUUCUCUAGUUGUAUGUCGAAUCCAUUGACCGAUAUUACACCAUCUUUUAGGGCUUUCUCAGCUUCUAUUUUUAACUCAAAUUCCAAUAAGGCCUUGCCGUCUUCCAAUUUGGCCAGGCCUAAAUUGCCCUUCAAACCCCACAGCUUUGACAUUUGGGUCCCUCAGCUUCUCAGAUCUUCCCCUCUUCCUAGUGUUGGGUCCCAACUUCCAACAAGGCAAUGAGCCAGUUUUUCCAAUCACACUUGAUGGCCUAUUGUCAAUUUUCACCCGCACCACCUCUUCUCCGAUGCUGCGAUUCUGCUUCACCACCUCUGCGAAGGAUUUUCCCAACAUGGGACUCCAAAACUUCUCCUUAUCUUGCUGUCUCUUCUGCCUAUCUGAAACAGGCUCCAUCUCUCGCAACGCCUCCUCCAGAAGGGCCCAACCCCCUUUUGUUCCUUUGCCUUUGGGUACAAAAAUACUAAAUCUUUUCUUUUCCCGAUCCGUAACACCCAGGCGUAGGAAGCAUCCCCCCUUGUUUUCGCCGCGCGUUAAAGAGAAGGUCCUCCCAUUCUCUUGCCAAAAUUUCUCCCAAUGUCCGGUCCUCGUAUCCUUGGUGCAGAAAACCAGGCCUUCCAUGAGCGGCCCUAAACUCGCUGGUCCCAACUUUACCCAAGAGGAGACCCCUCUCUUUCUUUCCACUAUGAGGAUUUGCGUCCUACCCUUCUUUCUCUCUGUCUCGACCUCAAAGGUCUUCGAUUCUGCCCCAAAACUCCUCCUUUGAACUCCUGACUGGAUGAAACCCACUGCGUCCCCGCUCCCACCCUAGCCCCAGCUUUCUUCUCCAUCUCUCUCACACACUCUCUCUCUAGGUCUUUCUCUCUCCUCCAUCUGGCACAUGACUCAAUUUUGAAAUUCUUUCUUCACUUUAAUUUCAUUCUCUCAUCUACCUCCCUUAGUUUUUGUUAAAUGGACCUACUUCCUGAAACUUCAAAAUUUCAUUAGAUACCCCCAUAUUUUGAGAGGGUUGAAAGAUAAGUGAAAAAAAAAUAAAAAAUCAAUGAGUUUGUAAUAGUCUAAUAGAUAAUGAAUUAACCCACUUUCUUUGCCUGAACACGUGAAAAUGUUUUCCCAAACUUCCAUGCAUUGACUUUCAAGGAGGCGGCAGUAAAAUUCCUCAAAACUGCUCAAGACUUAAGGCCUACUUAAUAAUUUGUAAUUGCUUAUAGUUUCUGGAUUGAUAAUUCUAGGAUGAUGAUAUGUGUACACACACACACACACAUAGGUAUGUACGUACAUUUGCUCGAAGUUACUUGUGAUAUUGUUGUUAGUUUUCUUUUUCUUUUUUCCCUUUUGAACGAUGAACCAUUUCUAGGUUUGAUUGUGGUAACCAGGAACUUUCCCAAUCCUUUCCUAGAUAAUUCCUGAAUCCUAAGUGGCCAUUGGAGUUUGACAGUCAAUUUGUGUGGUGUUAGUCCUGGCUCCCAUGGUCUGCACUGAUAAUUUUUGGAACAGGACUAGAUAGAUGUCCAUAGCAAGCUAAGAAAAUUCAGUGCCAGUAACAUGCCCUUUGUUUUCACUUUUUAUGUCAUAUGCUCUAGUUGCCUAUCAGAAAAAAAAUAAAAAAAUACCCUUUGUUUUGUCAUAUUAUGUGUGUUGAAUAGCUCUAUUAGAACGUAUCACUUACAUAAUUAGGAAUGUGUUUGACCCGAAGGUUUGGGUCCCCAUGGGGAUUCCCAAGGGCUGCUAUGGAAGGUUCCUUGAUUAUAAAAAAUAAUAAUAAGAAUAAUUAAGAGUGUUUGUUUUGUGGGCAUCUAAUUGAAGAAUGAUAAUUAGUUUUAGAGAUAUAAGAUUACCAUGUUUGGAAAGACUAUAACUUGUGAUAUUUUAAUUUCUUGGUAUGAUAUCUUCUCAAAUUAGGUGAGUUUCAUAUUCUUCCCAACCUUAAUAUUUUCUUUUUGUAAUUCCCAUUGCUAGGGCACAAAAAAAAAAUUUGAAAGAGGACAAGUAUGUCCUUGACACUAUGAACAUGGUUGAAGGAGAACUAUAUAUACCUUUACUUAUUAUUAUUAUUAUUAUUUUGAUAGGUAAAAACACAAUAUUAUAUAUAAAGAGAAAAGGGCACCUAAAGGCUAACCCAAAGCAUACAUGGAGUAUACAACAAGCGCUUGAAGGAAAAAAAAAAUAGAGAAGAGGAGCUACAAAAAACCUCACCUGCCCUCAUCUAGAACUCAACCAAUCAAAAAAAGUUGAUUGAAGGUAAAGGUCCUUUCGUCAAUAAACAACUUAGUCCAAGACCAAAAACUACAAACAAAAGAUUUUUUCAACCUUUGAAUCGAAAGCUCCUUUUUUAUUGAAAGCAAUCUUGUUUCUUUCUUUCCAAACCAUCCAAAAUAGACAUAAAGGGGUUGCCUUCCAUGCAUUUUUGCACUUCUUGCCAACAAAGGAACCAUACCAACCAAGGAUGGUCUCUCUAAUUGACAAGGAAAGGACCCAAGUUACACCAAAGAGAGCAAAAAGUAAUUCUCACAAAACCCUAGCCUUAGUGUAGUGAAUUAGAAUGUGGUCUAUAAACUCUUCUUUGACAAGGCAAAGGAACAUUUGUUAGCUAAAGACUACCCCUUCCUCUUCAAUAGAGGGGAAGGAAACACAUAAAGCAACGUCUCUACACCAUUUAUCCUUCCAAAACCUCACCCUUCUAGCAUCACUCAUUGAGAACACAAUUCUAUUACUAAAUAGGUACCCUUCCUUCCUAAUCUUCUUCCAUAAACCCACACCAUACCCCUCCCUCACUACUCAAGUACUCCAUCCCCCUUCUUGUACCCCAUACUUCCUACUAAUAAUGUGCUUCUAAAGAGCUCCCACUUUCAUCCACUAAGCGCUAACUCCAUUUAUAUAAAAAGGCCCUAUUAAGUGAAGAAAGACAUCUAACACCCAAGCCACCUUUUCUCUCAUUUGAACAAACAAGCGCCUCCUUUACAAGGUAAGGCUUGCACAACAAGGACAUAAAGUAAAUAGGCAUGCUAGAUAAAGUGCUCUAAAUGAAAGUGAUUCUCCUUCCUUUAGAGAUAAAUUGCCUUUUCCACAUGGUUAGCCUUUUAUGAAACCUCUCCACCCCAUCUCAAACAAGUCACGGAUUUAUACAGAGCGUCCAAAGGAAGCCCCAAAUAGGAGGAGGGAAGUGCUCCCACCUUGCAACCAAGCUCAAAUGCCAAAACAUCUAAAUUCUCCACCUCACCCAAUCGGUAAAAUCUCACUUUUGUCCAAAUUGAUUCUCAGCCUUGAAAUGGCUUCAAACCACCUUAGCAACCAACUCAAGUAAGUCAUCUGAUUUUGAGAAGCCUCACAAACUACAAGCAUAUCAUCAGUAAACAUCAAAUGAGAGAUUUGAACUCCAUCACCACCCCUCCCCUUCACCCUACAACUUGACAAAAAGCCCCCACUUACAACUCUCUUAAUGAGGCUAUUGAGAGCCUCCAUCCCAAUCAAAAAUCAGUGGGGCGAGAGAGGGUACCUUUGCCUCAAUCCUUUAGUGUUAUGAAAAAAACUUGAUAGAGUGCCAUUGACCAAAACAGAGAGCCUCAUAGUAGGGAUGCACCACCUUAUCCAACCUGCCCACUUCUCCCCAAAACCCAUUUUUUGCAUCACAAGAAGCAAGAAGUUUCAAUUUACAUGAUCAUAUGCCUUUUCUAUGUUAAGCUUACAAAGUACUUUACUUUUAUUUCUUUUCAAUGGAGUCUAUAGCCUCAUUAGCAAUCAAAUGGGAUUUGGUUCAAAGUGGUUGGGUUGGAUGUGGAGUUGUUUAUUUUCAGCCAAGUUCUCAAUACUAGUUAAUGGGGUACCGGCUGGAUUUUUCCCGAGUUCUAAAGGGCUACGCCAAGGAGAUCCCUUAUCUCCUUAUCUGUUUGUUUUGGGAAUGGAAGUUCUAGAUGCUCUAAUUAGGAGGGUUGUUGCCGGGGGUUUCCUUUCAGGGUGUAGUAUUCGGGGUGGAAGAAGAACCAAUCUAAAAAUUUCUCAUCUUUUCUUUGCUGAUGACACAGUUAUGUUCUGUGAGGCUAAUAAAGAGCAUCUAACUCAUUUAAGCUGGAUUCUAUUUUGGUUUGAAGCUGCUUCAGGUCUAAGGAUUAAUUUGGACAAAAGUGAAAUCAUCCCAGUUGGUGUGGUGGAGGAGAUUGAUGAGAUGGCAGAGGAAUUAGGGUGUAGGGUGGGUUCGUUGCCUUCUCAAUAUUUGAGUUUGCCAUUAGGGGCUCCUAACAAGGCUCCUUCUGUGUGGGAUGGGGUGGAAGAGAAAAUGAGGAGGAGACUUGCGCGGUGGAAAUGGCAAUAUAUUUCCAAAGGUGGGAGAAUCACUCUCAUAAAAAGCACCUUGGCUAGCAUGCCAAUCUAUCAUAUGUCUCUAUUCCGGAUGCCUAAGACAGUUGUUAGAAGAUUAGAAAAAGUACAAAGAGAUUUCCUUUGGGGAGGGGGAAACGUGGAAAGGAAAGCUCAUCUAGUUAAGUGGGAGGUGGUUUGUGCGGACAAGAACAAGGGAGGGCCAGGCUUAAGGAAGCUAGCACUCUUGAACAAAGCUUUGCUUGGUAAAUGGAUUUGGAGGUUUGCUUGUGAUAAAGAUAAUCUUUGGAAGCAAGUGAUAAUGGCGAAAUACGAGCAAGAAGGUCAUGGUUGGAGAACAAAGAAGGCUUAUGAGGCGCUCGGAGUAGGGGUGUGGAAGGAAAUUUUGAAGGAAACUGAUUGGUGUUGGGAUAACAUGGUGUUCAUAGCUGGGAAGGGAAGCAAAAUCAGUUUUUGGAUUGAUGUUUGGUGCACUGGUAUAGUGCUGUCCCGAAAUUUCCCUCAUCUAUUUGAUAUGGCUUCCCAUAGGAAUGCUACGGUGGAGGAGAUGUGGGAUCAGAAUUUUGGUCAAGGGGGUUGGAAUCUAAGAUUCCUGAGGGAUUUUAAUGAUUGGGAGUUGGAUAUGAUAGAGGAUUUGCUCUAUGUUCUGAGGGGUUACAAGCCCUCUAUGGAGGAAGAUUCAAUUUGUUGGAAGGGAGGAAGAAAUGGAAAGUUUAGGGUCAAAGAAGCGUACAGCUUGUUGGGAAAUCCCAAUGACAUUGUAUUUCUGUCAAGUUGUAUUUGGGUGGCUAUAGUUCCAACCAAGGUUGCAUUCUUUGCUUGGGAGGCUACGUGGGGGAGGGUGCUCACUCUUGAUAGGCUCCAGAAAAAAGGAUGGCAGCUCCCUAAUUGUUGCUUUCUAUGUGGGUGUGAAGAAGAAACUGUAAAUCAUAUACUUAUACACUGUAUAGUGGUCAGAGUUCUGUGGAAUAUUGUCUUUGGGUUAUCAGGUGUGCAGUGGGUCUUUCCAGAAACUAUAAAGGAGGUCUUAACUAGCUGGAGGGGCCCUCUUGUGGGGAAGAAAAGGAAAAAGAUAUGGAAAUCUAUACCGUUGUGUAUUUUUUGGACGGUUUGGAAGGAGAGAAAUAGACUAACUUUUAGGGGGGGGGAGUGUUAGAUAUUCAAAAGCUUAAGAAUUCUUUUGUUUGUAAUUUAUGGAGCUGGGCUAGAUUGUAUAUUGGAGAGACACGUCUUUCCCUUAUAAGGUUCUUGGAGUGGUUAGCGUCCAAUUAAGGGGUGGUGAGGCUCCGUUGGUCUUCUUUUUGUUUUGAGAGAUGCUAGUUGCUUUGUAUACCCCCUGUAUGCUUUGUAGCUUUUCGCCUCUGUUUUAAUACAAUUUGCUUUACUUAUCAAAAAAAAAAAAAAAAAAAAGUCGCAUCAAGAAUUUGUGUUCCCUCGAUGAAAGGAUAGACAAAGGAGGCUUAACUUUAGCUUGAUUAUAUGGAGAGAGAUUUGCAUUUUGAUUUUUCUACUUCAUUUAUUUAUCUAAGUUUGAGUUUGUUAGAUCUAUAUGAUUUCUUCAAAGAAUUUAAUGCAUAUUUGAGUUUUUCUUCUAAUUUAUUUUUAUAGGUAAAUAUUUCUUUUCUUUUCUUUUCUUUUUUUUUUGCCCCCGCUCAAGCUCGAACCUAGCAUCUCCCACUUGAGCCAGACCUCAAGGGCAAGUUUUUCUCUAAAUUUUUGUUUGUUAGAUUUGAUUUAUUGGGGUAAAAUUAUUGGAGUUAUAUAGAUUUUUUUCCUAGGAGAUUGAGUUUUUUAUUUUUGUAAAAGAAUAUUAAUUUUUUUUAUAAGAAAAAUAGAACAUAUAUUGAAAACGUCUAUGAGGAUGCUUAGCACAUUACACAUGAAGUAUACACAAAAUGCCCAACAUAGGCGAAAAGGUUAAAAAACACAAACCCACUCUCCUUACUUUAAGUUCAACUAAUCUACAAAAUCUAUCAUAGACAUUGUAUGGUCCUCUAUAUACACCCUAGCCCAAUUCACAAAAGUAUACAUUAAAUCAGAUUUGAUUGUAUGGGUAGAGGGUGAAAUUUUGGAAAGAUAAGUGAUGUGGGAAUUUGUCCUAUGGAGAGGCUUUUUUUGCUUUGUUUUCUGUAGCUAACACAAAAGGUGUAUGCAUAACUGAGGUGUGGGAUCAAGAGGGGGAAAAGGGAUAUUGGAACCCUUGACUCUCAAGACAACUCCAUGACUAGGAGCUAGAGAGGGCAGAGGUUUUUUUCAAGCAAUUACAAUCUUAAUCUAUUGAUAGGGACAUUCAGGAUAAAAUGGUAUGGCAAAUCUUGAAGGUUGGCCUUUUUUCCAAUUAAAUCACUCUACCCUCUAUGUCUUCUGUAAGAACAGAAACCUUCCCAACAUUGUUUGGAAUUCUUGGGCUCCAGUGAGAGUAAGUUCUUUUUCCUAGGAAGUUGCCUGGUGUAGGAUAUUAACAUUGGACCUACUUAAAAACAAGGGGUGUACGAUACUGAAUAGAUGCUAUAUGUGCAAAGAAGAAGAACAAACUAUUGAUCAUCCUCCUGCACUGCUCAAAACCGACAAUCCUGUGGCAGCUAAUAUUUGCACUAUUUGGUAUAGAGUGGAUAAUUCACUCUUCAGUAAAGAAGGCACUCCUAAAUUGGCACGGAUCUUUUCUAGGGAGCUAGAGGAAAAGAACUUGGAGAAAUGCUCCCUUGUGCCUAUUUUGGACUCUAUGGAAUGAGAGAAAUAGGUGAGUGUUUGAGAAUACUGAAAGAGUAGAUCGAACACUCAAACAAUUGGGAGUUGAUUCCUUGUCCAUGUUAGACUUGAUUGACUGGCUGAGGUCAAUGUAGUGGAUGGGGGUUGAUUUUUGCGUACCCCUCUACUUGAUAUGGCUAUGUAGUGCCUUUGUAUACACCAUGUAUACUUUAGUGCGCUCCUUUGUUAGAUGUUAUUAAUAUAGUGAAUAUUUAUCAAUUAAAGAAAGUAUCUGUUGGGCUAGGUACACAUACAAAUAUUAAAUCAUGGGGUUAUGAAAUAUUCUUUGACCUCUACAUGGUCAUCUUGGCUGUCUCCAGAUCCUAUAGAGCUUUCAUUCUGUUUAUCAUUUAUUUCACUCAGCUGUGGUUCCAUGACAGGUUUUACUAGACCUUCAUUAAGUUUCUCAAACUUCCUAUCACAUAUCUGGACCAUAUCUAAGUCAUGCAUUCUCUAUUUGCUUCCAGUUUUCUCUUGUCUGGCCUUACAGUUGUCAUUCAUCAUUCUCCUUUUAAAGCUGUGCUGAAUCUAUGAAUAUGAUUCCUAAUGGCUCAACCAGUUGCUCCUUCAGUUACACUCAUCUUAUUUGUUUGUACUUCUAAUUUGAGUCCUUGGAAGCUAUUUUAUUAAGAAGCUACAUAUUCUCUACAUUAUGUGUGGUCAUAUGUAAUUGUGUUCCUUUUAUGCCAUCUCUUACUUCUUGUUAGGUGCUGAUUAAAAUAUUCCCAGUUUGCCUAUGAAAAACAAUGAAGGUUCAUAUGAUCAAUACCAGAAUGGAUGAAUGUCAAAUGCUUCUAUUGGGAAGCUUCCAUCACUAUUUUUCAUUUCACAUAGUUCAGUCACCCAUUUUAUCUCUGGACAACACGUCAUAGAAUCAUACUUCUCUACAAGGGUUGAUUCGCAUUUUUUUCUGUUGAUUGUAUUUUGCCUAAGGAUCUGGCACCUGAAGCAGACCAAAGUCAAUCAGUCAACCAAGAUGCUGCAGAGAUCUCUGUCGACUCCUGUUCUCCGCGGGAGGGGAGAAGCAAUGAGAAGGGGAAGGAUAAAGAAGAAAAAGAGAAAGAAAAGAGCAAAGAUCCAGACAAAGAAAAAGGGAAAGAAAGAGAUGCUGACAGAAAAGGAGAAAAUGAAAAGGAGAAACUGAAAGGUCUUGAAGGGACGAAUUUGGACGGUCUAUUGCAGAGGCUCCCGGGUUGCGUGAGCCGUGACCUUAUUGAUCAAUUGACUGUAAUCAUAUCUCUACUUGUUUUAGCUUUGUUGUAUCAUAUAUUGUUUUUCUUCUCAUCAUGUAUCUCUUCAAUAAGGAUCUUAUCCUUGUUUGUGGUUGGUUUUCCAGGUAGAUUUUUGUUAUUUAAAUUCAAAGUCAAAUCGAAAAAGGCUAGUUAGGGCAUUGUUUAAUGUCCCCAGAACUUCUCUAGAACUGCUACCAUACUACUCACGCAUGGUAGCCACACUGUCAACAUGUAUGAAGGAUGUCUCUUCAAUGCUCUUACAAUUGUUGGAGGAGGAGUUCAACUUCUUGAUAAAUAAGAAGGUCUGUGUAGUAGUUCAAUAUGCAUUUGCUUUGGUAAUAUAGUGUCUUGUUAUCUUAAUAGAUAUUUUGACAACAUGAUUGAGUUGAACUUGUUGCAGGAUCAAAUGAACAUUGAAACAAAGAUCAGGAAUAUUAGAUUCCUUGGAGAACUCUGCAAGUUUAGAAUUGCACCAGCUGGCCUUGUUUUUAGUUGUUUGAAGGUAUACUGAGAAUAGUCAUCCGUUAAAUAGAUUUCUAGUGUCUUUUGUAGAUAAAGUUCUAUUAUUUCUUUAGCUUGGGUCUCUAAGCACUGCCAAUGCUUAUAUAGGACCUUUUCUUUUAGCCUUUGGUGGAAUUGCUUAGAGAUAUUCCAGUGCGAGGGUGGAUGGUAGGGGUGUCUGUUAUGUGUUGGGUUGGGGUUAAUGUCUCUUUUACAUGGAUGCAAUGUAUACCUUUCUAUUGAAAGAGCAAUGAUGGAGACCUCUUAGCCUAUGCCAGCUUUAUUACUUUCAUUAGGCAUUACUUAAAUAUUUGCACUUGCCUUACCAUGUGGUGCAUUAAAUUUAACUGGAAGCUGAAUUUGAAAAUUUGUGCUACAUGUUGAGACUUGGGACAGAAGUUGCAUUUUGGUUGACUUUUAGCUUGUGUUGGAGUUCUUACUCAUAUGAGUGAUUCUUUCUGUUCUUUCCAGGCUUGUUUAGAUGAUUUUACUCAUCAUAACAUUGACGUUGCUUGCAAUCUUCUUGAGACAUGUGGCCGUUUUCUGUAUCGUUCUCCGGAAACUACUGUACGUAUGGCUAACAUGUUGGAGAUAUUGAUGCGCUUGAAGAAUGUAAAAAAUUUGGAUCCUCGUCACAGCACUCUUGUAGAAAAUGCUUAUUACUUGUGCAAACCUCCUGAAAGAUCUGCACGAGUUUCCAAAGUCCGUCCACCACUGCACCAGGUACAAGUUGCUUUUAGUUUCAAUGAUUUUCCAUCUGUUGUAAUAUGUGACGUUAGUAAUCAACCUUCCAUAUGAUGUACCCUGCAGUAUAUCAGAAAAUUGCUUUUCUCGGAUCUUGAUAAGUCUUCCAUUGAGCAUGUGCUGAGACAACUUCGUAAAUUACCAUGGAGUGAAUGUGAGCCCUACCUUUUGAAAUGCUUUAUGAAGGUUCAUAGGGGCAAGUAUGGCCAGAUUCACUUGAUUGCCUCUCUUACUUCUGGUCUGAGCCGCUAUCAUGAUGACUUUGCAGUUUCUGUUGUUGAUGAGGUUAGUACCUUUCAUCAUUCAUUGUAUUUAUUAUCUUAGAUUUUAAACAUGGUCUUGAUGACAGAAAAAGAAGAUUUCAUUCUUCUUCCUGUGCUUUCUCCUGGUUUUUCCCUCAUUACAUCAAAUAUUCCUUGUUAUGUUGCUACCACUUAGCAUUUGGUGUGUGUGUGUCUUUUUUUUUUUUUUUUUUUGUGAGUGAGGGAGUGGUUUGGUUUGUUGCGGAGGGCACUUUUAUGGAGUAUAUUAGUUCUGGGAAUUUAGAAAAUGUCGUGAAUGUGUUGACUGGCCCAAAUUUUUACAUCCUUGCUAACUUGAGAUCUGACUGAUGGAGUCAGAAAAGAUUUUAAAUUCCAGUAGGCAACCUGACACCACAGUUCCAGCGUGGCUUUUAUGCUCAUGCUUGAAAUCUUUUAGCCUUCCCUGAAUUGGAACAGCAAGUUAAAGGAAAAAGUGCAGGUUUUUAGAUUUUUCAUACUAAGGAGACUCUGAAUUCUGUCCUGACUAAGAUUUAGUCAUGGAUAUUGGAUUAUUUACUGGCUGAUUGACUCAUAUUGGGGGAAAUGUGACUUUGACAAAACCAGUCAAGUGUUCCAGUACAUGUUCUUUAUGUCCAAUUCAUCGGCUUAACUUGCAAACCAAACUGUUCAGCAUCAUCUUGUUCCAUCAAACUAGCUCUUUCUUAUCCUAAUAAUUUACCAUGUAGGUAGAAUUACUGCUGAUCAUUUGCUUAACAUGAACAAAGUCCAAUAUUGUUCUUCCUUUACUUUUUCUUCUUUAUAUAUACAUAUAACAGAACACUUCUUUGUUCUAUAUGUAGCAUCUAGCUUUUUUAUCACUUCCCCUCCAUUUUAGCAGCAAGUAAUAUCAUGUUAUCAUUUUUUUUCAAAGAUUCUGGCUCGGGGCAUUGCCAUUGUUCUCUUCUGUACAGGUGGCUCAUAGAAGCUUCAUUUCUGUCAGGCUUUAAUAUCCAUAUCUGAAAUAAUAUUCCCACCAAGCAUGUAAUUCUUCAUAAUCUUUGUUUGCAUACUUAUAAAGGGAAAGGCCCCUAAGGAGCAUAACCCUCAAGGGGGAAAUGGGAAUGAAAUCCCCCACUAAAGCCUCUAAUGUAGAGUCUCCCCACUUAGCUAAUUGCUCUAUUGCUUGAUUAGUAGAUUUGAGAGCGCAACUAAAAUCCUUUUGGGAGUUAAUUUGUUUGGGAAGCCACACAUCCAAUCUCCAAGAGACCCAAUGGAGAAUGCCAGUGGAGUCACUUUCAACUUGAAACUUGUUAAGGCCCAAGGUAUUUGCCUAAACCAAACUAUUGAACAUGGCUAAGAUCUCUGACUCUAUAGCUAACCCUUUAUCAGUUGGCCUGGAGAACACUCCAGUCACUGUGCUGUGUGAUCUUUGGAGACACCAUCAAUCCUCUGCCUAAAAUUUGCCAAUAAAUAGACAUCAAGUUGAGCUUAAGGCACCCACCCAUAUGAGGGUGGAUUCCACACUGCCAAGACCCCUGUCUAACUCCUGAAACCACAGUAUGCCUGUCUCUAUUCUAGCUUAACCAAAAUCAAUGGAGUGCUUUGGAACUCCUCCAGACCGACUGAUCUCUCAAAAAGAGGCAAGAAAGUUGACUGCUACCCUUGGGAUUGUAAAGAUCUAUGCUUAUCCUCAAAAAAAUUGGCAUUUGGGUCCUACCAGCUCAUCCAUAGGAUUGCUAGUGUUGCCAUCAUCCACGAUACUGGCCCCUAAGCCUUAUAGCAAGGCUGUCAAAAGAAGUAAUCUUCAUAUCUGCCUCAGUCCUUGGGGGAUCUAGCUCAUAUCAGCUAAGCCUGAACAAUCUGUACCAUAAUCCUAAAUCAACUGGGUAAUGAAGGGAUGUGUGAUCCACUGUUUGGCACUGCCUAUGAAGAGAACAUAGUUCUUUGAGCUAAGAGCUUUAAAACAUCUCCUUAUCUGAAUCAAGUUGUUGGUAUUGAUCUUUUUGUUAGCCAUCAGUCAAACAAAGGCUCUUACUUUGGGUGGAAUUGGGUUGCCAAAUAAAACUAGCCCGAAGGAACAUGACUAGACAUAAAGACUUGGAGAGGUUUAGCUAGGACUUCAAAAAAGGUGUCUAAGGGGGCCAACAUGCUUACAUGCAUGUAUGUGUGUAUGUGUGUAUGUAUGUAUUCUUUAUAUUGAAACUUGGGGAGUACCGUGAAGGAUGAUAAAUUCAAGGUUUACUAAAAACUGGUCAAAAAGGAAAAGUAUGCAUAUAAUUACAUGUGUAAGCAAAACAAACUGUACAUCUUAUGAAGGAAUCAAAACAAACCAUUCUAUUGGGAAUAAUGAGUGUUUCUCUGUACUAAAAGUUCUGCGAGUUUUCAAGUGACUGCUCAAGUUUAGCAAAAGCUGCUUUGUGGGGUUGUAUCAGUUGGUUGGAAGGCCUAAUAGAAAACGUCAUUCUGGUGGGGAUGAUACCUAUUGGUACUGGAUUCAAAGGAUUAGUGCACUGUUCAAGACAAUGCAACAUCCCCUUGGAAACCAAAAAGAAUAAUUUGAUUCAGGAGGGAAAGGAGAGAUAUCUUGUUCCACCACAGAGAAUGAUUUGAUUCUUGGAUUUCUAAGAAUUUCCAUGAUACAUAAACUGAACUGCAUAUCUCAGGGGGUAUAAAGUCCCCAACAAAAGGCACCAAUUUUUAAGCACCUCCUUUGGCUAAAUGAUUUGCAUGUUUUAGCAAAACAAAUUGCACAUCUUAUGGAGGAAUCAAAACAAAGUACAACCCCUUACAUAUCUCAAGGGGGUAUAAAGUCCCUAACAAAGGAUACAAAGUUUUUAGCCCCUCAUUUGCCUUAAUGAUUUGCAUUUUUGGUUAGCGACCUUGAGUUGCUUGCAAAAUCAAUAAUUUGAUGGACCCACCAUCAUACUUCCAUAGACUUUUUUCCCUCUUGGACACAUAGGAAAUGACAAUAGCAAAGUCUCUGUCACAACCCAUAACUUUGAAAAACCCCAAGCUUUAACUUGUUAUAAGCCCUCUAAAAGAACAUGAAUCUUUGUCUCAAUAGUGAUACUUUCUCCAGCUAGUAUAAAAAAAUGCUCUAUGUAAUGUACCAUAAUAAUCCCUAAACACUCCUCCCUAAAUCCUAAGUUGACCAAGGUUUACCCUAGGAACGACCAUCAAAAUUGAACUUUAUAGAGUUUGCUAAAGGGGGAAACCACUUAGUUCAAGUCUUCUUAGUUAACUUCUUGAAUCUACAAAUGUGAUUUUCCUCCUAACCUUUAGAGGCUUGAGGCAAUAGGACCUUUAUUCACCCUAUCUUUUUGUAUUAGUCAUGGAAGCCUUUAGUUGCCUAAUUGAGAAGGGCAAGCAAGGAGGUUUCAUUAGUGGCUUUAAGAUCAAGGGUAAAGGGGAAGAAGGGAUUCAAGUCUCACACCUAUUGUUUGUAGAUGAUACUCUUCUAUUUUGUGAGGAUAAUAUAGAUUAGUUGAAAUAUCGAAGUGGAUAGCCACUUGCUUUGAGACUAAAAAGUGAAAUUAUUCCAAUGAGGGAGGUAGAGGAUGUGGAUAGAGUGGCUUCUCUUUUUGGUUGCAAAGUAGGGAGACUUCCUACUUCUUGUCUUGGAGCUCCUCAUAAGUCUUGUGAUGUGUGGGAUUCAAUCAAGGAGAGGUUUAAAAGGAAAUUGGCUGCUUGGAAAAAGCAGUUCCUAUGGAGGAAGCUUAGUCCUUAUUAAGAGCAUUGUAUCAAGCCUCUCAAUCUAUUUUAUGUCCCUUUUUGCAAUUUCCUUGGAAAGUGAGGAUCAUAUUAGAGAAUUCCAAGGGACUUUUCAUGGGAAGAUACAGGGGAAAGAAGAAAGAUCCAUUCGGUAAAUUGGUUAGAUAUUUGCAAAGACAAGAAGUACAGAGGGUUGGGUCUAAGAAGAUUGGAUGGUCUUAAUCAAGCCUUGCUAGGCAAAUGAUUAUGGAGGUUUUCUUUUGAGCGAGAGAACUUGUGAAGGAAGAUUUUAAUGCCUUUUAACUCCUCGUAGAAUGUGUUUUUUUGCACAGGAAUCUGUUUGGGAGAAGAUUUGAACUGUAGAUAUGUUAAUGAAGAGGGGAUCCAUGGUUUAUAGAUGUAGCCUUUGUAAAGACAAUGAAAAAUCAGUUGAGCACAUCUUGCUUCAUCUUGAUAAGACGAGUGCUAUGGACUUUUCUGUUAGUAGGUAUUUGACUUGAAAUGGGAAUUUCCGAUUUUAAUGAGAAAUCUCCUCCUUGAAUGGAAAUUUAAGGGGCUAGAUAAGAAGAGAAGAAUUGUUUGGCUCAUGGCUUUGAUUUGCUUAUUUUGGUGUGUUUGGAAAUAGCAUAACCGAAGUACUUUCAAUGAUGAAAAGCUCUCAAAUCAAUGAUUGAAGGAGUACAUUAAAUAACUAUUAGAGUGGUCCCAUGCUUCAUUGAAAUGGAGAACCUCUCUAUUUUGGAUUUCUUAAAUGCUCUUCCUUGUGGAUAGCUUGGGUUGUUUUGUUGGCUAACCUUGUAUAUAUUUGGUGCUUGUAUCGUGAGGUUUUGUGUAUACUAUCUAUAUACAUAGAGUGCUUGCUUCUUAUUGUCUAUCAAAACAAAGCAAAUGUGAUUUUGGUCUAGCAUUAACAAACUCAAAAGGGUACCAAAAAAUGCAUCUAUAGUGUCUAAUUUAAAAAAUAAUAAUAAAAUGAAGUCAUAGAAAUAAACCAAGUCACAAAGAGGCUUCAUUGAUGUCUAUCCAUCCUCAAAAUUACUUUCUUUCCAAGUAGUCCACAUCACAAUGAGACUAGACCUCAUCUCUUGAAAGACCCAUACACUUCUAGGGGGUGCCCAAACAAUCCCAGCAAAUAAAAGAAGCUUAUGCUAGAGUCCCAAACUAGCAAGAAAUGUAAAAAAAGGAAAAAAGAAAAGGAUGAUGGUGAUUUCACUACCAGGCAAACACAUAAGAGAGCAUGAGAGAGCAAAGGACAUAAAUUUUUUGAUCAAUUAAAUUAAGAUGCAAAUCAAAGUUAUAGGAAUGGGAGGAAAGAGACUAUCCAAGAGCCAAAGAGAUAGAAGAAUUUGUAACCCUUGAAGGCUGGAGCUAGGGGCUGGCAGGGUGCAUGCCCGGUUCGCCGUUGUUCCAAAUUCUAUUUUGUUAUAUUCCAUUGCUUUGAAAUUCUUUUUAACUGUAUUUGAUAAAUAAAUAAAUAAAUAAUGAAUGAAUUGAGAAUGUUCUUCAAAUUGCUAUAUUUUUUUUCUACAAAAAUUUUAAUGAACUUAUUUAAUUUCUUGAUAAAAUUAAAAUUUUCUUAACAUCAAUUAUAUGGUUAAUCAAAAGAUCUAUGGAUAAAUGAUAAGAUCUUGUUGAGGAUAAAGAUAAACCAUUAAAUAUGAGGAUUAAUUCAUCAAUAUUUGAAGUUUUGUAUUUGGUUGCCUCCUCUAAACUGAAUUUCUGGCUCUGCCUUUGGGCUGGACUAUUUGAAAAUGCUGGGGUUUCUUUCCCCACCAUAGAUUUAAAGCAUCUGGCAUAGGAUGUGAGGCACAUGUAGUUUCAGCAAGCCUUAUAACUGAAAUGUGCACAUCAGAUGUCUGCUAUGAACAAUUCAUUUUUCUGUUCCUCUAUUUUGAAGUUAGUUUACUAAGACAUCAUAUAAAAUCCAUUUUGUGUUGGAAAAACAAUCUUCAAGGCUUUAUUUGCAUUAAGGAUUACCUUAAUGGAUAUUACCAGUUUUAGAGUUAAUUGCCCACAUCUAGUAAUAGUCCAAAUCUCUGAUGUUAAUAGACAACUGAAUCUUGUUUUUUUGAGCCAUGAGUCUCAAAAUUAUUAAAAUUCACUGUGCUUUGAAGUUUUUCAUUGUAGGGUCAUAAAAAUUGAAACCGAGGCAAGUUUAAAUAUUAAAAUUGCCCUAUGGCAUUAAGAGCAUUGGUUUAUUUCUUUUAUUUUUCUUCAAAUGUUUUUUCUCUUACCUUUUAAGCAUUUUGCCAUUGUCUUGACACUGUUUGUCAACCCAAAACUUCUCUCUAUUCAUCAGGCUUGGGACUAGCAGUGUGAAAAGACACCCCCAAAACCCUGUUCAAUAUUAAAACUAAAAUAUUAAAAAUAAUAAUAAUGACAACUUACUAAAUAACUCCCUGCAGACCCUCACCCACAAGGUUUUACUCCCUAACACAAAACAACGCAUGGACGCCUGCAUGCUUAUAGUUAUGUGUGUUGAAACUGUUGUAGUUAAUUAUUUUACUUUCAUGUUUUGGAAAAGAGUAGACUGGGGCUAGAGUUGAACGCCUGCAUGCUUUUAGCUAUGUGUUGAAACUGUGAUAUUUGUUUUACUUUCAGGUUCUGGAAGAGAUUAGACUGGGGCUAGAGUUGAAUGACUAUGGGAUGCAGCAGCGACGCAUUGCCCAUAUGAGAUUCUUGGGAGAGCUUUAUAAUUAUGAACACGUGGAUUCAUCUGUUAUCUUUGAUACUCUCUAUUUGAUUCUUGCUUUUGGCCAUGAGACAGCAGAGGUAUGGAGGUAUCUUGUUUUUUAAAGAAACAAUUGUUUUUUGUGUAGUCUAUUUCCAGUAGUUUAGACAGAAUGGCUAGGCAAUCCAAUUGUGCUAGGCAGUGUAUAACAUCAAUAGCAUACUUCAUUUUUUUUUUUAAUUCUUUUGGUUUAUUAUCAUUAUUAUUUUUAACUUUAAUAUGGUCACACAACUUACUAACAUAUACGAAAAAAUAUGAAGGUGAGAGAUUAGUGCAUUUUGAAAAUUGUUUCUCUAAUUUUGUCUUUGCUAAUGUUACAAUUGGAUUGAUCUAUUUGAUUUAAGGGAAAAACUGACAACAUAGUCCUGAGAUUCAGACAAGAGAGGACAAACAGAAAAUAUAGAAGAGCCAAUGUCUUAUUUCUUAAAUGUUAGAGAAAAGUACAAUUUUAAUGUCAUUUGUCUAUUUUUUUUUUGGGGGGGGUGGGAGGGUUUCUUUUCUUCCUUUGAUGGACUUAAUGUCACUUGUCAUUUUAUUAUGAUACGGUGAUUGGGGAACAAUAGUGAAAGUGUCUUGCAUAUCAAGUUGUGAGAAGUUAUGAUCUGAGAUGAUUUUUGGAUCAUUUGCUUUACUCUGCUCGACUAAACUAGUCAUAGUGUUUGGCUAUGCUGCAAACAUGAUAAUUUAAAAAUUGAAGCCAUUUGUUAGUUAAGUCUAUUCUUAGCUAGAUAGUAAAUUGGCCAUGUACUCAAUUGUUAGAAUUGACCAUGGAUGUUGGGUGUCUCAGAUUCCUCAAUUUGUAAAUGAGCAUUCAUGAACACUGUGGCACAUUUAAAUUGUGUGGUUGAUCCUGUAAAGGGGAUGGGCCAAAUUCAAAUGUGAUGGUUGGUCAUAACAACAUUAUUGUGAAUUUGGUUCCAUCCACAGCUGAUGCAGUAAGACCAUUCAGGUACCAUCUUGUCCAACACAUCUGUCAACUGCGAAGCCACUCAAUCUUACAUAGGUUCAGGUUGCAGAUGAUGCAAAACACAUUACCAUGGAGGCACCUUCCGUUGUCUGAGAAUUCCAUGGAUAUUUUAGGAAUAUCAUUCUGGAUUAUGAUAAUACCAUAGAACUCAUAACUUGAGGUUAUUAAUGUGUGUGCGUGCUGAUCAUUUGGCUGAUUAAUUGGCAGAUAUUGACCAUGUUCUCGAGUGUACUAAGUACCCCUGCAAUGGAGGGUGACUUCCUCACUUAUUUGUCUAUGAUUGUCUCUCUUAUUGGGAGGGUUGUGCUGCAGAUCCUGCCUGAUCUUGCUUGUCACCCUUAGAACCAAUAUCUGCAUGUGCAUACCUUAGGUUCUGAUCCCAUAUAUGCAUUCAAAUGCUUCACAUAACCAGAGAAGUGAAAGUGAGAAUAUUUAUAGGAGCGCCUCCAUCAGUGGAUACUUCUUUCCAUAUAAUUCUGAUCUGACCUGAUGUCUUAUAUCCUGUGUAUGAUGUCUAUGCACGUGAAAAUUGCUUAUGGGAACAUGAAUAAUGAAGCGCUUCCAUCAGUGGAUACCUCUUUCCAUAUAAUUCUGAUCUGACCUGAUGUCUUAUACCCUGUGUAUGAUGUCUAUGCACGUGAAAAUUGCUUAUGGGAACAUGAAUAAUGAAGUGACAUACAAAUCAGUGCAAGCCAUUCUUUUCUUUUCUUUUCUUUCUUUUUUCCCUGCUUGGUCAAAUCUAUAUUUCAUGCCAUUCUCCUAUCAGAUAAGGAUGCUCUAAUGUGAUGAAUUUAUUUGAAAAUAGCAUGCACUUGAAAUUGGCUUUUUUAAAUAAGGUUUAAAAGACCUUUUUGAGCUCCUUGGAUCUGUGCUGUUUAUGAUUCCCCUAGUUUAACCUUGUUUCUCUUUUCAUAUUAUUAGCAAGAUGUACUGGAUCCACCAGAAGAUUGUUUCCGCAUUAGGAUGGUUAUUACCCUUCUUGAGACCUGUGGGCACUACUUUGACCGGGGUUCUUCUAAGAGGAAACUUGAUAGAUUUUUAAUACAUUUCCAGAGAUAUAUUCUCAGCAAAGGUGCACUACCGCUAGAUAUUGAAUUUGACUUGCAGGUCAGUCUCUGAAACUCCUCUUCUCCUUAUGCACACAUCUGCCAGAUUGGGUUAUAUGAUCUCAUAUCCAUGCAAAACUUUGGUUUAAAAUAUUGUGCAGUUUGUUUGAGCAAGGAAAUUUUAAUAGCUGACCUUCCUUAGUUUGUGCAAUUGUAAGGUCUUGUUGGCCACUUGCUUGCCAUUUGAAAAUCAAAUUAAAAAAAAAAUGUAUCUUUUCAAUAAUCCCUUCACUUCUGAAAAGUGGUCCAAUAGAAAAUUUUCAUCUGUUCAUCUAAUCAAUGCUUUAAAAAAAAUUCUGUUAGGCAAAGAAGGUUAUGUAUAAUACAAAAAUAAACAAAGUACUUUGAAGUAUAUAGGAUGUAUACAUGAAGCACCCCCACUUUCAAGAAAACCUCACCCAAUCUGCAAAAUCAAAGGCAUCGAGCCUUCUCUUAUGUACAUGCUAAUCAAGCUGAAAGAUUGCAUAGGAAUGAAUGUUUUAACUUUUGCUUAGUCUUCAUUUUCAUUCUCAUCAAGUUGUCCAAAUAUGCAAAGAGGAGCGACUCUUCAAACCUUCUGUCUUUUCCUCCCUACAAAGUGUCAUGUCAACUUAACAGAGUUUCUUUUACCAAGUGCCUUGAUCUUGAUAUAAUGAAGUAGAGUAUGCUUAAUAGACUCCCCCUCAAGUUUGCAAAGAAAACAUCUAUUUGCUAGUGGUCACCCGCUUUUUUGGAGUUGAUUUGAUGUCAACUUGUCCCCAAUUGGCUUGCCAAGCAAAAAAACUCACUUUGGAUGGGACCAUAGAUUCCAAAUAAUGUCUGUUGGAAAGGGGAUUGACUUCUUGGGUUCCAAGACCUAAUAGAAAGAUUUAACUGAAAACACGCCCUUCUUAGAAUCCUUCUAGAUCACCUUGUUGUUUUCUUCUCUCCUAACUGACAACAUUAACAAUCUUGAGAAAAAAGUCUCAACAAUGUUUAGUCUCCAAUCGUUAAAGUGCUUGGAGAAGCACAGAUUCCAAUGACCCCUAGCUCUCCCAUAAAUGCCCAUCCAAGCCUCCUUGGACAAGGCAAUCGCAUGCAAGGAGAGGAAGGAAAAACACACCGGUUCCUUGUCACUCUAUUUGUUCUUCCAAAACUUAGCUCUCCUACAGUUACCUACUUAAAAGGAUGCUUUACUAAAGAAAAGAUCUAACCCCUUAUAGCUUAUUAAAAUGGGAAAACUGGUUGUGAUGAGGAUAUUCUUUCGAUUGAGUGUGUUUUAUGUUGAAGGUACUGGGGGGUAUACAUGUAUUGUAGUUAAGAUAGAGGGAAUGUCUUGUCGGAAUAGAUCUCACCCCUUAAUAGCCUAUUAAAAUGGGGAAAACUAGUUGUGAUAAGGAUCUUCUUUUAAUUGAGUGUGUUUUACGUCGGGGGUACUAGGGGGUAUACAUGUAUUGUAGCUAAGAUGGAGGGAAUGUCUUCUCAGCCUAAAACUUGGUGUUUAACUAAAACAGAGUACGUUGACAUGGAUGUUCUCUGCCUUGGAAAGAAAAAUUGUUUCUGAAACAAGGCAGGGUGACAAGAGAAUAUGGUUCUCAAAAUUUCAUAAAAGUAGCAUCAUUUUUCUAAAGGAUCAAAAUAGGCUAAAAAACCAGGGCAAUAGAUUUUGAAAGAUGGGUUAUAUAUUACCUUUGAAUUUAGACUUCGGUUUACUUGAACCUUUAGUACAGCCCACUGGAACCCCAAUUACUAAGGACCCAGAAAGAUUUUAGGUGCUUCAUAAUUAGGUUCUUGUUUCAAUAAUUUGGGAAUCGUGUCCUGAACAACACAUGCUAUGAAACACCAGCCAAAUUAUCUUCAUUGGGCCUGAUCUUUCAGCUUCCCAUACGGUAGUCAAGUGUGUGGUUGAAUUGGGAAUGGAAAUGCCCUCCUAUGAUUGGAAAAGGAAAUAAAAAUAUGUUCAGAAGCAUUGUUCUCUAAAGAAUUCACCAAGUUUUGUGGGAAACUGAGAGAGAAAAAACGAAUCUCUUUAGAUUGUGGACAAUUUUUUCUGUAGCUUUAUACUGGCUAACACUUUCAAGUUCCUGCAGUUUCCAAACUUAAGGGUUGGAUUAGAAGGAAACUUAAACUUGAGCUGUUAGAAGAGGCUUCAGUUUGAGCUUUUAGGAAUCUGAUUGAUCAUGGAAGUUCCUUGCCUUUUCAAAAUUACUUUGGCCACCAUUAUGGCUUGUUUUUCAUUUGUUUUUCAAAGAAUAAGGCCCAUUUUUAAGACAUUUAUGAAAUUAUCUCAUUCUCUACUCUAUAUAUUUGUCUAGACUCAUAAAUGAAGCAUUGCAGGACUUAUUCGCAGAUUUACGUCCCAACAUGACACGUUACUUAUCCAUUGAAGAAGUUAGUGCAGCUCUAAUAGAGCUUGAGGAGCAUGAACGUACAUACACAACUGACAAGGCCAACAGUGAGAAGUAUUCAGACACUGAAAAGCCUUCAAGCAGGACUACUUCCAAUACCAGCUCAGCGAAUGGACAAAGCCCUGCAAAUGGUGUUGAGGAGAAUGGUGGAGCACAUGAGGAUGUCAUAGGUGAGAGUGACAGCGACUCAGGGAGUGGCACCAUUGACCCAGAAGGACAUGACGAAGAAGAGGAGUUGGAUGAAGAGAAUCAUGAUGAUGGAUGCGACAGCGAAGAUGAUGAAGACGAUGGGGGUGGACCUGCAUCCGAUGAGGAUGAUGAAGUCCAUGUCAGACAGAAGGUGGCAGAGGUGGACCCUCAGGAAGAAGCCGAUUUUGAUCGGGAGCUCAAGGCUUUAUUGCAGGCAAGAUUUAGUUUGAUGCUCAGUGUGUGCCUUGGCCUUUAAAUUUUUUGUUAUUUUUCAUAUAUGAUGCUUUACAUUCCAUUUUAUUAGAAAAUAUUUGUUUGGAAGAAAUAAUUUAGGACUCAUGAUUCGUUUAGUUUUAGAUGCAUUGGCAAGAUUUUGUUGCAUCUCGUAAUGGAAGAAAAUGUUAAAACUUGAAUAUAUUCCAGUGAAGUAAGCUAAAAAUAGAAAUUGAGAAUAAACAAUUCAUGAUAAUUUUACAAAAGUAGUGUCUAAACAUAUUUUAAUGGAGUAGGAGUGUGGGCGCUGUAAUGUUAGUUACUAUCAGUGACCAUUGGUGACUUUGUUUUAAUAAAAUGGGAGGGGUUACGGUAGACAACUUUUUAACACUGCAUUUAAAACUUGGAUGCAGGAGAGCUUGGAUUCACGCAAGCUUGAGCUGCGGGCCCGGCCUACACUAAACAUGAUGAUACCAAUGAAUGUUUUUGAGGGGUCAACCAAGGAUCAUCAUGGACGGGGGGUUGAGGGGGAAAGCGGGGAUGAGAUAUUGGAUGAAGAGGCUGGGGGAAGCAAGGAGGUCAGGGUGAAAGUUCUUGUAAAGCGUGGGAACAAGCAACAGACAAAGCAGAUGUUCAUUCCUCGGGAUUGCUCGCUUGUGCAGAGCACAAAACAGAAAGAAGCAGCUGAGCUUGAAGAGAAACAAGACAUUAAGAGGUUGAUCUUGGAGUAUAAUGAUAGGGAAGAAGAGGAGCUUAAUGGGGUGGGAACCCAGACGAUGAGCUGGACGCCAAGUGGAGGUAGUAGAGUUUCCCGAGGUAGCUCAUGGGAAGGGGGGAGAACAUCUGGAGCACGUCAUCGGCAUCAUCAGAACUAUUCCGGUGGUGGAUUUUAUUAUGGCAGAAGAAAGUGAGCAUUUUGACUUAGGAAAAGGCUAGAACUACAGCAUCUUUUAUCCAGGGUACAUACCUCAGUUGCCAAAUUGGUAUCUUGUUCCUUGCGAUCCAUGCUAUGCAAAAAUCGCAAAUUUUAUGAGAUAUUUGCAUCUGCAGAGAGGAGGUCUCAUCAACGUCUUUUAGCACAGAGAUCACCUCUUAUCUUUUUCCCUGACAAAUUGAUUGGUGAGGUUUAUAUCAGAGAUUCCCGUCCAGGUCUUGUUGGAAACUAGUGUUUCGGGGAAGUGAAAUCAUAUCCAGGGUGUCAAUAUAUGAAAGACAGGAUGGUGAUUUUGAAGUAUACUCAAUAGGUCUGUACUGUCAUUUAACAUCUCAUCUGGACUAUAUCUUGGUGUUUGUCUUUGUAUAUUCAUCUGUGGAAGGUGGUUUGAUGCAAUACUUCCUCUGCUUCGCUUUUACCUGUAUAUUGAAGUUAAUGAGAAAGCAAAUUAAAGCAUGAGUAUAUUUCCCCUUUGUGUUUAUCUAGUGUGACGAUAACUAACAGUGAUGGAACUGAAUCCUAAUUCAUCUCUGAUUGAGAAGUGGGGUAGAGUCCUGAGUCCAGUAAUGUUCCUUCCCUCUACCUUUCAUUUUUAUCUGUUUAUUUAUUUGUUUGUUUGUUUGUUUUUGUUCCCCAUUUCCUAUUUCCGCAUACUAUGCCACCACUGAUAGAACCGUUAAUUCGAUUUAUUGGUCUCGGGUUUUUGGGCUGCCUUAAAAAGAAGAUUAACAGACAUUUUCUUUUAACAUUAUGAUUUUGUAAUGCAGCACUGGAUCCUAUACCAAAUCAGUUUUCUGAGCAUUGCAAUAUUUUGAGCCUUUUGAGUUACUAUAUUAUGGGUCUAGCUACAAGAUGGAAGACGUACCCAUAGAAAAGUUCAGUCAGUCAAAUUAUACAACUCGUGGAGCCACAGGAUUGAAGAAGCACCCAUCAAAAAAGUGCGGUCAUUUAGAUUGUACCGCGUAUAUCAUUCAUUUGUAGCUUAGUCAUAUUCUUCAUGCUUUAGUCUUAUUAUCAUAUCUUUUUUUUAUACAUUUUCAACAGGUGAAAAUUGUAAUAUCAAUGGUGGCUCUUAGCAUCUUUAGUUUUCUCCUUUAACCUACUCGGAGAUUUCUUUUCCCUGCUUUUUAAACAUCCCACUAGCAAGAAUUUUUUCCCUCUAGUUGUUAGAACCUUGGAAAACUUGAAUCUAGGUUUUGAAGCCUAUGAAUAAGAUGCAAGAAAACAAGCUGCUUUAUCGACCGUUUUUUUCUUCUUUUGCUGCGAUAAGUAUCAUUCCUUCCAUAUGUCUAAAUAAGAAUUAGUGUUUUCUUCUAAUAAAAGUAAAGAUGCCUUGAAAAAAUUCAAAUGUUUAAGAUUAAUAAAUAAAUAAAUAAAUAAAAAAUUCUAGAAUCUCUCGCUUUGAUUUUUAUUCUUGCCUUGCCUUGAAGGCAAUGUUAACCUCACCAGCCAUCAGAUACCUAAUACCCCACCUUCUGUCUUUCUCUUCUGUUCCUGAGAGUUCUUCUAAUCUCUCAUAAGAACAGGAAAAAAAAGGAGAAAAAGAGAGAGAGGUGAUGUGUUCAUAUGGAGAAGCAAGACUCAGUGGAGUCGUCACUGCUCCACGUGCUCUUUUCGGCAGGCUCCAUUUGGGCCGAGAAUUCAAUGGUUAGAAGGGCAGGACAAGACCCCCAAACAUGCAAAUCAUGUGAUUCACAAUUUUAUAUUAAUAACCAAACCAACUCCAGUGUCCUGACUUUCCCUUCUCCUUAUUGCAUGAACAACUGUACAUUUUUCUGCUACCUACUUGGAGAAAACUACUACCCCAGUCGAACCUAAUACUUCCGCCCCAAUUCUUCUCUUUCUUUUUGAAUUUGUUCCUUUUGUACUUUUUUUUUUAUAUAAGUAAAUUCCUCAUCAGUAUUUUUGUUUAGCACGCCAAUCUUUUCAAAAAAAAAAGCUUUUUUUCAUGCUCAAAGACCUUGUUAAAAAAACAAAGUACUUUGAAAUUAUAUAUAUACUUUGAAAUGAUAUAAGCAAAAUAUCGGUAUAUAACAAUAUAAAUUAUGAAUACGAUAAAUUAUUAAAUUGGGUUUAGGUUAAUGCUCAUAUUGGGUUGAGAUGAGUUCAAUCUCAUCCUCCGGAAAAUUUAAAUGCAAUGAUAGAGGUAUGAGUUAUGAGAAUUUUUUAUAUCCAUCCCACACACCUUACCUCAUUUUAUCUGGUUUAAUUUUUUCAAAAUUUUUAGUUAUAUUAAAAAUAAAUGUAUUUUAUAAAUAAAUAAAUAGUAUAAAUUACUUUAUGUGUAUUAGUAGGAUAAGAUAAUACAUGAACUCAUUGCAAACUAGUCCAAAUUUAAAAGAAAAAAAGUCAAGUCGACCUAUAAACUCUUCCUUUUUUUUUUUCAUCCCAUUAGGAAUGGAACAAAACAUGAUUCUUUAAAGAAUUCAUCUCAUUGUCAUCCCUACCCACAUCUCUCAACAGCUAACCUGAAUUGAGUUUUCUUAACCCAAAUUCAACCUUAAUAUUUAUCCAAACUCUUUAAUUAAACCAUUUUUUAAUUUAGUUAUAUAUAUAUAAUCAAAACAAGGUGAGAUAACACAAGACAAUAGAAAAAAAAAAUUAAGUCAAUCUUUUAAUCUAUUUAUUUUCAUUCCAAACUCAUCUCAUUAGAUACAAGAUGGAUCGAUACUUGAAAAAAACUCAACCUCAUCAUCAUUCCUACCCAUUCCCCUUACUCCUUGACCUUAAGUCAAUCUAAAUUAAGUUCGAAUUAAAUAAACUCUACUCAAAUCAACCAAAAUCUUAAAAGUUGGCCUCCAUAUAGGAUUAAGUCAUACUAAGCUUUAUUUAUAAAAAUUAUUAUUUUCUCUUCAAAAUUUAUACACAAUUGAAUCAUUAAGCUUGUGUGAUAGCUUACCUCCUUUCAAAAACAUCUGGUUGCAGAGUUGCAAUCACUACACAAAUUCACAUUUAAAAUAUUUAAAAUGUAAUUAGUAUUUAACAACCUAUAAUUACAUGCAUGAUUCAUUUUGACUUUACUUUGCCAAAGUAGGUUUGGUGCUCUUAGAUCUUGCCUUCGAAUAUGAAAACAUCCAAAAUGAAAAAUAAAAAAUAUUUAAUAUUUAAUUUAAAUUAAAUUUUAAAAAAAAAGGACAAAAUCAUGCAUUCUACAAUGCAACAAAAGAGUUUGUGAUGUGAAAUAUAAUGAACAUAAAGUCAAAAUUUUCAUUAUUGUAGGAAAAGAAAAAUCUGUUAAGAUUUGGAAGAUAAUCUCCUCAUCAUUUGCUGUCGGGACAAUAUCAUUUUCUAGCCCCUUAAAAUCAAUACCCAACCAACCAUGGUUGUCACCAUAUCAUCAUUUCAUAUUUUAACUUCUUUUUUUUUUUUAAAUUAUCAAAAAUUAAAAUAUUUUUAAAAAUAUCAACAAAAUGAUAGCUUCAAUUAUUAGAAUUUUUUUUAUAAUUUUUAAUAUUAAAAAAAAACUUUCUAUAAAAAGUCAUUUUAAAAUUAAUUGUAAAUUAAAAAAAGAUGAAGAGAAGGACAAAAGUGUCAUAUUAUUUUCUUAAUGAUAACCGGCGGAAAAACCGCGGUGGUAAGACAACCAACCUAACGCUUUUAAACGUGGAAGGUUAUGAUUUAAAAAGCACGUGUAAAAAAUGCAGACGAGCAAUGGCAAUCAUGUAAAUAAAGGCAAGAUCGAGACUUAAAAUGAGCAGUAGAAAUGAAAAUCAAAAUACGAAAGGAGGGGAGGCGACCACGUCACCAGUGGCACACAAACCUCGUACCCUUUGCCGACAAGUACUCCCACUUCAUUCAUUUCUCAUCAACCUUUUUAAGCCUUCUUUCUAUAAUAAUUCAAUCACUUCUAUUAUUAAUCAUAUCAAUUAUUAUUCUUCCUCUUUCACACUCUCACUUCACCCUCUUCCCUCCCCUCUUUUUAUUUAUUUAUUUAUUAUUAUUUUAUUUUCUUACCAACAUGGCAUUAUUAUUAUUAUAUUAUUAUAUGAUCUACUUGGGCUGAUGUCAGCAAUGACGUUAAAAAAUAAAAUAUGAUUAAAAUAAAAAUAUAAAAUAUUCUUUUUUUUAUAUGUUGAAUUUGUCAAGAUUUGACCUUGAAGACAUAAUUAAAACUGAGGUGGCAUUUUGUUCUUGUUCUAUUGAUUUUUUUAAAAUAAGGUUGAUUCUCUAUUAGCUGCCUCCAACGUUAAAAUUUUAUAUUUUACUCCCACGUGAUUUAUUUUAUAUUCGUUGCUAUCCUAUGUUAAAAUUUUUAAUCGUUACUCUCACGUGCUUUAUUUUAAAAAAUCAAAUGCUGUCAAUUCAUUUUGAAAAAUCAGGCUGAUUAUAUUAAUAUUUUAUUUUAUUUUAUUUUAUUUUAUUUUUUAUAAAAAAGAAAAAUCAAUUCCUUGGACCACGACAAGAUUCGCUCCAUUUUUCAAAGUGACAACAAAGGUUAGUGAUAACUUAGGACGCUUAUAAAUCCAUGGGGAAGGGGAAGAGACUUUUUAUUAUUAUAAACUAAUUACAUUUUUUAUAAUAUUUUUAAAGUGUUUUAUUUUUAUAAUUAAUUAAAGUUUUUCUUUUCUUUUCUAUGAUUCAUGCAUCAUUGCCUAGUCAGCAGGUCCAUCAUGGCAUCGUGAAAGAGACUUAAUGAGAUAUAGUUCAUAUUGACAAAGAAGAUGAACCUACUUUUUAUUAUUAAUUUUUUAUUUAAAAUAUAAAGAUAAUAUUCCAACAAUUUUAAAGGAGUCGGCAGUUUCGGUGAUUAGCUGUAAAAGAAAAAUAAUUGUGUUUGUUGAAUAACAAUCACGUUUUCUGCAUUCAAUAAACAUUUAUGGUAUAGACAGAUCAUAAAAAUUAUGUAUAAAUAAGAUCGUCGUUGUAAAAAUAAUUAUUUAAUAAAUAUUAUUUUUCGUUUUUAAUUUUAAUUCAAACAUAGUUAUAACCUCGUUAUUUAAGGUUAUGUUUGAUUUGUGAGAUAAAAUAUAAUAUGGUAUAGUUUUUAAUUUUAUAUGAAAUGUAUAUUUUAUGAUAUGAUAUUUAGUGAAAUAUGUUAUUGUUGAAAGAUAAAAUUCAAAUUAUCUUUUGAAAUAUUUAAAAUUCAAAUUAAUUAUUAUAUCCAUGAAUCUCUAUUCUAAAUCGUGAAUAGAAUUAUCAAAAUUUAAAAACUAUUUAUGUUUUACAAUAAAAAUGGCUUUAAAAAAAAUAAUAAAAUAGAUGAAAUUUAAGAGAUAAAGUCUUCUUGUAGAAGCAUGUUCUUUCGGUCCCUAAAAACUAUUCCUCCCAUCUGUCUUAGAUGGGCCAAGUUGACCGGCAUCCAAACCCAACUCUUGAUAUUUAAUUCCUAACAUGAAUUUAAUGUUUAAAAUAAAAAAUUAUAUUAUAUUAUAAUAUUUUUUAUUUAAAAAAAUAUGAAUUUUUUUAUACUUAACCAUAAUUAUGAUUAAAAAUAUUUAAAUUUUAUAAAUAAAUAAAAUUUAUAUUAUGUUAUUCAAAAUAAAAAAAUAAUUUUUACAUAUAUUAAAUAAUAAAAAUAAAAAUAUUAUUUUAUAAAUAUUUUUUUAUUCUACAAAAUAAGUAAUAUAAAAAAAAUGAAAAUGAUAAUAAAAGGAGUAAAUUUAUGAUAUAUAGAUAUUUGUUUAAACUUAAAUCUAAAUCAUGGUAUUUAUUGCUUUCUUGGAUGACUUUGGAUGGCAAUCUAGAAUAUUAAAUUUGACUCCAUGUACAAUCACAUCUGCCUAUCCUAGACCUUAUCCACACCCAAGAGAAUCGCACUUAUACGUGGCAGCUACUCAUUGGACAACGUAGGAUCGAUGUUGAUUUCUUGAUUUUGACCCUCAUAUCCAACCUCAUUAGCUCUUCAAUUAUUAGUGCGACCCGAAUAAAAUUGGGUUGAUUAAUAAUUCUUACAAAACCCAUGAAAAAAAUAAUUAAAAUAUGUAUAUAAAAAUAAAAACAUUGAGAGUUGAAAGCUGAGAUGACUUUUUGAGAAGAAGAGGAAGAAGAAGAAGAAGAAUGAUUGAAUUUUACCAAAAGGAGAAUAAUGGUGAAAGAUUCAAAUGUGGUGGGCAUGAUGGGGACUGAUUGGAGAUGAGGAUACCCUAACUGGAAAGGGAAUAUGACAAAGGUCUGGGUAUCCUUUGAUUUUUUGUGUACACAGAUUAGGGAUUUGCCCGAAAGAGGAAAGCUUCUAUGUGUGAGGGCGUCAUCAAUAUUCUCGUGUUUCCACCUUCACUUGUUAUUAUUCUCAGAAAUGGACGGCUCAGAUUUUUCCUGAUGUGCUCAUUUUAUUCAUUCAUUCAUUCAUUCAUUGCCCAGGCUGCUUGGUUUCCCUGAAAAAGACCUCUCCUCUGUCUUCAUUAAGGUUUCUCUCUCAUCGUCAUCAUCAUCUUCCUCCUUCUUCUCCUCUCCAUUGAUUCGGUGGUUGGGCUGCUUAUCUUCUUCCUCCCUUUCAUUUUUUCCGAUUAUUAUAAUAUAAUCGAUAAGCGACCAUGUUAAUAAAAUUUUGACCGAAAAUGCCCAUGAAAGACAGUUUUCUGCGUAGCCUCUGUGAGUGGUAGAUGAUGGGCCAAAGUGUAACUUCAGCCGCGGUUCGAGGAGCUUCUCCGUCUCGGUGGGCCCAUUUUAAAUGAUAAAAGAGGCGCUUUGCCUUUUAAUCAAACACAAGGGCCACUCCAAUACCCCCAUAUCAAACACGUGAUUCUCUAUUUUUCAACUCCGGAAAUGCUUCCCUCUAUUCACGCUCACACGGUCACAACCUAAUCAAUCUUCCCUGACCGUCGACCGUCCCUCGAGUAAUGGUAGGUUCAUCCAACGGUGAGAGGUUAGCUAUCUCUAAUCUCAAGACCCAUCCACGUGUCAACUGUGGGAUUCUUGAUUCAGGAAAGGACAAUUCCAUAUAGUAACCGAUCAUUGUGUUCAUUGUGUAUAGUCAGUUUUUAUAUUGUCUAUGUAUUUUUCUGACAAUACAAAUGGUAGAAAAUAAUAAUAAUAAUUGUCUUUUAGGUAGAGUUUUGAUUUUGGGUGGGGCCAGAGACGAGAGAGGGUGUGGACGGUUGGAUUUAUUGAAUUUGUAUGGGCCUAUGGGGACACCAUCACAUUUGAUGAACAUGGAGGUCCAGCUCACCCAAACAAGAAGAGAAGGAAAAGAAAAAGAAAAAGAAAAAGUCAAAGAACAGUGCGGUCAACGAUGUCCGGCAUAAUGUGAGAGAUGAGACACUCUGAUAUCUCCGUCCAUCUUCGGACGUUACAAACCUGUAACGGACUGCCACGUGGAAAGGCCCGGGCUAUAUUAAAUUAUGUGGUACACUGUACACAGUAUGAACAUUUCCCAUUGCUGAAUGCUGACGCUGACGGAUCGUCCAAUUUAUUUUCUUGAUUCCUUUUUAUUAAUUUUGAUAUUUAAAUGGGGUAGAAUGUUAAUUAAUAAGGUAGUUACAAAAAUAGAAUAUCGAAAUUUAAGGUGAAUUAGAAGUCACAUUUUGUAUGGCCACCUAAAUUCCUAAUUGUAAUACAAGGACAUUUGAAGUGGGCCCCGCUGCCCCAUCAGACGGGCAUUACUUACGAGAGUAGUAGUACCGAGUACGCGUGGUACAAGUACUAUUAAUAGUAAGGAAAAUGUUACUAUUAUUGAAAACAUGGUCACGGACCCCUUCAGAUUGUCUGUCUUUUUUUUUUUUUUUAUUAUAAAUAUUAUAAGGUAUAGUUCUAUACUCAUAUUAUAUAUAGAUUUACAGAGUGGCAUGUGUGGGAGUUAGGGAGAGUGAGAGAGGGUGAAGCAAGCAACUUGGGUGGCAGCUGAGCAACUGUUAUUUCUUUUUUUUUCUUUUUUCUUUUUCUAAGUCAUUUUCCCCUCAAACACCAACCACUCUCUCUCUCUCUACCUUUGCAGGCUUCUUUCUUUCUCCUUCCCCACAUCUGUCUCCCUCUCUUCACAAGCUGCCGUUACUUCACCAACCCCACCUCCCAUCAAAUGCAUCUCUUCUCAUACCUUCUUCGUCAAUCUUUUCGCUUUCUUCUUCUUCUUCUCUGAUCUUCAGCGGUUACGCCCGGAAACUGUUUGUGGGAGCUUGAAUUGGGGUAGCUUGUUCAUUGUUUGCUUUGUUUAGAUAUGUGGGAUCUUAAUGUUGAAUCUGGUUGUGAUGAGGAUGAGAGGAUGAUAGUGGUGGUGGUGGAAAAGGGGGAGGAGGAGGAGCUGGUUCCGGGGGGGUGUAGGAGCCUCAUGGAGGAUUCCGGGACUUCGAAUUCCUCGGUCGUCAAUGCCGACGAAGCUCCCAGCAAUGGCGGCGACGAGGACUCUUCUAACAACUCCUCUGCAUUCAAUUUCGGUAUCUUGAACAAGUUAGGACGUCAUGUGCCCACCUACGGCGCCGUGGAGGAGACCCCGGAGUUUGUGACCAGGCAGCUUUUUCCGGCCACCGGAGACCGAGGAGGCGGGGAGUCGGAGCUAUGCUCCGGAUCGUCUUCGACGUCGUUUCCGAAGCCUCAGUGGCUUAACCUCUCGUGCCCUGAACCAAUUGGGCAGCAGAAGCCAAAGCAGCAGCAGCAGCAGCAACAACAACAGGUGAGGAAGAGUCGGCGAGGACCGAGGUCCCGGAGCUCGCAGUACCGUGGCGUUACGUUUUACCGGCGAACUGGUCGGUGGGAAUCGCAUAUAUGGUGCGUUUCUUGAUGAUUCCGUUAACUCUUUGUUACGAGUUUGUGUUGUUGAAUCAUGAUCUUGAUUAGUUUUUCUUUGCUGUGUAGGGAUUGUGGGAAGCAAGUGUAUUUGGGUAAGCAAAUGAUGCCAUUUGGGGCGGUUUAAUUUCAUUGCAGAAAGAUGAAUUUGGUGAAUUAUUCCAACUUCUCGGAUUUUGUGAUGAAUUUGGGUGUUGAUCUUUUCUUUCUCUUCCUUCUUUAGGUGGAUUUGACACGGCUCAUGCUGCAGCAAGGUAAGAACAUCUUCUUUUUGGGGGAAUUAACAUUGAUUUGGACCACAUGAACAAUAACCUUAUUCUUUUUUCUUGAUUAAAAUUCUGGGUUGUUUCAUAUCUUUGUGAAUUUCCUCAAUUUGGGUUUUGUGAAUUCAGAGCAUAUGACCGGGCCGCAAUUAAGUUCCGGGGAGUGGAUGCUGAUAUCAAUUUCAGCAUAAGUGAUUAUGAAGAAGACAUGAAACAAGUGGGUUACUCUCAGUUUGAUCUUGUAAAGCAACUUCUUCUCUGAUUCCUGAUUGUAACUGAAUUGGUAUGCAGAUGAAGAACCUGAAUAAAGAGGAAUUCGUGCACAUACUUCGUCGUCAAAGCAAUGGAUUCUCACGAGGGAGCUCAAAAUAUAGAGGUGUGACCCUUCAUAAAUGUGGAAGAUGGGAAGCUCGAAUGGGGCAAUUCCUUGGGAAGAAGUAAGAACCCCUCAAACUGAAGCUAUAUUUUGGAUGAUUAUCUAGUUACAUGUAGUACAUAAAACUUGGUACAUGAGGGUGCAGACCCUAUUUGUGAUUUUUAGGUCCUUAACAAUGUGCUCUUUCCUUUUGUGGAAAAUAAACCUAAGAUGGAUAUUUCAAGUAAGAAAUGAUUAGGGACCCAUUUUUAUCCAUGAGAGUAUGAUGCUUGCUUGCAGGUAUAUUUAUCUUGGGUUAUUCGACAGCGAAAUAGAAGCCGCAAGGUCCUUGUGAUCAUGAAUUCAUUUCUCUUGAUUCUGAAUUUCUUGCACUUAAAUGUCAAUUUUGAUAGGUUCCAUCCAAACAUGGAUCUCCAAUUUCAUUUUUUGAAUUCAGGGCAUAUGACAAAGCUGCUAUCCGAUACAAUGGAAGGGAAGCGGUCACCAACUUUGUGCCAAGUACCUAUGGAGAAGGGGCAAUCUUAGAGGCCAAUGACAGAAGUACAAUUUUAUUUUGUUCUUUUUUUCCACUGAAUUUUCUCAUUUCAUGUGCUCAUCUCUAAGAAUUCAUUUGUAUUGUUCUGUACAAUAAAUUUUGUUAUGCUUUGAUGCAGGCAGUGGGCACAAUCUUGAUUUGAACCUUGGGCUUUCUUUCCCUCCCGAUGGUCCUAGGGGAAAUGACACAGUUGGGAGGAGAUCCAUGGUAACAUUCCAAUUAAAAUGCUUGAGUUUGAUUGCAUUUCCUCGACUUCCUUUUCAUCCUUCAAAUUUCCAUGGCGUUUUCAUUAUUCAACUAUUUUUGUCCCUUUUAUCUUUUGGAAAGCAUUGCAAUUCAUGAAGAUUUUGAUACGGUUUUGUGGGUUAUUCUCACCUUAAGAUGUCUGUCCCUGCAUGCUCUUUCUCCAGUUCAUUGAUACUUACAGCCCCCUUGGUGGCGGUUUACUGCAGGUUGAGGGCUCCACUUACACACUAGUUGGUGGACAACCCCGCCAUAGUCUAACCACAGUAUCCAAGCACCUUCCCAUGAUAUCCGGCAUAUGCACUAGUUUCUUACCAAUUCACGAGGUGAUCUCUCAAACUCAAAUCACUAGUACUUUGUAAAAGGUUUAGACAUUGAAUAUUGCAAAUAUCUGAAAGCCCUUAUACUAGUUUUUGUUGCAUUAACUGUGGAUCCCAAAGCAUAUAUCAGGUUCUUUCCUUGUUUUCAUUGCUCUAGGAUUCUUGCUUUUGCAUUAUGGAUUCAUAUUCACAGUAAUCAGGAUCUUAUAACUUGCCCAAUUAGCCUCCUACUAGUAGAAUGAAGUAAUCAUACUUAAAACUUAAAUCACUCUCCCAUCUCUUACUAGAUUGAAUCUCUUUAUUGGACUUGGUGGAAUAUAAUUCAGGCAUGAGGUAGGGACUAAAUUAUCAGGGGCUUAUGGCCUUAUUUCAGUGUUUUCUACAUGGGAAUUUCAUCAUUUAGCAGAGCAAUGUUUACUGAUUGAUCGUCUUUUACGAGCUCUACCUUUUUAGUAAACACUGACUUCAUCUCCCAACAUAUUCCUGUGUAUUUUUGUUUGUCUUUUGGAUGACAUUCCACAUCUAAUGCGGAGAAGGCUGCUUCUUGAAUAUUUUUCACUCCUGUUCUGUAUUUUUCAUUUGUUCAUUUACUCAUUUGCCUGUGAGUAGACUGGGCAAAGUCCAAUUUGUCUAUUGUGGCCACUUGAGGCUUCAUUGAAAUAGAUAAAUGGAAAAAAAAAAAAAAUUAGAACCCAAAUGUAUUACAAAAGGAAAGGGAAACAAAGAGGGAAAGCAGAAAGAGCUAAAAUACAAAAAAUGAUGCUUACUUUUUCUUCUUUUACCAGGAAACAGCCCUGGAGAAAAGGUUGGACGGGGUUUCUUCACCAAGAUUCUCAAACUGGGCAAGGCAAGUGUAUGGCCAUGGUGUCAAUAUCCCAAUCCCACUGUUGUCUACUGCAGCAUCAUCAGGAUUCCCUUCUUGCUCCACCAUUGGUCCCUCUGCAACUCUUCCACUAUUAAAUCCCAGGAACAUUAAUCCUGCCCUGCAGCCUCCUCCACAAAUCUCCCCACCAACUACAUCCACCACCAACAGUACAAGUUGCUUCUACAAUUUUGGGAGCUCAAAUCAACAGAUGCAGUUUUGAUAAUUUUUUCCCCUCUUUCUGCUUAGGAAGUGACCCUGCUGGAAAGCAAAACCAAUUAGAGAGUCGUUUCUGUGCUUGUUUUCUGUUUAAUAUGAAGCCAUGUAAACUGAUCAUAACAGUGUACCUGGUACUUCUACUUGAAGCACUCCAUUUCGUUUCAUUUCAUCACUGCUGUAUUACCACUCUCCUAAUGGCCUUAUCAUCAACAUGUAGAACAAGAGGCCAUUGACAAUUGUAAUGCAUUGAAGCAACAAUGGUGAAGCCGAGAGAGAGUGGGAGGGAGAGAGAGAGAUGGGGUUGUGUUGUAUUGUGAAGCUGAGUUGGGGACAGCAGGGAGUCAGUAUCAUUGAAGUGAUGGGGUGUGAAUUAACAACAUGGGCUGAAUUGGGAAUAAUAACAAGCUCAUAAAGUGCUCAGACCAUUCAAUUCAUGUGCCAUGCAAGGUAGAUAGAAAGGAACAGCCCCAUUCACAAUGUCACUUCAUAUCCCAUUUUGCCUCUCUUAUGUUUUGUUUGCUUCCCAUAAUUCUAUAGGAAGCUACUAAGGGGACAAAAAAAGUUGUUAAAAAAAAUGAUUUUCUAUUAUUUAGUUUUGUAAUAAAGCAUAAGAAAAAAAUAAAACAUAAUUAAAAAUAUAUUUUUAAAUUAUAUAAUUUUUAUAUCAAAGUUAAAAUACGGGAAAUUAUUUGAAGCAACAUAUAAAAAUCGUUUAUUUCGUUAAAUCUAUUUUUUUGUUUUUUGUUUUUUUUUCUUUCUAUAUUUUUCUUCAAGUUUUUUAGGACCAACAAGAAAAUAGAGAGGAAAAAAAAGAGAGGAAAAUUUAUUUAUUUAUUUUUGGGUUGCAUUUGGUCUAAAAAAAGGUAUUAAGAAAAAAAAAGGUUAUAAUGAAAAUUAUUUUAUCUAUGAAAAAUAUAAAAGAAAAUUAAAUAUAAUUAAAAUAAGUUAAAAUUUUAUGCAUUUUUAAAUAAUUUAAUCUUUAUAUAAAAGAGAAAAAAAAACAAGUCAAAUGAAUUUAAAGCAACAUACAAAAAUAAUUUAUUAAAUUUAAAUUUAUUUUUUAUUUUCCUUUUUUCUUUCUAUUAUUUUUUUCUUAUAUUUUCAAAAUUAAACAUAAUCUACAUUUAUUUAUUUAUUUUUUUCCUUUCAAUGAAAUCCAAAUUCCGGAACCACUAUCGGUUUUUUGUUUCUAAAAAUAGAAAACAUUAACAACUUUUGUAUUAAAAAUAGAAAUUCUUAUACAAAAAAAUAUAUGUUUACCUUAUAUUCUUAAACAAUACAUUUUAAAAAUCAUCACUUUUUUAAUAUAUUGUCAUAUGCUAUGCCCAAAUGUUAAAUAUGUCAUUUUUUUAAUAAAAAUAUGGAUGAAGAAACUUAUGUGAUCAACAUGUAGAUAAAUUAGACAUAUUCAAGCAUAUUAUAUAAAAACCCAUACAAUAGAAUGAUUUAUUGACAUUUAGGCAUAGUACAAAGGUGAGAUUACUUAAAAGAACUUUAGAAAUUAAAUUGGUCACAUUAUUUUGUACCCUCUUAUAGUCUUAUUUGUCAUCAUUGUUUUAUAUCCCUAUCUCACUUUUUAUUUUAUUUUAUGCAUCUUUCUUUAUUUAUUUAUAUCUUGAUGCAUAUAUUUGUACAUUCAUUCAACUAUACAGAUUUUAUCAUAUACUUUAAAUUGAUGAUAUCUAAACUUCAAUUGGUACAAAUACUUAGAUUCUUCCCAUCUAAUAACAAGUAUUCUUCAUUCAUAAUCGGAAAAUUUUAAGAUGUAUCAUAGAACAACCCAGAGAUUAAAUGAAUUAGUAGUCAUUUUAAAUUUAACAAAAAAAAAUCAAAUUUUUAGUUUUUAUUGAUAAACAAAACUUCAUGCAAAAUAAUUAAUUAUUUUGAAAAUCAUAAUAGAUUCAAAAACUAAGAAACUAUGAAAUAAUAAUCUAUGAUGUUAAUAACACUUUCGAUAAAAGUUUUUGUUAACAAUAAUCACUUUGGGAAUUCUUUGUUAAGAUUUUGAAUUCACCGGUCUUGAAAAAUAGGUGAGUAAUAUGAGUUUGUGUACGUUGUUUCAAAUAGUGAUGAAAAUAUCAUGAAAUAUUGUUGAUUUUUCAUGAAAUAUUGAUUAUUUUGUGGAUAAUUUGUUUGCCCUAUUAGUGUUUCUAUUCCUUUACAAAUUGAAGGGUUUUUAAAUUUAAUAAAAAUACAUAAAUUUUUAGUUUUUUUUUUUAUCGAUAAACAAACUUUAUGCCAAAUAAUUAAUUACUUUGAAAGCCAAUAUAAUAAAUUCAAGAACUAAUAAAUGAGAAAACGAUAAUCUAUGACAUCAAUAUCACUUUUAAUGUGAGUUUUUGUUAAAUCUUUUUGUUAACAAUAAUGACAUUGUUGAUUUUUUAUUAUGAUUUCGAAUUGAGUACUAUCGUAUAAUAGAUAAGUCACAUGGACUGAGGUAUAUUGUUUUAAAAAUGAGUUGAUGAUGUGGUUUCAAAUUUAUUAAAAAUAUCAUGAAAUAUCGGUUUUUUUGUAGAUAUUUCACUCGUCAUGUUAGCAUUUCUUCUGUCUUUUCAUUUAAAAAAUUUAUGGAUUUUUAAAACCAAAAAAAUAAAUUAUUUGUUUUUAUUAAUAAACAAAACUUUAUGCAAAAUGAUUAAUUAUUUUGUAAAUCAACAUAAUAUAUUUAAGAAUUAAGAAAUGACAAUACAAUAAUGCAUGAUGCUAAUAAUACUUUUGAUGUGAGCUUUUGUUAAAAUUUCCUUGUGAAUUUUUCUCUUUACGAUUUUGAACACGUUUUUUUUCUCCUUUCCUUCAAAAAUUUGAAGGCUUAGUGUAAUGGGCCUGAGAGAGAAAGUAACAAAGUAGUCCAAACUAAGCCCAUUUCAAUACAGUACUUAUGUGUGAUGAAAGAAACCAAGCCCAAGCAUACUUCCCGAUGAUGAAGGAAUGCAGUGUUCCUAUUAAAAUUUUGUUUGACAGUAAUUUUAGGAAAUACUUUUAGCUUAAAAAGCAUUUUUGAAAAGACAUUAGGAAUUUGAGAAAAUUUAGAAAACAUUUUUAAAAUUUUAAAAAAUCAUUUUUUUAGAUUAACACAUAAUAGUUGAUUCUCUUAAAAAUAAUUGGGUAAAGACACUACUAAACACAUUUAAAAGCAUGUUUGACACUAUUUCUUGUGGAAGUGUUUUUAUUGAAAACGUUUUCUUUUACAACACUUUUGUGAAACUUUGAUGAGAAUUUGGAAAAGUAAUUAUAGUGUUUUUGAUGAUAUAUUUCAUACAUAAAAAAACACUUUUAAUAAUAAUAAAUUACUAAAAAAUAUAUUUAUUAAUAUAUAUAUAUAUAUAUAUAUAUAUAUAUAUAUAUAUUUAUUAUAGUGUUAAAAAAACUAAAAAACAUAAUAUUUUUAUGAAAAGGAAAUGAAAGAUGAAGAGGAGAGUGAGAAAGAAGUUAAGAGUGUAAAGGAAAUGGAAGAUAACAAAAAAAGGGUAUUUUAGGAAUACAUAAAAAAAAAAAAAUUGAAGUGGUUCUUUUCACAAAAAAACACCUCCAAGUGUUUCUCUAAACAACACUAGUGUUUUUCUAAAAUUUGAAAAGUAUUUUUUAAAAUACUAUCAAACACCUAUUUUUUUACCUUCAAAACAUUUUUAAGUAUUUUUAAGGCUAAAAAAGCUUUUAAAAAAUGUUGUGGCUCGAAAUCUAUUAGUUUUUCCUUUUUUGGUAAGGAAGGAGUGAGGUGAUCCUUAUUAAAUCCAUUAGUUUUUUCUUUUCCAACUCAGUAUUGCUCUUUAAAUUUGGUGAUUCUGAUUUCUAACCAUGCAGUUGUAUAUAUUAAUCACCUUUUAUAUAUAUAUACAUACAUAUAUAUAUAUAUAUAUUAUAAUAAUUAAAUAUGAGACAAACAAAAAUUUAUAAUUAAAAAUUAUGAAUAUUUUUAAAUAAAUUUUUUUAUAUAUAUAUAAUCAAUUAUUUUAUAUUCUUUAAAAUAUUUAAAUUAACUAUAUCAUAAUUUUAACAUUGAUGUGCUUUCAAAUUUUAUAUAUUAUUACAUAUUGUCGUAGAAUAUAUCAUAUAACUUGAAAUUCUUAUGUUAUCAUUUAAAAUUAUUUUUAUGAAUUUUUAUCAAUUUUCGUCUUAUUGAUAUUUUGUAAUAUAUCCAUAAUAUUCAAAAGUUAUACUUACUAUUUACCAACUUAAAUGAAUUCACAUAAUAAUAUGGAUUAUAUUUUUCCAUAUUUCUCUAUUAUACAAAAUAAAUUUCAUCACGGAUUAUAAAAAUUGUAACACCACUUCAAUAAAUAAAUAAAAUAUUUAAUUCCUAGAUUAUAAUUUUAUUUUUUCAUAUAUAAGACUAUUAAAUGUCUUAUCAAUUAGUUCACCUACCAGCCAAUCAAUUGAUAUACUUUUUCACAAAAUAUAAUUCAAUAUUCAUUAUUAGGAAGAAAUUGGUAAUUGUUGUUGUCAAACCAAUGUUUGGUUAAUCUUGAUUUUGAUGAUAAUAAAACAAGAUUUAGAACUAAUGAUCAUAUUUCAAGUGUGAUUAGGCAAGACGAUUUCCAAAGUGGCAAUCACAAAGAUAAAUCAUGUCAAUGAGAAAUCAUGAAGAAGAAGACCACCUCAAAAGAGAAGAGUUUUUCAAGACCCAAGCUUCAUAAGAUUUCUUUGUAAGGUUGUUGAUGCAAUAGAACUUUCAUGCAUUUCAUUCUUUAUUUGUGCACCAAAAUCAUCAAAGAGUAAUAUUGUUUUAAAUAUCUUUAAAAUUGGAUGAUUUUAUGUUUUCAACUAAAACCUUAUGUUAAAUGAUUUUUAAACUUGUGUUAAAAGGUUUUAAGUUGAAAAAGGUUGGGUGUUGAGCCAAAAAAUGGCUCAGCCGGUUCAACCGGUUAAGGAACUAGUUGUACUCGUCUAGUCAAGUACCGGUCGAGGGAGGUAAAAAAGUUUCUCUCUUUUCUAGUGACCUUCUCUUCCCGGUGGAGGUGAUUCUCUUACCGGUCGAGGACCGAUCGAGGUCCGAUUGAGGCUAACGGUCACCUGCCAAACAUUUAAUGCCAACGGCUAGUCAACCGGUUGAACCCCCAAACGGCUAGUUUGACUUUUCUCUUCUAUAAAAAGGCUCCAAAUUUCAUUGUUUAGUAAGCUUAACCUUUCAAAAUAUUUCUUGAUUAUAUUUGAGCCUUGGAAGAGUAUUUUUGAGUGCACCAUUAUUUCAAAACUUGUAUAUCUUUAGUGCACCAUUCAAUCUUAGUUUUUCUUGUAUUAUUUGAGCUUAAAGUUCUUGUACUAUGAUUUUUGAGAGAUCAUUUUAUUUGUAAACCUUUGAAAUGAAGUUUCUCAAGUGUGAGGUAUCAUUUGAGGGGUUGUUCAAGAGUGAGAUAUCUCUUGAGAAGUGUAAAGGGUGCUUGGAGCCAAAAGUCUAAGAGGGUGAAUUAGAAUCAUAAUCCAAUUGUUUUGCUUGAAGGCAUGGUUUGGAAGCCUUGAAUUAGUGGAACCUCAAGCUCGGGAUUGAAGCUAAAGGAGAGUGGAUGUAGGGCGGGUUGCGCCGAACUACUAUAAACUCUUGUGUUUGCAUUCUCUCUUCCCUACUCUUUAAUUUAUAUGUAAUUGUCUUUAUAUUAUUUAUUAUAUACUUGCAUAUAAUUGUCUCCUCAUUCACAUAGUUUAAAUUUACGAAAAAAGACUAUCACCCUAUUCACCCCCCCUCUAAGGUGAUUACCAUAGUUUAGAUUAGCUUAAAAUUCCUAACAGUUGUCUUAUGUUAUAAAAAAAAAUAUAGGGGAUUUGAUCUUAAUUUAAAAAUCAUAUCUUAUCAAAGAAAAAUAAAAGAAACAUAAAUAAUUUUGAAAAAAAAAAAACCCUUUUAAAUUCUCGAUUUAAAUUGUUUCUAACUUUCUUUUAUUUGUUAUUUCUAUAUAAAUUCAUUCUAUACCUUUUACACCAUUUUUUAAAAAGUAAUAAGUAUUUGGCAAAAUUUUAAAAUAUAUAUUUUUAAAAAUUAAAAAAUCACUAUAAGGCAUUUUUUUAAUUUAUAUACAACCACAAGCGACCUGAGGGUGUGGGGAGGAAGUGAAUACAGAGGCGCAGGGGCAAUAUGCAGAGAUGAAGAUGAUGUGGCGGAGUCAGUUGAGGGCCAUGCUUCUCAGCCCAUCUCCACGCCCGCUUACAACACUCCUCACUCGCUCCUCCAAUUCCUCGCGCCCUCGCCUUUUCGCUCUCCACAAAACCCUAUCUUUCCAUUCACAUCCCUCAUUUCGCUCUCCAACAGCCCUCAAUUUCCCUGCCAGUUCCGCCUUCGUAGUUCCCGUUCGAUGCCUUUCUUCGAUUUUUCCGGCGAACACACUGGAGUGGAACGAGCCGGUGUCGUGCUCGGAGGUGGGUGAUGCGGAUGGCGAGGGUAGAAGCCUUGGGGAGGAAGAUUCCAGGACUUCGAUUCCUGUUAGGGCGUACUUUUUUUCGACUAGGUUUGUUUUGGGUUGAUUUAGUUUUCUUUGUUUUUGUUCUGCUUCUGGAAUGGGCUGUUUGGUUGCUGAGAAAAUGUGGGAAAGGAAAGGAAAGGAAUUAGGGGCAUGGUCUGCUUCCAUGGUUUGGUUUGCAAUAAAAUGAAUAAAGUGGUAGUAGAUGCAGAAAAUUGUUUUCCGUUUUUAGUCUUCUGUUUGUGUUGAAAGAAAAACAGAGCAAUAUAACAGAAGAAACACGGCGAGAAAAAAAAUGUAUAUAUAUUUGCCUGCUUUAUUUUGGGAGUCAUUAGGGCAAGUUUGGAAAACAUUUCUCUGAAACUGGAGCCGAACACUUAGGGCAAGUUUGAAAGACACUUCUGUGAAAUUGGAGUAUCGCACUAAUACAAUUUCGAUUGUGAUAUAUAUAUUUUUUUCAUUAUUUCAUUAUUUGGGUCUCUGUAGAACGAAGGCAUGGAAUGAACAUAGCUUACUAGAAAAAUUAAAUCAUAACCAUAGUGUACCGUAUUCGUUAGAUAUUACAGAAGUUCCUGAACUAAUCAGGCUUUUUUAGACUGAAUAAACAAAAUCCGAAAAGGCACCCAACAAAUAUCAGUUGUUCCCUAAUUACUCCUGUGUAUUCUGAGUUUUUAUCAAUAUAGGCAACUCCCAAACUAUUUGGGCUGAUUUAAUUCCAGCCCAAAUCCUGGAUUUGUGGCUAUGGCUAUGGCUAUGACCCUGUUUUUGGUUGCUGAGAAAAAUAGAGGAAAGAAAAAGGGAACUUGAAUAUCAAGUUUUUUGGUGGGGUUAGUGCCAGUUUUGUCUUUGUUGCCUCCAUGCUCACAUUACACAAUCAGAGGAAGCAAAAAAAGAAUAUCCGGUUAUAAUAUUUCCAUUUUAUAAUCUUGAUGUUGUUGAUUCUUUGAAAGGUUUAUCUUGAGCCAAAUAGUUUCAUUGGGACCAGUCGAGUAGAUUUAUUUGUUUCCUUAUUGUUUUUAUAUUAUGUGGUCUGAAAUGAUGAUUGAGGGAGUGUUGUUGUCUUCAGAAAUUGAAUGGCUCCAUUGUAUUUUACAUUGCAUUUGAAGUUACAAUUUCAUUACCUAGAAUGGGGCCGUUAAACUCUUGGGUUUCAUAAAAUAUGCUGUUUCAACUUUUUAUUGAAGUCAUAUUGAUGACUGUUACUUUCCAUUAGUAUCUGAUUUAUCAUAAAGCAUAUAUGAAAAAUAAUGAAACAAUUCAAUUUCCAUGGGACAGCCAAACAUGUCAUGAGUAUUGCUUUACUUUGUUUGCCUACAUUUUUUUCAGCAAUGCAACAGUGGAUAAUCCAAAAGUAUAUGAUUUUUUGUGCUUCUGAAUCUUGUGAUUGUUUUUGUUGUAGUGUGGAUUUGAGAAGUUUAGUGGAGCAGAACAGACCCCAUUUCAUCCCUCCAACAUCCCGAAUGACUAACUAUGUUGUUUUUCGGUUUGGAAACCUUGAGUCAGACUACAAUGUAAGUAUGUCACCUUGUUCCUUUUAUUUGGAAUAGUUUUAGCUUUUAAGGUAGUAUGUCUUUGCUGAUUUUGAAGGGGUGGAUUUGGAUGUGGGUUAUCAAAAUUCAAAUCCAUUUGAUAUCAGUGGAUUUAAGCUGCAUCUGGUUGACCAUGAUUGAGUUUGUUUUGCAAUUCCAUUUCACUGCAAUUCAAAUAUCUUGUUUUUAUUAUGGAAUUGCUUUUGUGGGUUUGGGUUCUUUAUACUUUAAAUUCAACACCAAAGCCAUUGGAUGCAACAAAUAAAACACUCAAAUUGUUGAUUAUGGGUGGGGGCUCAAAUUCAAAUUCAGUCCCCAGUUUCAUGCAAGCAGGAACAGAAUAUUUGUUGUCACCAUUUUGUUUUUGUAAUUGUUUUGACCUAGGAAAAUUUUGGCAUUAGGAAACUUAUUUUAAGCCUGGGUGCCAGGCUAUUUUUCAAGCACUUGACAACUUUGGAUGUCAAAUUGGUCUAUCUGAUUUCAUCACCGAAUCAUUUCUUGAAUCAAUGAUAUUCACGUUGGAGGAAUGCAAUAGAUAUUACAACAUGCCUUUAAAGACCAAAUUCUUCUGUAAUUGCCAACGUGUACAUCAAAAUGAAAGCAGUAACAAGACCUUUGUUUCAGGUUUCAAAUGCUAGCUUGAGUGGGAGUGACUGCUGUUACAUGGUAGUUUUUCAGUAUGGCUCCAUUGUGUUGUUUAAUGUACCAGAUCAUGAGGUUGAUAGGUGUCUGAAAAUUGUAGAGAAGCAUGCUUCAGGAUUGCUUCCAGAAAUGAGGAAAGAUGGUGAGCUCCCAAAGUUCAUUUCAAUUAUGAAGUUAUUUCUUUCUUUUUCUUUUAAUCUUUAAGCCCAUUUACCUUCAAGAACACACACAUACACACAAUUUGAAAUGUAAGGUGUAAGGUUAAGAGGUGGGAAUUGGAAACCCUUCAGUAUGCAAGAAUAGGACACGGUAAAUGUCAGCCUUCAUUAUUGAUCUAAGAGAAAUUAAACUUUCAGAACCUAACAAUGGUUGGAACUGGCUAUAGAAGCAAAGGCGCACACAUUUUAUAAAACUCAUUCAAAUUUCAAUAUUAGCCAUGCAGUGUUAUUUGAAAUGUAAGGUGUAAGGUUAAGAGGUGGGAAUUGGAAUACCUUCAGCAUGCAAGAAUAGGACACAGUAGUGUCAGCCUUCAUUAUAGAUCUAAGAGAAAUUAAAGUUUCAUAACCUAACUUUAGUUGGAACUGGCUAUAGAGGCAAAGGUGCUAGCACCGGUGGAAGGCUUAAACAAGGCAAGUUCUUCGGGCUUUCAGUAACUUGCUGAUGGAGGAUGACUCAACCAUAGUUAUAUCCUGGCCCCUUGGAAACUUGUUUUUUUUCUUUUUUCUUUUUUUUGGGCUGCAAAAUCUCUUACUUGUCUACAGAGUUGGCAUGCCUUUUUUUAUGGAUCCCAUGUUUAGCUAAGUGAAGUGCUUCUAGGCUAGAGGUUUAUGUAGGGGAGUUCAUGGCUGCUUUGGAGGUUUCUUGAUCUAUAUAUUUGGAUAUUUUUGUUUGCUUAAGGCAUUUCUUUUCUCUAUCUUGACUUGUUCACUUUUGAAGGUGCUAUCCCUUGUGUAGUUUUGGUUCUUGAUGCAAUGCAUUUCUGACCAAAAAAAGAAACGUGAACUUAUUCUAUUAGUAUUUUUUUUUUUCCGUUUUUAUCUUUAUUGGAGCCCUUUGGUUGAAGAUCUCAUCGAUGCAUUAGAAAUCAAGGUCUCAAUUCCCCUUAUACCUCAUACUCAUGCUUUUGUACAAGUGUAUUAUUGAAAUUUCCAGUUUAAGUGUGAGACUUGACUGGUUCACAAUUGGAUGAGUCUCUGGUUUGGCAGUGACACUGAUUUAUCUCUCUCUUUCAGUGUAGUUGUUGUCUAUUCUUUUGUUUGAGGUUUGUUAGACCUUUGCUUCCUCAAUAGAUUAGAAUUGCAUAAGAUGCUAAACAUAUUGUAGGAAUUUUUGACUUAAAUGACUUUGAUUUCCGUGGGUCUGAAACUGUAGAGUAUGAGGUCAGAGAGAUGCCAACUUUAAACACUUGGAUGCAAGGUGGGUUAGAUUACAUAAUGUUGCAGUACUUGAAUAUUGAUGGAAUCCGAACUAUUGGUAGUGUUCUCGGUCAAAGUAUUGCUCUUGAUUACUAUGUGCGCCAGGUAUGUUGCCAAUCACCAUAAGAAGUUGUAAAUUUUGAAGUUUUUGCUUGAUCAAGGAUGCUUAGCAAUUUCUUUCUUUUCUUAGGUUGAUGGUAUGGUUGCGGAAUUUACAGACAUUAACCGUGGGAUGGAAAAAACUGGAACUUUCACCAUGGAAAGGAAAAAACUUUUUCAGUUAGUGGGAAAGGCAAAUUCUAAUCUCGCAGAUGUGAUUCUUAAGCUUGGACUUUUUGAGAGGUGAUAAUUUUGUGACUGGUGUUGAAAAGAAAAUUGUUCAUACUGCUUUGCAAUUCUGAAUUUGAUAGGCUCACUAUUGUUUUUUUUUACUUAAACGGCUUUUGAUAGAGGAUUUUAUUGAUCAUUAAUGAAUUUCAGUUUUGCUUACAUUGACAUUGCUUGCAUUGUCUUGGUUGAUUUGUUUCUCUGAAAAUGCAUUAGGGGGUGCAUCUGUUGGGCGUAAAAUAUUUAGUAAAUUGCUUUUAACCAAACAUAAAUAGGUCUUAAAUUCCAAGUUUUUGGCAAAAAGAUUAGUGCCGAAGUUAAGUAAUAGAUAGCUUUAGAAAUUUGACAAUUGAGGAAUGAAUAGAAGAUGAAUUCUAAAAACAAACACUAAUGAAAUGGUAAUAGAAGUUCAUAUGCAAUAAGUUGAAAAGCAUAAUGUUAGCAAUCUAUUCAGAGAUUCUAGACUAUCAAUAACAUCCCUGUGCUUUUGGAAUUUGUUCAUCAUCGUUGGCAGCAUUGUUUACCUUCCUAUUUUAGUGCCAGCAAUGGAGUGGGAUGGUGACAGGUUGAGACCUACUCAACUUGGAAGAAAAUUAUUUGAAAACUCCUAGUGUGUGACACUAUGACCAUGUGUUUGAAAAAUGCAUUUCUGGCACUGUGACUACGUGUUUAAAAAUUCAUUUCUGGAAAUGAACUUUCAAAUUACUUUACUACUUUUUUGUUUUUAAUGAAGAACAACAGUUUUUGGAAACAAAACCAAACACACCGAAAUCCCUUGUUUUUGUUGGGUUUCUCCUCCAGUUUUACAAGGGAUUUCAAUUGAAAUUGGUUAAUGAAGAGUUUUAUCUUUUAUUUUGGUUUUGAUCUCGUCAUGUCUUCCUUCUUGGUUUCAGAAGCUUCUUGCCUCCAGCUCCACACCUAGAGCUUUAUUCUCUAAUAUUUUUUAUCACUUCUCUUUUCAACGACUGAAAAGUAAAUUUUUUUUUUUCUUUUUUUUUUUUGGGGGGGGGGGGGGGAGGGGAUUUGAGAGUUUUGCAGGAUACUCUUUGAGGAAUGUUGAGAUGUUAGAUGGGUUUCAAGAGGAUGAUUGAUUGUUGGAAUCCAGUUUUUGGAAAGCAGAGUGGGUUUGAAGGGUGUGCUUGAGGUGUAAAUUUUUUCCAGUGGGUUUGGGAAGUGCCAUCCACACAUCAUGUCUAUGGGAACUGAGAAAAAGUGUGCUUGAGAAGUUGUAAAACUUGUCCACUGGGUUUUGGAGAAACUGUCCCUGCUUGUCUAUGGAACUGGGAAAACCUGUAGUUACCUUUUAUCUACAAUUGUUUCUACUACUACAACUACUUCUACUACUAAUAGCAACAACAACAUUAGAAAAUUGUUUACGGUUUCCAAAAUUCAUUUCAAUGUAUAUGUAAAUCUUUCCCUGAUUAAUAUCUAAGUUAGAUAAGAAGAAUUGUAUAUUCCAAUCUCCAAUCCUUAUAGUUCCUCAAUUAACAUGAUCAUCUUUUUAUUUUUUCUUUUUAUUUGUUACCUUUUGUUUUUAAAUAUGAUUUUACUUUGCUUGAUAUGCAUUAUAUAUAACCUCUAGAAACUUUUUGGGAUUUUCCAGAUCAGAUAUUGCCUGGAAGAAUGCCAAAUAUGCUCAGAUAUGGGAGUAUCUCAGAGAUGAAUUUGAAUUAACUCAGAGAUUUGCAAGUCUUGAUUUUAAAUUGAAGUUUGUGGAGGUACAGUAUUUCCAAUCUUUCUUCUCUUAGAAAGCAUUUUUGGUUCAACACUUGAAAAUCGGUCUUCAGGCUUUCCUUUUCAACUGACCCAGAUAUUUUUGUGACGUCUUGGUUUUUCCUUGCAGCAUAAUAUUCGCUUUCUUCAGGAAAUUCUUCAAAAUAGAAAAUCAGAUUUCCUGGAAUGGCUUAUCAUCAUAUUGAUAGGUGCUGAAAUUCUCAUAUCUGUUUAUGAUAUUGCCCAUAAAUCAUCAAUUACUUCUCUGUAGCACCAGUUUCUGGUGAUCCAUGAAGUCAAGUUUUGAUUGAAGGUCAGAGUUGCUGCAUAUUUAUUCUCCAAAUAGCUUCUUUUCUAGUCUACUACCCAUCAUAUUGGCCCUUAAUGUAUCUUGUAAAUUCUAAUUUAGAAUUUACUUCUUUUUUUGGCCUUUUGGGAUCAUUUUUAUAUCAUAUCUAGGAUGUAUUCUGAAUUUGUAAUUAUUUUUGUAAUAGUAAGAAAUAUGAGUCACAAUUCACAGCAAUAUCUUAUGCUCACUUUUUUUCAAUCAUCUUGAAAUCAAGUUGAAUAAAAUUUUAGUGCACAUGGAUUGUGCCAGAUACAAUUUUGUUUGAGCAGCUAUGUUUGACCAAAAAUAGGUUGGAGAAAAUCAAUGGUAGAGGAAAGGGCCAAGGGUAUGGGGAUGCUUGCUCUUUAUAGUCCCAGUGAUAUGAACGAUUUGGUAAGUUCCUUAGGGACAAGUGACAAAAUAUAUUCUCUCUGUAUCGUGUUAUUCGAUAUGAAUCACUUCCACAAGCCUAUGGCAAAGUUUGUUUAAUAUGUGCAUAGUUGUCAAAUUAUAUAUUUCAUUUAUUAUUAACUUCUGUAAAAUUUGGAAAAGAUUUAUUGCUUCAUUUCUUGAAAGGUCAGCUUCAGCAGACACUUGAACGACCAUGAAACUGAAGGGUUUAACUUGUGGCUUAUCAUUCUGGAUGAGGUUGGAUUAAUUUGGAAAGCAAAGUUCUUGCUUUAUUUGUUGCCAGUCAAUUCUAGGCAUCUUUCAAGUCAGGUCUUAGAAAGCCUCAAGGCUAGACUGAUGUUUGAUAUGUAGGCUAGUGGGGAGAUAGCUUAGGCUAAAGGAUCAAGGAUCAUUCAUAAAAGUUCUUAUGUUCCUUUCCAUCCAAGCCACUCAAAUGAUAGCAAGCAAAGGCAUGUCAUAGAACUCUCUCUGCUCCAUAGCAUAUAUCGUUUUCUUUGGCAAGGAUCUAGUAUGUCAUUUGGGAGGAUUUAGAGUUAUGUGAGUCAUCUCUUUUUGUGGGAUUUCAGGAGAGAGAGAGAGUUCUAUGACAUGCCUUUGCUUGCUAUCAUUUGAGUGGCUUGGAUGGAAAGGAACACAAGAACUUUUAUGAAUGAUCCUUGAUCCUUUAGCCUAAGCUGUAUGGCAUAUAUUGUUUUCUUUGCCAGGAGUUCAGUGGGCAUUUGGGAGGAUUUAGAGCUAACCUAUGUGGGUCAUCACCUUUUUAAGGGUUUCAGGCAGAGAGUGAGUUUAGGGUGCUAUUACAUUCUGAUUAUUUGCUAUCAUUUGAGUGACUUUGAUGUAAAGUAACAGGAGAUUUUUUUAUGGAAGAUGCUAGUUCUUCAGGGGAUGUGUGCAUAAUUUGCAGUCUUGCCUUGCUAUGCGUCCAGAUGCAAUUUUCCCCUACAAGAAAUCAAAGAGUGGCCAUUUUGUGCUGAGAGAAUCCUCCUUUGGAAUGGAUUCUAUAGUGUUUUAAUGUGUGAUAUUUUGGCAAUCUAGUCUAGAUGGUCAUUUUAGGUGUUUCUACCUCUCUUGCAUUCUUGUUUUACUAGAUUUCUAAGUGAUUUCAAACUGCUAGUUUUGUUAAGUUUUUCAUUCAUUAGUAUUACGGGCCUUGAUGUCUUGUAGAGAUCCAGACUCUUUAAGAUUUCAGCUAGUUGUCUGGGGAAGUUUAGAGGAAGGAAAGGGAGAAUUUGAGUUAGUAACUUCUCCAUACAGUUAGUGGAUUUUUUCUCCUUCCCCUGGAGUGAAGGAAAUCUUGACGAACCAUGUAAUAUGUGGUCUAUUCUUUAGUGUGAACGAAACUGAUCAACCAUGGUUCCGCAAUUUGAUCCUAGCAUUAUCUUUUAUUUUUUUAAUAGUGUUGUUUUCUCUAGCUUUCAUCUGCCACAUGAAAUUGAAAUUUGAACCUCCCUUAUCCCCAUCCAAAUGCUUGCCACUUAAGCCAGGUCUCUAGGACUGCAAAGAGUCACUUAGAGAGGCUAAUUCAUUCGUAGCUGUAUCAUCAUCAUGGGAGAUUUAGCUCAGGCCUUCUUGGGGGUAAGGAUUCUUGUAUAAUCACCUAUAAUGGAGAUAUUUGAGAAAGUUCAGCUCCCAGGGAUGGAUCCUUUGGAUAUGGUCCUACCUAGGUAACCAAAUUGGGAAGUUGAUAGAUUAGUCAGAAGGGGCUGUAAAAUAAUCUAGUAAUCUAUCAGCUUCCACUACAAAGAUGAGAGAUUCUUAAUGCGAUUCCCAACACCAUUAGUGAUAUCCAAGAAAUAAAGGUCAAUAUUUGUACCUCUAAUGGCCAAUCUUUGGAACCUCUCAGAACCCUCGGGUUCCCAUAUGGCAGCUCCACAUAAUCAGAGGGAACUUAAUUGAGCAGGAGCUCAACCUGCCAAAAAUCAUGCUGAAACUUCACUCUUUGCCCAUUUCACAGGGAAAAGGAAACAUGAGAAAGGCAUAUAUAUAUAUAUAUGCUUAUGGAAUUCAUCCAAAUCCCACCUAAUGCCUUCCAUAACCUUUAUCCAUGAGAAUCCCUUACCACUGCAGUGUCCAAGCUUCACUUUCAACCCUAAAUUUGUAUUCUGACAGUGUCUCCGAAGACUAUCUCAAUGUAGAACCCUGAAAUCUGUUUUCCAAGGAGGGCUUUGUUUAGAACAUCAAGCUUUUUCACCCUCAAGGCUUCCUCCUUGGGAGGACGCACACCCCCUUUUCAGUAAAAAGGUGAAAUCAGUGAUACAUCGAGUUUUUUAUACUAGCAUUGCAAAAUUUAUUCUUUGCAACUGGCAUGAGUUGAGAUCUGGUCUAGCAUUGCUUUUACCAUUUCAAAGCGCAAAUGGGCAUGUGCCGGAAAAUGCUAAUCAGGUUGUUUUUAGUUAUUUAUGAGUUCUGGAUUUACUGGUGUAUAAAUUCUUCGUUUAAAGUUGUCAAUUACAGUGCCAUUACAUUUUUCCACCCCAAUUUUUCAAGCUUAGUCCUUCCGCCUGAUUGAUUAAGAUCAACUCCAUCUUUUGAUGUGUGAGUUUCUGUUGCAUGGAGCCGUGUGGUGAAACUCAAUUUGCAGAAGGUGAUGAAGAGGAGCUUCUCCAAUAAUUUUCUUUUCAAUAUCAGCUUGAAGUUCUCUGAGAGGAAGAGCUGCUAGAAACCCCUUAAUAAAUUCUUUGCAGGUAGACUUUCCUUGACAGACUAAUUCCCUGUGACUGGUCUCAUCUUCUUCUCCUGCAUUGGUUGAAUGAUUUUCUGUGAUUGCUUCUGAGUUCACUUCCCUUUUCCUUCUCUCUCUCGGUGCUUUGAAAAUCUUACUUUCUAUGUUGAACUUUAAAAUGAAGGCUUUAUUGCAGCCUUCAAACAGCCUCUCACCUAGUGUGUCAAUUAUAUAAAUCACAUUCACUUCUACCUUGAGAACAAAAAAGUGAUCAUUCCAGCUCACGAUGUAGAUUUCCUCCUCUAUUGUUCGUUCACGCCUUCCCAGCUCCUCCCAUAUACUGUCAAAGGACAUGGCACCCUUCAGGAAUUCCAACCGAUUUGGCAUGUUUUCCAGCUCAAAGAAGCCCACAUACGACUUCUCUGGGAUCACUGUUAAUGGUCGAACUUGUUCUUGUAAGACUGUGUCAAGGUCGAAGUGUUGGUCCAGAAAUUCUUUCAUGUGGACCACACUUUCACAUAAGUUUCUCCAUUCUGAAGAUCCUUCUCUUACCAAUUUAUCAAGUUGGCAUCUCAGAGGUAGGAUUUCUGGGUUCUGAUGGAGCCAAUCAGCAAUAGUCACAGCUAGCACUGUGCAGGCACCUUCACCUGAUGCUCUCUCACUCCGCUGAUCAAUGGAAGCCAGAAAUAUCUCUGUCUCUAGCUCCAGUUUCCCAUCUCUGCUUACCAGUUUUCGUUUUUCCCAGGUGCCUAUCUCAAACCGAUCACUGCCUGUAAAUGCACAAGACCCAGAAUCACUUUCGCCCUGACUGCAUCUUGCUUGUGAGGAAGCUAAUUGGCAGCGUCGAUCAUUGUCAAUAUCAUCUCCCCCAUCUUCACCAUUUGCUUUGUUCAGGAGAGGUGUACCUCUAGGAAAAUUAGGCACUCUGAAACUAUGGUUGCAUUUGUUCCAUGAGAGAAGUCUGAUCAGUGAAGGUUUCUGCUUGACCUGGUAAUUUAGCGGAUCGCCUGCAUCCCAGUUCUCAUCCUUCUUGUUAUUGAAAUUUUCACACGCAGUAUCACUGCUUAGUAGAUUUGUCAUUGCCAGGUUCCUGUAGGUUAGUUCAGAUUCCUCAUCUGAUUCUGAAUUGGAUGAACCAUUUGAUUUCACUGGAGAACAGUUCCAGUCUCUGGAGAAUUCUAUUCCAGCUUGCUCUUCGAUAUUUAUGAAUCCCUUGUCAUCAGUUUGAUUCUGAAAUCUUAUGCAUGAUGACAGAGAGGGUAACAACAGUUUUGGAGAAAUUGGAUGUACAGUGCUGUUGGUGUGUUCACUUUGGAUCUCAAAGAAGCUGAGUUUCAUCUGCAAUGUAAAAUUUGCAAAAUUAGCUAAAAUUAUCAUAGUAGGAUUUUGUAUAGCUAGCAAAAAGGAUCAUGUUCAACUUACUGUUAGCGUGGCCACAUGGGUGGAAGUGGAACCAUUGAUGCAAUACUUGACUGGAAAUUUGACAAUUUGUUCUGAAUUUGCAGUUGGACAAGCAAAUGCAGCAAUAUCUACUUUGGAUUUAGAUACAAUAAUUGAUGCUGGCCUGUUUGAUGCUGAACCAAAUUCCUGGUAAAUUUGGUAUCUGAAAGUUAGCUACUAAGUUUCAAAUCACACUGUUUAUCAAGAUGUGUAGUACUUACAAGAAUUUGGAGGUUGAUCAUCCAUCUUCUGAAACCCUUGGAGUCCCUGGGUUUCAACUUGCAGUGGUGAUCAAAACAUUCAUUCCAAGUGACACUCCCAUCUGGGUGUGCGCUUUGUUUGGAGGUGCAAUUCCUUUGAAUUGCUCCUCGUAAUAGGUAAGCUUUUCUGGGACCUACCCAUUCUAUCUGUACAAUCAUAUUGGCAGAUUCCUUAUUCAGCAACUCUGAUGAUGAUAAACCUUGGAGAUCACAGAUGGUAAGAUGUAGCUUGAAACUUCUGCUCUCUGGUGUAUGAACGCCUGCACAAAACAUCUUGCAGAUGAGAAUUUCUUCUGGGUUAUGCCAUGUGACCAGGAAUAUCAAUCAUAUAUCACUGCAGAAACUUGAAUUGUUGCUGGUGUUGACAUUAAGUACAGGAAGAAGGACGGGUGUAAGUCAACUUGUAGCCAAUGCGCAACAAAUUCCAAUUCGAAAUGAGUAUACAAUAGAGAAGGGUAAUAUCAUAUGUGAGAUAAUUUUUGACUGGUUCAGCACCUGACCCAGUUUCCUUCGGAUAUUUCCUACUUUGAUGGAUUACUCCAUCCCUUUCCAGAAACCAGAAAUGGAGGGGCACUUCAUGCUUGGAUCACUAAUAUUCUUUUUCUGUUUAAUCAAUCAUUUCUCUAUAGAAAAAUGAAGGACGAAAGAGAUUGUUUCUUCUCUUGUAGGAUUUUGAUAAGGUUUCAUAUGGGUGAGUCACUUUCUAGACUUCUGAUUUAAUAUGUGGGUUGUUGAAGUGAGACAUUUUAUUUUAUUUCUGUCCGAGUGUCACGGCAGCACCUCUUAAUUUCUUUAUCCAAUUGGCGGUGCAGUUGGGCAAAAGGAUAUUGAUUUGGACCGAGGAUUUGAAUUCAGCUAUAGAAUUGGGUUGAUAAAUUAUUCGAUUGCGGAGUCACCAUCUCCAUCUCUCUUCUUCAAGCUCGCCCUCGCCCUCUAUUCAUUCAAUUGGUUAAUGUAAAAUGAAAUAUUGUGGCAUUGGUUCCACUCCUAGGUUGUUUAGUUGUUUGACAGGAUUAGACGAUUACUACCAUUUGUGGGGGGCUCCCGACUCUGAGAGGCACAAAGAAGGGAGAAAGGUUGUCUGACUUUCAUACAACUAGACGGAUCUGACUUCAAUUAGCUCAGAAUCAACACUAUUAGGGUUUUUGAGUCCUAUUUCAAUAUCAAAUCAAUACUUACAAAAAAUAUUAGAACCAAUCUCGAUCAUUGAUGUGUAUAAUUUGGUUUUACAUUUUUUAAUAUUUUGAUUUUAUUUGUUUGAGUUAUAAUUUCAUAGAUUUAUAUUUGCAUCUAAUAAUUUACAUUUCAUUGUAUAUAACCUAAAAUUUCCAAGCUAGCUAUGUGCUUUUCAUCUCUCUCUAUCCAUCCGUCCUCAUUUUUUUUCUUUCAAGCAAGUUGCUUAAAGGAGGAUAAUAUAUAUAUAUAUAUAUAUAUAUAUAUUAUAAAAUUUCAUAUUUUAUGUUAUUCUAAUUGACAUGAACAUAUAAAUUUCUUAUUUAAUUGUCAAACCAAAAUCAAGGAAAAUAAUUUUAUUUAUUCAAUUAUAUGGAAUUUAUUAAAUUUGUUAGAUUCUUAUUUUGUAUUAGUUUUAGCAAUUUUUAUUUAAUUCCAAAAAAGCAAAGGAAAGGAAUUUAAUUUCUUUGUUCAACGAAUUGAUGCUGGCCUUUAACACCCCUUCAACGAAUUGGAAUCGGCAAAGUCAUCAUUGUCCUUGCUCUGGUGGGGUACGCACUCGUUGAGGCCCGUAGGCUCCACAGGGUCCGAGCUCACCAUGGGUCCAUGUCGGCCCUAUGGUUCGUUGGGCCUUUAGCCACUCUGGGUAUCGGCGAAGCGUUUCAUUUUCCAGGAUAGGUGGAGUUCUACUAUCGAGAAUUUCCUGAAUCGCUACGUGGCACGUCGACUGUGAUGAUCUCGCUGUUGAUUGGCAUCGGGUUUUAUCUAAGUACGGCGGUGACCAACUUGGUGAGGCGAAUAACCAAGUGGCUGCCGGAUAAUAUCAAUGAUGGGAUGCUGGAUAACGUGUUCUGGAUGUUGGCUGUUGUAAGAGUGAUGAAUUUUGGCUGUUAUCGGAAUGUGGAGAAGCUAAGCAUAAGACUAUAAAAUCAUUGUUUUCCUUUAUUAAUGUUUAACUGAACAACCAAAACUAAGCUUCAUUUAAAUACAUAACUCAUAGAUGAGAAUGUCUAUGUGGAUGAUAAUUCCCGGGUCAAAACUAUAACUAAUCUUGGGUGGCCGGCGGCGAAGUUGGUUGGGAUGAUGGUGGUGACGAAGAUUUUCGGGGAGAUCCGGAGCUCUUUCGAAAAAAUUUUCUGGCCCAGACAUGCUUUCCGUUGAUGGAAAAUUUGGCCUUUCUCUUGCCUUCCAGGACGACUUCAAUACUGGAGGGAGAUCGAGUAACAAGGCGUGCAUACAGGGGUUGCUCAGUUACUUCAUUCACUUCUUGCAUGUGAAUUGCUUCAAUGAAGUCUCCAUAUUUUCUGUAACAAUUAAAAAAAUGGGAAAUUUUGAUACCAGUUAAGUUGUAGGGUUCUAGUAAAACUAUCUUAGUACAUAGGGCUUUACAGGUUACCUACAUCGUGAAGAAAUCUUUGACUUCAUUUUCGGAGAUUGGGUAGCCCUUGGAGAAGGUCAAGAAAAUGGUUCUUUCAUCCGGUGGAACAGGUCUCUCCUCAGCAGCAGAGAGAUCUAUGGGGCUGGGGCUAUGCCUCUGGCUCACUCCAGUACUAUUCAGGGUGUGUGGAGCAACACGAGCUGUUCCAGUUCGCAAGUCAGUGACACCUCCAACUCCAGAAUAAUACAAGGGCGAAGGUGGAGGCCGCACGGGAUCCAUCAUCAUCAGAGAAAACAAAUUCCCCACAUGGGCGGGAGUACCAUAUAUUCCUUCCCUAGCAACCCCAUUGCCCGCAUUGUUUUGGAAUGUUUGUUGCAGUAUGUCCUGAAAUGCCCGUGAACAAACUUCAUCCACCAGUUUUGCAACUCCUUUAAUUACAGCAAUCCUGUUCUCCUGAAAGAACUGAAGAGAAAUGGCGCCUUUUGUCAAGCACUGAAGCAAAGGAAUGAGGUUAGCAUCAGAGGAGGGAAGAGGCACGGGCUUAGGAUCGUCAAUGCAGUUCAAGCAGGUCACUGUCUCAUCUACGAUAGCAUUGAGCAUGAAACCCGGCAAUGCCAACACGUUGGUCACCAAGUUAUCACUGUAGCCCGUCUGCUCCAGCCAUAGCCACAGUGCAAUCACCUGCAUGGACUGGCCGGGGUUUCUGCCGAGAUUUUGGACUAGCCUUGCGUAAAGUUCACGGUCUACGGAGUGAAACAUGUUGAACUCUUCUCUGGUGACUAACGCAGAAGAAGACCCCAUUGCAGCGGAGUUGGGCAAGUGGGUUAAAAGAGGUUGGUGAUUUAUAGAGAUGAUGAGAUGCCAUUUGUGGGCUUUGGAAGACGACCAUUGGGAACGAAGCACCACCUCCAAAAGGCGCUCUUCUUUUCCGUAUUAAGAUCUUUUUCUCCGGCUGAUUCAACACAACGGUUGAUAGAGGAGUGAAGUGAGGGAGGACAGAGGAGCCCUCAUUCAUUUGCCUAACCUUUUUCUCUUUUUCCUUCGUGCCUUCUACCUUCUUCCUUUUCAGCUUCCUGUUUCCUUGUAUGACAUUCCGGAUUUUGAUUCGGGUCGGAAUCGCUCCGGUUCAAAUAGCAUCCGAAACCAUGCAAGAACAAAAAUCACUCGAAAUAUCGGCGAAUAAUCGCAUAUUCACGACCGGCCACAUGAAAAAACACGGAAGAAAUCUCGGUAGGCAUAAUUUUUUUUGAAAAAACAGCGAAAAAAUCCACCGAUUUAUUGGCUAAUAUCGAAAAUUUCGGGAAGUCGAUUGGAGCAGGCUUUCCUACAUAAAUUUGCCGAUAUAUCGGCGAUCCAUCCGCGGUUUUCUGAUAUUUCUGAGAAAAAUCGUUGUAAUUACCUUUUAUUUUAAUUUUUUCAUUUAUAUUAUCCUAUUAUUUUAUUUUUAAAAAUUAUCGAAAAAUUUGUGUGUCACUUGACUUUUAAAUUUUAAUAUAUUUAUCAUAUUAAAAAUUUAAUCUUUAAUAUUUUAUUUUAAAAUAUUAAAAAUAUAAAAUUAUUGAACAAUAAUAACUAAAAUAAGAACAAUUGAUAAAGUUCUAAUAUUUUAUAAAAUCGGAUAUUGAACAAAAAUUAAUUGGAUAAGAUAAAUCAUAAAUAUAAAUUUUUCUUGAUUAUUUUAUAUACAAAAUAAAAUAAAAUGAAUGUGUAACCUAUUUAUAAGAUUUGUAAUUAAAGUGUAAUUAUAAAAAAAAAUUAUAAAGAGUGUAAUUACAUUAUAAUUAAUUAUUUAUUUACUGAACAUUUACUAUAACAAUAAAUUAUCUAGUGAUUGUCCAACAAUUUAUGUGCUUGAUAGGAAAAAUUAAUACCAACCAACUAUAUUCAAAGUUCAAACUAACUUUUCAAUAAUUAGUAAUUUAUAUAAAAAAAAAUUAGAAAAACUACAAAUAGUAGACAAUAAAGAAUAACACAAAUAAAUUACCCAUUACGAAAAUAUCAAAUUAUAAUUUUCUUUUGUCAAUUUAUUUUAUAUGAUUAAAAGCAUAAUUGAAAAUCUAAUUUCGAAAAUUUAACCCUCAAUCAUUUUUUCUCGUGGAUAAAAAUAUCCAAAAUAUUUUAUUAUAAAUAUAAUCAUUUCUCUUUAAAACUUAUGUGUAAAUAGUUAAAAUAGUAAAAAAUAAAAAUAUCUAAAAAAUUCAAUUAACAAAUUUAAAAAUUAUUUCAUCCAUUUUAAUCGAUUAAUUCAAUUUUCUACCCAUAAUCUCAUGAUAUAAUUACACCAACCACGAAUCACCUGCUUUAAUUUUCAUUUUAAUGUGUAAAGUCUUCUAUUUGAAAAUAUUUUAGGGGCACUCAUAUAUAUAUUUAAUUAAAAAAAAUUCAAUUCUUUCUCUUAUUUUUAGAAUAGUCUAUGGGAUUACCUUUUACAUCAUUUUCCAAAAAGGAAAAAAUAAUCUCCUCAAAAAAACUAAAUAUGGUUUUUUUUUUAAUAAAAAUAUCCCACAUCGAAAUUUUUUGGUACCAAAAUGAAUUAAAAAAUGAUUAAAAUAGAGGAAAAAAAAACCAAAAAGAUUUAUUUCCAAUUAAGAUUUUAGGUUUAAAUUAAAAUUUUGUAUUUGUAGCCAAACAUUCCGAAAAUAAUUAUUUUCAACUCUUCCCAAAACAAAAAAGAAAAGGGCGGUUGGAAUUUGGAAAUGGCUACCAGUUCCAGAUUCCUCUUCACAAACGGCGUCAUUUCGCGAACUUCCGACACGCCGCCGGUAUCAACCUUGCUCGAAGCCCAUUCAGGUACCUCCCCAAACGACAAUAUUCUACCCCUAAUUGCUUUCAAAAACAUGUUUUUCAAAACAAUAUUUUGUUUUUCACAACAACAACCGAAACAAAUGACAUAGCGAUUGCUUCGUCUACCUCUUUCAUUCACUACAAACCCUCGGGCUCAAGAAAAAGCAGAAGUCUACAGAUGCUGAUUUUGAAAAAAUGCUUUUGUAAAACGAAUUCAGUUCAUUCGUGAUUAACAUUUCACAGGACCAGGUGAUUUGCAUUCAUCGCACUCCAUUGCGGGUGUUGCUUUGAGAACAAUCGAAAUGGAAUUUUCAGUUGCUUAAAAAAAUCACGAUCUCAAAAAAACUACAGUUUUUUGCUUUUGGAAUAUGGUUUUUGGAAACAGUUUCAGUUUCUCAUUUUCGGAAUCCAAUGUGCCAGGAGCUUACACAACCUCUCGCACUCACAACAACACUUCAUGCCUCCUCUUUUGGGAAAGACAUCUACAGAGACUGGCCGAGUCCACGAGAAUUCUAUACAACUCGAAACCGGGAUUUUUGUUCAAGUCCAACAAGCCUAUGCCUUCUUUGUUGCCUUUGUCAGUGUGGGACUCGGUGAUUCAGUCUCUAGUUCAUGAUUCCAUGAAUAAAGCCAUUCCAAUUGUCUUGAAUGAGAGGAGGAGUGGCGGUGAAUUGGCUAUUACUACUCUUGUUAGUGGGAAUUUCGAAAAAUUGAGCGAAAAUGAGAAUGUGGAUGAAGAAAGAAUUUCUCAGAUUCUUGAUGUGUAUUUACAUGUGGGAAGUUAUGUUCCUCCUGUGUUUGGUGUCCGAGAAAAUUGUGCAAAGCUGGCUGUGGUAGGUCCGGGGAGGGAUGUUGCUAUGGCAAAGUAUUCAGAUUGGCUGAGGUUGGUGUGGAUUUGGAAUUUUGGAGAAUUAGGGCAUAUUGGGUGCUGAGAGAUAUGAGAAAGAGAAAAAAUAUAACCUUUUUUCUGUGUUUUAGUUUUUCAGAAGCCCAUAGAACAUACAGCAAAAGAUUACCAAUUUUAUCCUGUUUUCUUUUCUAAUUUUCCUUGGCAACCAAAUAGAAGCCCAUUGUUUCUUAAUCCUCCCUUUUUUAUUGUUGUGAUAUGUGAUAUGCAAAUAUUGUCUUUCUAGACAGGCUUAGGAAGCCGUUGGAGAAGUUAAGGCCUGAUUUAGUUACAGAGCUCUUGUUAUCAAAUGAUGGUGAUCAGAUCCUUGAAGGCUGUAUAACAAAUUUUUUUGUCGUUUGCCGCGAGGUGAGUAGUUAAGAUUUGUCAAUAUCAAUACCCCUUUUCAUAAAUAACCCCCUUUGAAAAAGCCAUGUUGACAUUAAACUUAUCAUUUUUGGACAAAAUUGUAGUAUGGUUCCUUUAUUGGCUUGUUAAUAACUAGAACUUGACUGAAUUUUUUUGCAAGGUGUUGUUCAGCCUAGAUAUAUUUAUUUGAGAACCCAAUUGUAUUCACCUUCAUUGAGCUCUACUUAAACUUUAACUGUCAUCUACCUUGUAUGAGAAAAGUAUCCUGGUUCUAGAAUUUAGUUCUAGUUUGUUGCAUGAUUGGAAAUUUGUUGAUAUUUACAUAUCACUGAUGAUCAUACCAACUCGAGACACAUUUCUUACAGACUUAAAAUUAAUAGAAGGAUGCAAUGAAGGCUAAAGGAAGUGCCCUAAUUUGGCAGAGGUUACAGGGAGUUUUUAUUUAGUGUCAUUGAACCUACAGGAUGGUCAAAUAGUUCAGAUGGAAGUAUCAAGUGCUGUCCAUUAUUAUUUUAAUAUAUAUAUAUAUAUAUAUAAAUAUAUAUGAAAAAGAAUGAGAAGGAACUACUAGGGAUUUUUUUUUUUUUUCUGUCUAAUUUCGGUCAUCAAGUCACCUUGUUGACCUGCUUAAAUGUUUAUAAUGGAAAGAAGUGAUGCCAAUUCACAACUUAUUCUAUCACAUGCAUGGUGGUCACUGAUCUGAAAUGCCCCUAUUGUUGCCAAGGAGGAAACUGUCUUGAUUGAGGCUGUGAAAUGUCAAAACUGUCCUUUGUUGUUUGGAAGAAAAUAACGAUUAGAAAAUACUAAAUCUCCUGGGGAAAAUGCCUUUCAAAACCAGAUUAUGCUUUCUAAUUUUAAGUGCUUUUGAAGGUUUUUAAUGUGCUUCAAUACUUCCUUUCACGGAUAAAACUUGUAUGCAUUUAACAAACUAUGUUAGUUUCAAGUUUCUAUUGCCAGCUCUUGAAAGCUUGUCUAAGCAAUUUUCAAUUAGCAAAAGUGGCUCCAUCUGUCUUUGUAAAUGCAGUUGCCCUCCCCUGUGAGUUCUAAAUUGAUGCAUGACUUCAAACUUAUAAGAUCCAUAUGAUGAUUGGGAAGAGAGAAAGAGUUCGAAUGUUAAUUUUAUGAUUAUGUUGUAGUUUAUGAAAUUCAUUUUCAGGAUAGCAGUGAAGUAAAGGCAAAAAACCUACAUGAUUAUGGAAGUACAUCUUCUUUCGAAGUACAAACUGCACCUUUAAGUGAUGGUGUUCUUCCAGGAAUCAUUCGGCAAAUAGUCAUUGAGUAAGUCCUUUCCUCUUAUGGAACUCUAGAUUUUGUUGUUUUCAGUAUAUAUAUAUAUAUAUUUACAUUUUUGAAUUGAAUGAUAUCAGUUAUGUUAAUCUAAUGUGGAAUGUGCACAAGUUUUCUCUUUUAAUGGAUAUCAUGCACUGUUAUAGAAAUUUCAAGAUUUGAAAUGAAAAUGACAAAGAUAGGUCUGUCUAAGAAGAAGAUGACCUCAUUUUUACAAGCUGCAAAUAAUGAUAAGGGUUUAGAUGAGUAAUCAAGAGAGAAAAAAAAAAACAGACAUUUUGGUGCGGAAGAAUGAUUGCAUUGCCACUGCUGAGGUUAAAAACUUCCCAGGUCAUAUGGAAGCCUUAGGUUUACAUGAUCCUUAGUUCCUUCAGAAAAAGCCAUUAUAAUAUGGGAAAUCUUUAGCACCUAGAAAAAAAUGCAGUUUGGGUGAUGGCAUAAACUAAUUGGGGAUUUGAGAGGUUGAAAGACCUGAUAGAUGAACAAAAAUAAGGUUCAUCAGCUAUUCCCAUGCAUAUAACCUUUGACCUUUACUAAAGGUAUAGCAUUGGUGCUUCAAUUUCAUGAAAAUCCAUAUGGACAUGUUCCUUGUGCUUUGUAGUCCAAAGAAUCAAAGAAUGAUUGGCAUAAUCUUCCACUCUCUUUACAUUCAUAUACUAAUUAUUUCCAGAUCUGAGGCAGUUGGACUCUUGGAACUUGCUUGAAUCUUGGAUUUGCAGGGGCUUAAAAACAAUCCAUUUGUCUCUCUUGCACACACAGGGCACAAACACAUCAAAUUGAUUUAUGAACAAAUUUAAAGCAAGAAUAACUUAUAUUGUCCACUAGACUGAUCUCAAAUCGGGGUUAUUAUCUUUGGCAAUUACUGUUCUAUCAAUUCUUGUAAUGACCAAUCACAGAAUGCCACUUCACUUUGGGCUGUUUUGAUGAAAAUACUGUUUAGAUUGGUGAUUGCUAGAGUCGGAAUCAAUGUCUUUGCAGAUUGCACUGUAUAGUGUAUACCAGUUCCAUCUUUGCUGAUAACAUUGCAUUACAGAUUCUGGUCACCCCUAGUAAUUAUUCUUCCAUGAAUAUUUUAUAAAUGCAUCAUUGUCAGAUUAACAGUGGGCUACAAUCAUUUUCUCGAGCAACCAAGUCCUGCAAAAAGUCAAAAUUAUGUGAUGACCUAGAAAUUCAGUAUCUGGAAUCUGCAUAUCUAGUGAAUGUUUAAAGUUAGCUUUGGGAACUGUCAUGAGCGAGCACUUUCAUCCUUCAACCAGUUUUUCAGAGCCAUAGUUCAGUUGUGGCAUUCCUUCAACUCCCACUAUUUGCAAUCAACCAUGAAGUCUAGAACACCUUUGUCUGUAUCACCUUCACCAAGUCUGAAAACCUUAUUUUCUGAUGCUACUGCUCCUGCAUCACCCUCACCAGCUAUGAAUCGAACUUAAAACCAAAUAGGAGUUGACUCUGACCUUAUACAGCCAGUUCGAUUAACCAAUAUGGUUUGAGAAAAUCUAGCUCAAACUUUGUAUGUGUAACAACUUUCCUUACUGCAGAGUAUGCUUGAGCAUGGGAAUUCCACUUCGAGAAGUUGCGCCUUCAUGGUCAAAGUGUGAACUCUGGGAAGAGGCAUUCAUUACAAGUAAAUCUUCUAGUUCUUUCUAUCUUUUUCUAGAGGUAGGAAAUAAUUUUUCUUUUCUAGAUAUGUAAAAUUUGGGCCUUCUGUGGGCAGUUAUCUUGUGGCAGGCACAGAUUCUAGUCUUCUAUGACCUUUCUAACUGCAAUCUGCAGUAAAUGCUUAAUUUGGGCGUAUCAGGAAUUAUGAACUGACCACCUUUGAAAAUUUUAAACUUCAUCUCUAGGGUUUAGCCUGAAACUUGUUUUGGUUCUUGGCUAAGCUUCUGUUACUAAAUGUUAGUAUUUAACUGUGAAACCUUUUCAAAUAUCUUUGUGUUUAAUUUCUUAAAAUCGCAUGGUUUAAAAAAUCUAGCAACUUCUGUUGUGUUAGUAAUGAAAGGGCCAGGAUCAUCAUUUGUAUGGCAUUUCUAACUUGGACAUUGCCAUCAGUCUAUGACUUUGGAAUAGGCGACUUAUGUUAUAGAAUAAGCAUACAAGUUGGAAAUGCCAUUUCUAAGUCUAUCCAAUGAAAAAUAAUACCAUUUCCACUGGCUAGACAAGAAAUGCCAUUGAAACUAGGUAGAAGUUCAGGUACUACUUUAAUAUAAUACUACUGAGUUCGAGUCCACUAGAUCAGGGGCAAUGACAUUUGCCAUUUUGAUAUUCCCCUUACCAAUGCUAUGCAAUUGUGGCUAGUCUUUCAUGCAAUUUGAUGUUUCGUCUCACACUCUAUCCUGCCAUUGUAGAUUCUAAAAAGCUGUUGCAACAUGGACUUCAGUACUUGUAACAUUUAAGUAGAGCUUUGUUUCAGAUAGCUUGAGAGUGAUGCAGCAUGUGGAGACAAUUCAAGCUCCAAGUUCAUGGGAACAGCUGGAGUCAAAUAAUUGGAAGGAGGUAUCAUGGGAGGAAAAGAGAUUUAAGGUGUGUGAAAUUCUGGAAAUUUAAAAGAUUUAGUGCUUGCACUGCUGCUAUACAUUGUAUUCAUAUUGUCGUUCCUUUUGAAUGUAAACAGGAGGGUCCUGGGAUGAUCACAGCAGUAAUCCAGGUAAUUCUUGACUGGCAUUAGAAUCCCAUCAUUGAUGUUGACUAAUUCAUUCUUAAUCGUGGAGGUCCUAUUUCCUAGUUUUAAAUUUGAAGAACAUCAGAAUGUUACAAAUUGAAAUUUAAAAAAGAAAUUAAAAAAAAAAGAAAGAAAAAAAAAAGAGGGAAAAGAGAAAGGAAAUGAAAGGAGGAAGCUCUACACCAACUGGAUUGAAUAAUUGUAAUAUCACAACUACAAGUUUAAUUCGUAGUACUCCGUAACCCUCUUUUCUUUUUUUAUUUUACACCAAAGGAUGGGAUGUUUUAUUUCUUUAUUUAAACUCCAUUUUGCACCCAAACAACGGAAACUGAAUAUUGUUUAUAUCAAGCAUUCAACAACAUGCCUUAAUUACCGGAUAGGGAACCAACCUGAAUCCAUUAUACACUUGAUGAAGAGGUAUGGAUCUUCUUAAGCUGUAGAGGGGUAUCCACCUUUCUUAGUCUCUCUAACGAUGGGAGCGGGUUCUGUUCUUAUUCAAAAGAUGUGAUCUCAAGAACAGACACUUAGCCUUAUAUUUAUACCCUCUAUGCCUUAGGGACCAUACACUUUGGACUAUCGCGCCUUGCGAGUCUUAGGCCCAUCAUCUAAGACCCGUUAUGGCUCUGGACUCUACACAUGAGGUGACUCAUACUCUAGAUUAAAUAGAAAUUAUAUAUAUAUAUAUAUGGAUAGCUAAAUCCUGAACAAUGAUUAAUAUGAUGUGGGUCUACAUUUAUUCUAAGAUGGGAGACAUCAUGAAAAUAACAGCUCUCUUCAUGUUCUUGAACAGAAAGAGAUCAUGGAGAAAGCAAGCCUUGAAGGGUUCCCAAUGAGCAACUUUAUUUAAGAGAUGAAAUGCUUACAUCGUCUAUUAUUUUCCUGGGGAAGCUGAAGAGAAAAUGCGGAUUUGCCGACAAUCUGGGGGGCCUAGCGUCUUGCCUGCAAGCACAACUUCAAAAUUUUCCAAGCAUACCGUGUUUCUUUCAUGUAUUGGAAGCUUUUUUGACAUGUAGCCUGUGUUUGCCGGAAAUAAAUUGUGAUGAAGACCUUGUAUAAAAAGAUCUUUCAUUCUUCCCCGUGUUCAUUGCAUCUCAGAAUUCCAUUUUCCUUUUGACUUUGCUUGACCCAGCUCCAUUUUAUUGCCAUGUAGACAGGAAAAAGAAGCGAGAAAUUCGGGUCUCAUCACAACUAUUUUGAAAUAUUUUUAAUUAAAAUUCUUUUUUAGAUAUGUUUUUAAGUAGAAUCAUCUCAAUUAUUUUUCUAAUAAAAUAUUUUAUUACAUCGCAUGCGUUUUUUACUUUUUAUAUCAUUUUGUAUUAUUUUUAAAAGUAUUUUCUAAAAACAAAAUUAAAGGAUAAUAAUAAUGUGUUUUAUUAUUUCAAUAAUUUAAAAAUAAUUAUUAUUAUAAUUUAGGAAGCAAAAUUAAAUUAUAAUUUUAUUGCCAAAGAAUUCAGUACAACCGUAUCCUAAAGACCUGAUUCUAUGUACAGAGACGGCAUUCAGCGAGGCAAAGAAUAAAAAAGGGACGGUGGUGAUGAACUAAAAGCCAACCAGUCAUCAUACUUCUCUCCCUCUCUUCUUCCUCUCUCUCUCUCUCUCUCUCUCUCUCUUAUCCAGCGUCUGAUCUCUGUCCAAAAAAACAAAAUCAAAAACAAUUCCAUCAAAACUCUCUCUCUCUUCUACGCGCGCCAAAUACAAACAUUCUUCAAACACUCUCUCUCUCCACAGGUACGCUCUCUUUCUCAAGCUCUCUUUCUCUCUCUAUCUGUACGGACGUGAUGGAUAUAGGGUUUCAGUGUUCGUUUCUCAACCUAGGGUUCCGGCGACCAUGGCAGAUGGUCCGGCGAGUCCCCCCGGAGGCAGCCACGAAAGCGGCGGGGACCAGAGCCCCCGCCACAACGUUCGUGAGCAGGACCGGUACCUUCCGAUCGCCAACAUCAGCCGCAUCAUGAAGAAGGCGUUGCCGGCUAAUGGUAAGAUCGCCAAGGAUGCGAAGGACACUGUCCAAGAGUGCGUCUCCGAGUUCAUCAGUUUCAUCACCAGCGAGUACGCGGAUCUCUCUCUCUUUUCUUUUCCUUCUAUUUCUCCGAUGAUUGUGUUUUGGGUUAUUUGAUUAAAAGGAUGAAAUCUUUUCCUUCUAUUUCUCCGAUGAUUGUGUUUUGGGUUAUUUGAUUAAAAGGAUGAAAUAAUCCCAAUUGGUAAAGCUAACCAUAACCGUUCACUCAUUUUCAACCUAAACAAUAUCCAUUGUUGACCAAAAUAUCCUUCACCUAACAUGGCAGAGUUUGAUUUACAAGGAAAUUAGGGUUUUGGUUUUGCAAUUGCAAAAUAUUUUUUGAAAAUGUUUCUUGUUUAGGGCUAGUGAUAAGUGUCAGAAAGAGAAGCGAAAGACGAUUAAUGGUGAUGAUCUGCUUUGGGCGAUGGCGACCCUAGGAUUUGAAGAUUAUAUUGAACCACUAAAGGUGUACCUGCAGAGAUAUAGAGAGGUAAUAAUUCUUCUGGUUUUAGUUAUCAUUGAUUGGUUAUGAAAAUGAAAGAAAUCGAAGUUUUGAAUCUUCACGGUUUUUCUUCUAGUACUAAAUAUUAUUUUUUUGUUUUUGUUUCAAUUUAAUUUAUUGAUAUGAGAAGAUGGAGAUUUCUUUUAAUUUGCCAAGUAAUAGAGGAAAAGAAAAGACAAUGAAGCUUGGCUUCCAAAAUCAACAAAUUUAACUCAGCUAAUCCAAUUAGUUGUGUUAAAUUCAUUGAGUGGAGCCUUUUUUUUCUUGAGUUCCCAAGUCAUGAAAAAUCCGAGCUUCAAAAUCCUUUUUAUAGGUCUAUUGCUCUCCAAAUGAUCCAGCUUCUUCACGUUAGCAUAUAUCAAUAUUUUAUCUCCAAAAAUAUGCUUAUUUGUUUAAAGGUUGACCUGACAAAUUUUUAAUAUGUUUUUUUUUUUUUUUUUUUGUGUGUCUUAUCUUCACCAAAUGGUCUUGGCAUCACAGCUGGAGGUACAACCCUUUUCCUCUACCUAGUAUAAUUGUUGUUUUUUUUUUUUUUAUCUAUUUAUUUCCUUGAUUAUUUGCUUGUUUGUGUUGUGUAUUCUUGUAAGCUUAUGUUUUAAUGAUGUUAGCCAAUUGUAAACUUGGACAGGGUGAUACCAGGGGAUCUGCUAGAGGUGGAGAUGGAUCUGCUAGAAGGGAUGCAAUAGGAAGUCAACCUGGUCCAAAUGCACAGGUGCUAUAUUGUCAUCUUCAUUAGAACAUAGAUUUGGGCUUCACAUGUUUUAAAUAAUAGCAUUCAUUUGUUAUUGUGGAAUGGGCUCUCAUCCACAUUCUUUUCCUUAAUUCUGAUUUAUUUGGGAAUGAAUAUGGCAGUUUGCUCAUCAGGGGUCCUUUACGCAAGCAAUGAACUAUAUGAAUUCCCAGGUACAUCUGCGCGUGUGUGCAUAUGUGCUGUCUAUAACAAAGAAAAGAUAUGAUCGCUAACUGACAGUUAGGAUAUAAUUUUGCUUGUGAUAUCGAAUUAAGUAUUACCUCUUCACCUUUGCUUCUUUUGAAAGAACAAUCACAACUGGAAAUUUUUAAUAUUCAAGGAGUUCCAUUUGCACUUCUCUUCUCUCAUGCCAUGUACUUUUAAAGUUGUUAAAUGGUGUUGACAGUAAUAGAGCUAAUCCAAAACUUGGUGUUAGAUUGUGUAGUUAGCUUGACCAUAGCACCAAGGAAAUAGUGGAUGACCUCUUCUUAUUGUGUCUUUUUGAAGAUUUUUUUAGUCAAAAAACAACUGUUGCGUCUUUCCAUUUUUUAAUGUAAGUCCAGAUUGAAGUUUUAGCCAAGGACACACACCCAGUUGGACCUGCCUACACCCUAUGGCUUAAAACCAAGGUUGGGAGGGUUUAGAUUCUUGAAAAGUUAGGUCAGUCUACUUUUUUUGGGCGGAUUCAUUUUGGUGCAUUUGGGGCUCAUAAUAGUGGAUUAGACUUGUUGCAUGAUAGGCCUGCUCAGAUAGGCCACCCACUUUUGUCGUGUGUGAAAUCUUGAACCAAUAAGCAAUGGUUUAAAUUCUACUCUCUAGGUUAAACUUAAGCUCAGAGCAAACAUUUGCUACCCCUAAGUUGAGUCCUGGUCUAAUUACCAUAAUUGGUUAACCAUUAGAUUUUGAUCCAGCCUUUUCCUUUAGUUUUUUUAUGCUUAAACACACACAACAACAACAACAACUUUGUUUCUUUCCGAUAGAUGCUGAGCUUUUCUGUUUUGAUAGCCUCUUUGUGUCUUGUACUUAUGUCCAGUUCCUACCUAUGAAAUGCUUGCAUAAUUAUAUUUGAAUGCCAUUGAAAAGGAUUUUCUUCAGUUAAUACUAACUGUAGGUUUAUUGUGGACUGUUAGUUCAUGUAAUAUUACAUGAAUAGGAGUAUUUUUUUUUUUUCAUAUGCAGUAUUUGUGGUCACACUUAAAACAGAAGCUAAACAGUAUGUAGGUGGAAAAGUAUUCGAUGAUUAAAGAAAAAUUAUGACCUUAAUAGGAUGAAUAAAAUCAUCUAAACAAUUAGAAUUUGGAAUAGGCAAUUUGUUUACAUGGUUAUUUUUUUUUAAAAAAAUGACAAGCAUUACCCAUAAUAGAGGUUUGAGUUGGAAAAAGAAUAAAUCAAGAAAGAAGUUGAAUCCUAAUCCAAAAUGUGGAAAAAAAACAUAGCUCUAAAAGGCAUAAAGUUCUCGUGGGUCUUGCCACAACCCAUUACCCAAGGAAACGCUUGAGGAAGGUGAAUCGCAAUUUAGGUUGUGCAUGUCAAUUUUAUAACAUACUGAAAAUCUGAAGAGGCAAGCAUUUAGCAUAGGCUUGUAUAUCACCAAAUAUUAUUCAAAGUAACAAACCUUGAGAUUUCAAGCAUUAUUUACUAGAAGCACUCAACAGAAAACUAAUGCAAUUAUAUAAAUUUUCAAUAUGCACUCAAAAACUUCAAGAAUAAAAAUCUAGAAGGAAAAAUGAAAAUAGAUGAGGUGCACUUCUUCAACAAGGUGUGUCCCUUAGCAGGCAAAGCACUGCAUUUUGGGCCUAGGCACUACAGCUAGGGAGUAAGUGCACUUUGUGUCUAGGUGUGCCUAAUGACCAUGGAAAAGAAAAAUGAUAGAGAAAGCUAAAUUAAAUACUUAAGGAAUUAUUUAAGAAUGUGGAGAAAAACCUGUUAUUUUGUGAUAUUCACAAUCGAAUAUGAAAAAAUGUGAUUGAAAGUAAUGAAUACAAUUUUCUUCUGAAAGAUACUGAGGAAGGCAGAGAAAGAGAAAUAGAGUGGCAAACACGAUAUAUUUUACAUGAUCUUCUCAAACUUGAGGCACUUAAUGGAUCACACUAAUUCCACCAUAUCUCAGGAAGAAAGAAAAAAAAUAUGAAACAGUCGAUCCCAAACCUGGGUAUCCCAUCUACUGAUUGGUACCCACCUAUGCAUAACAAAUCUAAGAUGGGAUGUGGAUGCUUGAUCUGUGGAGCUGUGACAAUGCUAGACUUGGUCACAACACAGCUACAGCUGGACAUGUGUUGAGCGUACCCCGCAGUUGUCCAAGUGUCUAUAAAUUAAUUUGUUAAUAUUGGAAGUAAGUCUGACACUCGGAUGAUACACUACAAACAUGUAGUGAACACAAAAUGGAAAUGGUUGACAGGCUCCAACAUGUGAUGGACAUACCUGUCUAAGAUCCAAAAUAUGUGGUAAUUGGUGAAUUUAACCCAAAAAAAGCACCAGUACCACAAAUCUAGUGGUUUUUUUCUUUCUUUUUUUCCUUUUUUAUUCUGAUAAAGAAUCUUGUGGCUAUUAAGGCUCGAUUAUUUUUUAGCUUCCAACAUGGAUUUGCUACACUGCUAAUUUCUUUGUUUCGUCUUGCUAAUUUGUUUCGCCCUUGUUUACAUUAUUUACAUUACAUGAGAUGAAUGUGAUAAUACGAUGAAAAUGGUUAUAUCAUUGCAUUUGUGUAUUUAUUUAAUUGUCAUCCCAAUGUCUAUUUUUUUAUUCUAAGUGGAAUAUUGGUAAUUGUUUCAAUUUUUUAUCAUUAUUCUCUCCAUUCAAGAGGUUUGGAGAUGUGCUUUCAAAUGAUAUACAAAAUAAAAAUGUCCCUUUUCUCUGUGCAUUGUGGGGUGGAGUAGGAUUACUGGCUUGGAUUCUAAUGCAAUGGAAUUCUUUGCAUUCUGCAGGCACAGGGGCAGCAUCUAAUUGUAUCUCCCGUGCAAAGUAGCGAGUAGGAGACUCUAGCUUCUCUUUUACCAAUUCAAUGAUUCAGAAUUUUGACUGGUAGAUACUAUUUAACACCCCUACCGUCCUUUAUACAUAUUUUCAAAUACCGCAUAUUUUUGUUUGGUUUUUCUUUUCUUUCUUUCUUCUCUUUUUUGGUUUGGGGGUGGGGUUUCUGAUCGUGUUGGUGCUCUCAUCAGCAGAACAGCUGGGAUAGCCCGAUAUUGUAGAACUGGAUCUUUGCCGUUUAAUUAUCUAGGCAUAUUUGAGGGCAGACUGCAAUAUCUGGAGAAGGGUUUGCAUAUGAUACCUUAGACUUUCAUCUUCUGCCGUGUAAGGUGGGUGACGCCUGGAAUUAUAUUUUGCUCGUUUUGGAUGAUUAAGCAACAGCUAAUAUUAUACCUCAGAUUGUCAUCUGGUGCCAUGUAUGUCAGAAGAGGACUUGUUAUUAUGUUUUUUUUUGGAGGAUUAAUAUUUUGUUGAUGGGUUGAGACAUGGUCGAGUUUUGGGUUGGUGUAUCUUGCAUUUUUGAGGACCCUUUAUUUCAUAAUCUCUCUUUUUUUUUUGGAUUGGGUUAGAGUGUACUUAGGUGACUAUUCCAUGACCAUGAUAGACUUUAUAAAUUGGCUGUGCUCAAAGUAGGUUGAGGGAGAGGUUGUUUUUAUUCCCCUGCCCCUCUUUUUGCUUGUCUGAUGGUGUUUUUUGUAUACAUCAUAUAUACUCUGAUGCGCCCUUUUUCAGGCCCUGCUAAUGUAUCCUCAAUUUUGCCUAUAAAAAAAUGCAUGCUCCCUGUGUACAUUGAUUAUAGCCCCUUUUGGGCUAUACCUUCUUGAGUUUUUAUUUGUAAAGGAAAGGGGAAAAAAACAGCAGUUCUUAUCUGGCAAAGGAUGAUUGCAUGCUUGUCGAUUGAAAACCAUGUUCCUGUCCAUGUCCAUGCAUUUUGGCAAUUAAUCGUGUGCCUGGUGCUUGGACUCUUUCUAGUCAAUUGCAAGAACCUCAUGUCAACUUUUCCUUACAAGAAAUACCGCAUUUUGCUUGCCCUCCAACGUGAUCUGGCCCCAGGGACUCAAGUUGCAUGCCCUGUCUAGUUUGAUUUGCAGGACCCAAGCUACAUGCAUUAGUAUUUUGGGUAGUCAUAAAACUCUAUUCAAUUGGCAUCCAGCAAAGCAGAUAUAUGCCUUUAUUAUUUUUUGACUAUUCAAAGUUUCCUAGGGUUCAAUUAUUUGUCUUGGUCGUGGGGAUUGUUAAUUUUAGGUUAGUCCAGGGACAUGAAACUGUCUCCACCUGCCAGUUUUGACUUGGAUGGUAAACACACCAGGUCCCCAGACCUGCAGAAGAAGCAUGUUUUGCGUUUUUAAUUCUACUGAUAACAAUUCUUAUCAUUUGGGUUGCUAUUAAUCACCAAUAACAAUAAGGAGCGUGGUCUUCAAAAAAUUUGUUAUCGUUUCUGGUCUUGAGGGUAACAAUUUUUUUGAGAAUAAAACGAUAAGAUGUUGGAAAUUAGAUGCUAAAAAACUGGUACAUGUAGUGAUUGGGAAUUGGUUGACUUAGUUAUGUAGCUAAAACAGUUAGGCCCAUGCCGAUCAAAGAGGGAAUUGGUGGGACUCCAAAUUGCAAAUCGUAAUAAUGAUAGGAGUCAUUCAAUGGAGGGUGCAUUAGAAAGCCAAGUUGGGGAUGUGUGUGUAGGCAAAUGGCUUAAUGUGAAAGGGUGUGGGUGUGAGUGGGAGUUAAAUUCACUUACUAUGGGGAGUCCAAACUGAACUGUACUGUGAGCCACAAGCAUAAGACAGGGGUGAGUUUGGAGCACGUGACGCUCACUUGUGAGUUAGGUGGACGCGUAACGUACACGUGAGCUGGGGAUAGGAGGGAGGAGGGUCACAGUGUCGCAUCAUUUUGUAUGCUCACCCCAAUCUAUCAAACAUGGGGGCCAAAAUAAAGAAUGAAAUCCCCCAUUGGAAGAGAAAAGGGCACCAAAUAUGUAGUAAUAUAUCUUAAUGGUCUCCCACGACGUGUCCAUCAUUUCAUGCCCUGCACAAGCAGGCCAGCUCACACCCCCCACCCCCACCCCCUCAAAGAGCACCACCACCAUUUCCAGAGUGGUAAAAACUCUACAUAUAUGAGUGUGUCUCACAAUCACGUUCGUCAGGGAGAGAAAAGGGGAAGUGUACGUGGUUAGGCCAACUCACACCCUCAAAGGCUCCAGCUCACACAACCUCCCACCCCCCACCCCCUUCUUAGUAGUCCUCUUACCACCUCCCCCAGAUUAUUAUUUAUUAUUAUAAUCUCGCAAGAACGUGAAGACUGAAGACUGAAGAGGGAGGGAGGAGCAGGGUCUUGUUUCUUUCUCGGUCAAAACGAAGCUUAAGCUUUACAAGUUUUAUCCACUAUACAAAAAAAAAAACCAAAAAAAUGGGGUACAGCUGGCCACGUUAAGCGUCCAGAGAGGGGAGCUGGCCACUCUCACGUGGUCGUCUAGGGGGUCGUUGAAACCAAGAUGGACAGAUACAGACUGAGUGAAAGAGCAUCCCUACCAUGCUCUCUCUUUUAUUCCAUUGUCUCCCUCACGUGCCUUCUCUCUCUCUCUCUCCUCAAAUUGAAGGUUAAUUAAAAUUUCCCUAAUAUACAUUGGUUGGGGUUGGUAAAAACCCUAUUCACUUCUCCUACCCUCUGCCUUCAUUUUUACCUAUUUCCCCCCUUGAUGAAGACUGGUGUCUGCAGAUUUCAAUAAAUGGUUUACUGCUGGAAAGGGUGGUAAAUUCUUACCAUUUCUAUUCCAUAUAGAAAAGCUUCUUCUCCUCUCCGGAUACAAUUCUUUAUCAUUAUUCAUGCACGUCUCCCUCUCAUUGGUUGAGACCACGACACAUGGUAAGUACCCUAUGACUCAUCAUGCAACCAUGUGCCAUACCAAAAUACCGAAAAUUAUUUUUUUUUAAAAUUAAAAAUUAUAAAACCCUAAAUAAAAUUAAUAAUAAUAUUUACUUCUCACAAAAGCCUCUUUUUUACAGCUUCUAAAUCACAUUUUCAGCAUGUGACACAAUUUUUUUUUUAAAAAAAAAAAUCAAUAAUUUUGAAAAAUUCAAUCAAAAUUAGUUAUUUGGAUGCUUUAAUGUUUUAACUCCCAAACUCAUGAUUACAACCACCAGGUUUGGUUGUUUAUUUUUGGCCUUCCGUACAAUCUCCAUUAACCUUAAUCACCAUCAAUCACGGCUACUUUGCCUUUUCGUCAUAGUCUACAAAAUAUCAUUAAAAUAAUUUUGUACAUUUACAUUACAUUUUGCUAAUCAAUUGUAUGUAAAAUUACUAUAAAAAAACGUUUAUUUUAAAAAAAAAAUUAUAUAGGUUUUUUUGGGAUAUAUUUUUAUUUUUAUUUUAUAUUUUAUAUAAAAAAUAUUAUUUUUAUUUUAUUUUUAAAAAUAAAAAACAUGUCACGUUUAUUUUUCGAUUAUAUUCGGGUUUUGGAGAACAAAUGACUUGCGGCCAACGAGGCAAGCAUCUGUGACGAAAAUCCAAUGGGCGGUUGAUAGGUUGCACUGCCCAAAUCCAGUACUGCACUAGGUCAUAGGGGUGUAGGGGACGCGCUGUCCAUGGAGUGGGACCCAGAAACAGAGUGAUUGGGUCCACGUGAUCAAGUGGUGGUAGGUAUCAUUGAUAGUGAUGCUGACGCAGAUCAGAUGUCUUGACUUUGACUGCUUCGUUGCAUACAAAAUAACCAAAACAACAGCAUCCGACAUCACUAUCUCAAUUAAAUUAUUUCUAAUUUCUACUUCUUUUUUGUAAUAUUUUUAUGAGCUAGGAUUCAGCUCAAAUUAUUCAAAUGAAAUUUGAAUACUUUUCUAUUUUAUAUUUCAAAAAUAAAUAUUUUAAAUAAAAAACAGAAAACAAUUGUGUUAUUUUAUUUUUAUUUUUUUGAAAAGCAAAAAAUCGUUUUGAAAAAUAUUACCAAACAGAUAUUUAAUUCAUGUUCCUAAAUUUUUUUUUCAAAAUUUGAAAUUUUUGUAGAAGUAAAAAACUUUACUUUAAUUUUAAAAUUUUUUUAACUUUUAUAUUAAUUUUUUUAUUUUUAAAACAAAAAAAAUCAAAAUAUAUCCAAAUAUACACUUGGAUUACCUUUAAACCAAUGUAAUUUUGUACUAAAAGCGAAUGGUUAUCAAAUUCUAAAAAUUUUAAAAAUAGUAUUUAAAAAAGCAAGAAAAUUUAAGGGGGAAAAUGUAAAAAUUUUAUAAAUAUAAAGGGCAUAUGUUUAUUCGCCGACUAACCUUCUAGGACAGCACGUCACGUACGUUAAAUUCGUUAACCGUGGGAGACCCAUAUUUUUCAAUUAACGUACGACGUGCCGUUUCGGUGUUCCUCCUUUUAGACGUUGCACUCGGGGAGAGUGUCAACACGCGCCACUCUUACAAUGACAACGUUGGAUCCAAGUGUAGUGGCUUACGCAUUGUUGGCACAAACUUUUACUGGUUAAAAUUCUUUUAAUUAAUAUUUCUUUUUUAAUAAAUAUAGGAAUUUUAAAAAUAAUUUAAAAUUUUGAGUGUUAAUUUUAAUUUUGUUUUAAUUAAGAAAAUAACAGAUCAUGGAUGACACGUUUACAGAUGGGUUAUGACAGAUAUAACCCGGAGUGGACAUGUCUAAUUAAUUGAUAGGAAAAAGAUUGAAUUAUCUCCUAAAUAAAUGCUCUUACUUGUGUCCUACUAAAUUAUUUUCUUAAAUAUGUUCUCCAUUAAAACCAUUGAUUUCCCUAUUGGCCAGAGAAGCAUUGUAAAGAGACGAUUCUGUUCCUCUAAAACAACUGUUGCCGCCCUUGAGAAAGGGUAAUUUCGACUUUCCAUGUUGAAAUCAACUGGAGAGGCGCCCACGUAAGACACCGCAAUUAUAGGAGCAUUUCUGUAGAAAGCUUAAUGAACCCCGUUAAGCUGUCGUCCCGGAGCGUGGGAAACACAUCACCAGAUAAAACUGGGAAAGGAAGUAGUGGUGGCGCGUGGGAAGAGAGGAGAGAAGGUUGAAAAGGAGGUAGACAUCACGUUGAUGUCCUAAGCAGAGUCUAUCUGGCUGCCCCUCUGUCUAUCUGGUUUUUUCUUCCCCACAUUAUUUUAUUCGUAACCCCCCGACCUCAACCUUAUAUACUCCAAAACACCCUCUUCCUCUCCCUCCACAAACCCUUUUCUCCCUCUCCAACUCAUGCCAUAGUGUCAUCCUCCCAUCAUACGCCGUCGUUUCAGGAGAAAAAGAGAUACAUUGGACAUGACGAUGAGCAACGCCAUCGGACAGUUCGGCGACACCACGCUUACCAAAGUGUUUGUUGGCGGCUUGGCAUGGGAGACUCCCAAAGAGGCCAUGAGAGACCAUUUCGAGAAGUAUGGUGAGAUCUUGGAGGCCGUCAUCAUCUCCGAUAAGCUCACCGGCAGAUCCAAGGGCUACGGUUUCGUAAGUGCUCGCUCUUUGCAGGGGAUUGAUAGGUUUGCUUUGUUCGGUUCGGUUGCUAAUGCGCUUCCGGUUUUUGGGUAUAGGUGACGUUUAAGGAGCCGGAGGCGGCGAAGAAGGCCUGCGAGGACGCCACGCCGAUGAUCAACGGCCGCCGAGCCAACUGCAAUCUGGCUUCUCUUGGAGCGCGACGCCCGAGGUCGGCUGCCUCCAGUACACCACCUCACCAAGGUAUCUUUAAUCCCUACAAUCAAAAGUACAAAACGCGAGAAAUGUUAUUUUCGUAAAUUUCAACUUCAUGGAGGUCUUAAAUUAUGAUGUUUUCUGUCGUUUAGGAUCUAACGGUGGAUCGAGGCCCACGUCAGCUGCACCUGCUAGUCACGUGCAGUGGUACUAUCCGGCCGGAACGCCGGCUCCCCCCUUCCAUCACCAGCAUCAUCAGGCUGUUCCUUUUUAUGGGUAUGCUUCUUUUUCUUGAUUUUCCGUUACGUUUUCAUAUUAUAGAGAUUCGCCGCGUCUCAUUGUAUCAGUUCCGGUUUCAGGUACUCCCCCGCCUACAUUGCGGCCGACAUCAGUUACAAUCAUGUAAGUGCAACUGUGAAAUUAGGUACAAGUGAUUUAUGAACCGUCCGAUUCUUUCAGUCAUGAUCCAACGGCUGACAUAGGGAUUGUGUGUUGUGGCGGUGCACAGAAGCUAAGCUACACAGGUGGUUCGUACAUGAACGGGCAUUUCUCGCAGGUGUAUCCAGGGCAGGCUAUGGUGGGUGCGAACGCAUUGAUGCCAAUGUACCCUUUCUAUCAUUUUCAUCAAUCACAGACGAUGGGGCAUCCAGCUCACAUGUUUCCACCAACGACGGUGGGCCCAAUGCCCACCGUCCCAGCGAUCAUCUCAAAGCCCACAUCAAUGGCUCCCAACACAGGUACCCACAUUCGCUUUGGUGUAUACUUGAUACACAUUAAUUUAUGCUCCCAAACAAGGAACAGGAAUCAUACAUUCACGUGUGAUGGAGUUGGUCCAACUGUCAAUUGGGCUUUUGCAGACACAGUUGUACAACUGUAAAAUUACUAUAUUGGCCUCCGUUCUUUUGAAAACUGAAACACUUUUCCAACCAGGGCCAGGCUUUAUAAUCUUUUUCAAGCAAACGGGUACCCUCAAAUCUGAUAAUGGAAGCUGCAAAUAAGUCUUUGAAAAAUCCAAAAUUUUGAACAAGUAAGAUGUGAACUGAUAUUACAGAGAACAGUUUGUUUGGCUGUGGAAUAGGUGCGAUGGGAGGAGGAGAAAGCUUUAAAAAGGUUGGAUAAAGGAAGAAAGAAAGAAAGAAAGAAAGAAAGACUCAAGGCUUAAAAGAGCAAUAACGAAAGUGCCUGCCGGUGCUCUGGAGUUGGCAGCUGCUCAGAACAACAUUAUUAUCUGAUCUGGGAUGGCUCUUUUCCAAUUUUUUUUGUUCUUUUAAUUUCUUAAUUUCUUAUUCUUAGGUGUUUGAUAAUAUUCAUUCAUUCUCGUUCUCUCUAACAUGCAUCUCAUCAUGAGCUGUAAACCAUUUAAGGAAAAAAAAAAGAACAAGAAAAAGAAAAAGAAAAAGAGAGGAGACAUAUGUAACAGAGGUCAUGUAUGUUCACCCAUGCCCUAUGGAAUCUUUUCAAUGGCUUCAUUGGACUUUGAUGCAUAAAGCCUCUCUCUCUCUCUCUCUCUCUCUCUCUCUCUCUCUCUCUCUCCUUCCUCACUGCAAAACAAUUGCUGCGCACAAGAAGAAAGAAUAGGAUGGUUGCGUACCCAAUUUUGGUGGAUAUUAAUAAUUUGGAGUGGCAUAUCAAUUAUCAAGUGGGCAUCAUGCAAAUAGAGUAAAAAGGGUGGUAAGGUAUCCAUUCUUUGUUAUUGUGAAAUGGGCUUUUGAUGAUGUACCUGUCUAUAACAAAAAUAAUAAGAAUUGUCAUGUUGGGCAAAUUGAAAAUAAGAAGAGUAAAAGAGAGUGUAGCCAUAAGAAAUGAAAUGGUUAGAACUUCAAGGAGCAUCCGUAGAAGGGAUGAAUAUGCUCAAAUGGAUCAAGCUCAAUGUUGGGGUGGAUGAUUGUGAUACCCACAUCUUGCUAAUAACCUAACUUCUUCUAUGGUCUCUGACAAAAAUACCUUAUGAAGAGUAAAAGAGAGUAGAGUCUUAAAGUAUGAAAUGGUUAAGACUUCAAGGAAAAUAUAUAGAUUGGAUGAAUAUGCCCAAAUUGGAUAGAACUUAGUUUUGAGGUGGGUGAUUGUGAUAUUCCACGUCCGAUAAUAGCCUAUUAAACAGGCUUAUUUGGUCUAUGACAAAAUAUGCUAUGUUAAUAUAGAAAUAUGUAAUAUCUUAUUUUAUCUUAUUAAUCUCUACAAAAACUUAUAAAUCACGAGAGUCAAUGAACUUAUAAUGGGUAAUAUUUACAAUCACGAUGAGAAAUAAAACCCUUUCAUGACAAGUAAAAUCGCUUUAUAUCUAUGCAAGUCCAUGUAAUUUAAUAUAAGGAUGGGUUAUAUUUUCACUUCCAAAGUAGAAGCAAAUAAAGCUAGUAUUUGUUUCAUUUCUCCUUUAUGUAAUUUGUCAAAAUAUUGUACACAAUAUGGGAGGUACAUCAAUUCACCUUCCAUAAAUCAAGGCAUAAUAUCAUAUUAAGUAAGUUUUUGGAUUAAUUGAAAGCUUCACAUGAUAAAAGAAACAAAAAGGGGAUUUAUAUACUCUCCCUUUAAAAAUAAGCUUACUAAAGAAAUUCCAUAUUGGUAUAAGGCUUCACCACAUAUACUCAACAAGUCCCAAGAUGGGUCGGGAGUGGGUUGUCCUCAUUUCUCAACCAAUUAGUUUUAUGUGGCCCACGUGGUUUAUUUUGUUCUUGAUUAUCUUUUAUUUAAUUUAGAGAUAAUCGUGAUGGUUUUAUUAAUUAUCUUUUAUUUAAUUUAAAGGAUAAUUAUGGUUAAUAAUAUUAAGUACUAAAAUCCUAUUGGUCAAUUGAAGAUAUGUUUUAACCGUUCACGUUGAUGGAGCGUGAUAAGAAACUAUUUAGGUCCUCUCUCUACCCAUUAUAAAUAUAGUUUUCUCUCCUUCAAGUGAAGCACAACAAACUAAAGGGGUCGCGGGACAGAAACCAAGUCUUAACUAAUUUGUUUUCUUUACAAGGAAUUUCUUUUUCUACACCAACCUUUAAGAUCAAUCUCAUGGAUCAAGGUAUGUUUUUUUUAUUACUUUAUUUACUUUGAAAAAUCAUAAAGUUCUAAGGCUAAGGUUAUGAUUGUUCUCCAAGAAUUAGGCUUACAAUUAUUCUGCAUAAUUAAAGGAAUUUCUAACAUGUGGUAUCAUAGCAUAUGGUUUAGGAACUUGUGAUUUUCCUUUAAAGAGAUUAUUAUAUGUUUCUCUCUUAUGAUAUCGAUUUUUUGACAAGAGAAUUAAACUUAUUGAUUAUAUUGUCUAUUGCAAUGAAAAGAUUUUGUCGAUUUUUUUUUUAUAUAGUCGGUUUCUUUCUAAAUUCAUCGCAAUGCCUUCAAGUUCUUGUUUGUAAUCUUUAUUAAAUGGGCUUCUUAUCGGAUUUUUGAAAAUUCUGGAUUUGUUUGCAAAAUUCUUGAUGGACCAUAUAAUAAAAAUUGCCAUGAAUAUAUAAUGGAGAAUAUAAAGAUAUGACAUUCAAUAUUGGGUCUAUCAAUCUCUUUUCAUGCAUAUAUUGAUGAUUGAUAUAUUUUAGUGAAUGGGUUCAUCAAGUUUAUUGAACCAACUUUUGCAUCAAUCAAUUUUUAUUGAUAUGUCAUUCUUUAUAUAUAUAUAUAUAUAUAUAUAUCAUGAAUUUUUAUUUAUGAUGGUAUGUUUUUUAACUUUGCCUUUUAUUAACAAUAAAUAUUAAUUUAUAGAUGAUUGUAUGUGAGAAUUAUGGAAUGAUAAGCACCUUAUGGAAUAAAGUUUCAUCUUAUAAAAGAUAAUGUUGAAGUGUUCUACUAUUAUGUAAUUUGAUUACGGCAUAUUGUAAUGGUUUGUUAGUCACCAAAGUGGCCAAACCUUAAAGUAUGAUGUCAAUCAAAUUGUGUAAUAUUUUUAUCUAAUUUGAUAUCUAUAGUAUGAAUUAAUUUGUUAUUCUACAAAGUGACCAAAUUAGAAAGUCUUUCAUAAAUAUCAAAGUAAAUAAAGUUCAAUUGCUCAUGGUUAUGUGAUACUAUAUGUGAAAUGACAUAAUGAUAUGUAUAUAUUUUGUCAUGAGUAUAUUGAAGUUCAUUGAUAUAAAAUAUUUAAGGAUAACUCAAAGGUUGAUCAAUUAAUUUUAUAUCAAUGAACAUGAUUGUGGUAAGUUGAUAUACCUUAUUUUGAUAUGUUUAGUAUAUCCAAAAAUAGCAAACACGUCAAGUUAGACUAGUAUAUCUAUAAUUACGAAUUAUGCAAAAUUAAGCAUUAAUUAUGGUUAUUGUUGUACAUUGUUGGAUCACCCAAAGGAGAACUUCAAUGUACAUUUAUUGUUUAUUAAUAUUUGAAUCUAUGUUAUGUGUUUGAGUUUAUGACUCCGAGCAUUAAUGUAUGAGCUUUCUACAUGUUUACAGUAUUUGCUCAUGUUUCUUUUCAUUCUCAAGCUUCAUCUCUUUUAAAAUAUAGUGGGCUUAAUUUCUUUGAGUGGUGUGAACAAAUCCAGUUUCAGCUAGGGGUUCUAGAUUUUGAUUUGGCACUCUUAACCGAUAAGCUUACUGCUAUUACUGAUUCAAGCAACACAAAAUAGAGGUCUUUCUAUAAGGCUUGGGAAAAAUCAAACAGACUAAGCUUGAUGUUUAUGCGAAUGAUAGUAGAAAACAACAUCAAGUCCACAAUUCCCAAGACUAAAAGUGCAAAGGAACAUAUGAAAUUUGUAGAAGAACGGUCCCAGUCCGACUUUGUUGAUAAGUCAUCAAUUGGGACAUUAACCACAAUGAAGUUUGAUGAUUCAUGUACCAUGCAUGAGCAUGUCACUGAAAUGAUAAAUAUAGUAGCAAAAUUGAAAUCCAUGGGAAUGGAAGUGAAUGAAAACUUCCUUGUGCAGUUCAUUAUAAAUUCUUUACCUUCUCAGUAUGCCCCAUUCCAAAUGGGUUAUAAUACUAUUAAGGAUAAAUGGAAUGUGCAUGAAUUGCAUAAUAUGCUCAUUCAAGAGGAAGCUAGUCUAAAGAAACAAGGAGAUCAAUCAAUUAAUCUCAUGGAUUAGCAAAGAGCUGGAAAAAAGCCCGCAAAGAAUAAUGGAAAGGGCAAGCUAGUAAGGACUACAUAAAUUUAAUGUAUCAUCUACCCAAGUCCAUAAGAAGGAACACAAAAAUGAUAAGUGUCAUUUCUAUAAAAAGCCUGGACACUAUCAGAAAGAUUGCCUAAAAGGUAAUGCAUGGUUCAAAAAGAAAGGUAAGCCUAGUGCCUUUGUAUGUUUCGAAACAAAUUUGGCAGAAGUUCCUUAUAAUACUUGGUGGAUUACUCUAGUUGUACCACUCAUAUUUCUAAUACGAUGCAGGGAUUCCUUCCGAUCCAAACCAUAAAUCCAAAUGAAAAAUAUGUCUUCAUGGGGAAUCAAGUCAAAGCUCUAGUUGAAGCCAUUGGAAGCUAUUGUUUGAUUUUAGAUACUGGACAUCAUUUAGAUCUUUUUCACAUGGUUUUAAAAACCAGACCGGACCGGCCGGUACGACCGGUUGGACCGCCCGGUCCGACCGGUUGGACCGCCGGCCGGUCACGAUUCCGGUUCGGUCCAGUCAUUAGACCGGAUGGAGACCAAACCGGGAUUGGACCGCUUGAAUCGGCGGUCCAACCGGUGAACCGGACGAAUCGGCCGGUUCAAUGAAUUUAAUUUUUUUUUUUUUAAAGCAUCAAACGACGUCGUUUUUUGGUGCUUAUAUAAGCAAAAUUAAACCCAGCAGCUUCCAACAUUUCUUCCUCGGGCCGCCGUCAGCUGCGAGUCUACAACACCCACAAGAUAGGUUCCCCGGCAGCUGCGACGCCCACGGCAGCCACGACCCCCACAGCAGCCCCGUUGUAGCUCACGACACCGACAGGGCCACAGCAGCAUCGCCAGAGCCUCGCGACGCCCACGGCAACCGCGACGGCAGCCGCGACCCCCACAGCAGCCCCGCUGCAGCUCACGACGCCGACAGGGCCACAGCAACAUCGCCGGAGCCUCGCGACGGCCACAGCAGCCCGCCUGCUCCUCGUCAUUCUCGGUUUGUUUCCGAGUUCCAACUUCCAACAGUCCACUUUCCAUUAUACGAUUUUAACUUUGUUAGGAACAUGUCUUUUGGAUGUUGAGAUUAGGUAGAGAGAAAGAAAGGAGUUUAUUGGGUUACUGUAAUACUUCAAAUUAAUAGGUUUAGCAAUUAUCUCCUCGGAUCAAUUUGGAUUAUAAAUUUCUGAAUCUAGUGUAAUGGCUAUGAUUUUUCUUUGCCUAUCUGUCUGGUUGUGAAUAAGUAAAAAAGGGAUCUUCUUAAACUUUGUCAGUAACAUGUUCGGAUGUUGACAAAAGUUGGGAAGACCCAGAAAUUUGCUGAGCUUUUGUUGGAAGGAUAGUGGAGUUUGUGGAAGGGAUUUUAAUAUUUUAAUAUUUUAUAAUGGUUUGGAAUUUGAGGGAUUUUAAUAUUUUAUAAUGGUUUGGAAUUGAUUUCUAUUUUCUGAUAAUCAGAGGACUUUGAGGAAUUUUUUAUUAUUUAGUUAGAGAACUUUGAGAAAUUCAAAUUAUUAAUUGUAUUGAUGGAAUGAUGGAUAUUAAAAUUAAACAAUUUAUGGACCACCUUAUGAAUUUUGACAUGCUGUUAAUGAAUUUUGACAAUUUCUUCUAAAAGAAUUUUUUAUUAUUUAGUAUUAUCAAAAAUAUUUUUCUAAUUUAUAUCUAAAUAUUCAUUUUUUAUUUAUCAAAAUGUUAUUUUUCUUUUACAAAAAAUGAUACUAAUAAAAACACACAAGUUAAAAAAUGCAUCUAUCAAGAUUCAAAAUCACCACAAGCCCACCAGCUUUGAAUUCUUUCCCCAAUUAAUAAAAAAAUAAAAAAUACACACAUGCACAUGUAGUUCAAGAAUUCUCGGUUUGUUUCCAUUAUACAACAAUUUGUGCAUUAUGAUAUUAGAUUGCAACUCAACCAUAGAUUCAUGUGCCUAAAAUAUGAUAAUGAUUUGAUGUUUGAUUAUCUAAGGAAUCAUAGGUGAAAAAGUGUAUUUUUUACUAUCAUUAAUAUGUGAUAUGUGAUUGUAAAUUGUUGAUGACUUGAUUAUAAAUCAUUAAAUUGUUGAUGACCUUCAUUCUCUAGAUUGAUGUGGGAUUUUUGUUUUUAAUUUGAUAGGGAAAUAAAAAAUGGCAUCAAACUUGACUCCAUCCUCUGGUCAAGAUUCAACUACCCAUUCUCAAUCAAGUAGAAGUAAGACCGAUCCUGCAUGGGAGCAUGUUUCUGAAGAAAGAUAUGGAAAUGGAAGGAGAGUUCUUAUUUGUUUGUAUUGUAAAAAGAUUACAAAAGGUGGAGGUAUUCAUAGAAUGAAACUACAUCUUGCUGGAGUGAAAGGAGAUAUUGGUCCAUGUAAAUCGGUUCCACCUGAUGUCAGAUUUCGCAUGGAAAAUUCUUUGCAAAAGUUUGUAAAUGCUAAGAAAGCAACCAAAGAAGCAGAUGAAUAUAGAAAUCCUUAUGGUCCUAAUGUGUCACAAUUUGAAGGGGAUAUGGCAGAAGGUGAAGAAGAGGUUCAAGAAAUGCAAAGUCCUAUGGCAGCUAGUAGUGGAAAAAGGAAAAAAUCAACAGUGGAUAAGUAUUUUGCACCAAGAAAUACACAAGGAGCUCAACCUUCCAUGAGGAGUGUGCUAGCUGGGAAAGAAGCUACUUGGAGAGUGGAUAUGGCGGUUGGGAGAUUCUUUUAUGAUGCAUGCAUUCCUACUAAUGCUGUGAAUUCCUUCUAUUUCAAGCCAAUGUUGGAUGCUAUAUCUGCAAUUGGUCCUGGAUAUAAGGGUCCAAAUUACUAUCAGUUGCGGAUUAAUCUUUUAAAGGAUGCUAAGAAGGAAGUUCAGUUACUUGUGGACUCUUAUCGUGCAAUUUGGGCAAAAGUUGGGUGUACAAUAAUGGGUGAUGGUUGGACAGAUAACAGACAAAGAACACUCAUCAACUUCCUUGUAUAUUGUCCUGAAGGAAUAUCGUUUGUGAAAUCUGUUGAUGCUUCGGACAUUGUCAAGGAUGCAACUAAUUUGUUUCAGUUAUUUGAUGAGGUGAUUGAAUGGGUGGGUCCACUCAAUGUAGUUCAUGUAGUGACUGAUAAUGCAGCAAAUUAUGUGGCCGCGGGGAGAUUGAUUUCUCAGAAGCAUAAACACAUUAAUUGGUCACCUUGUGCAGCUCAUUGUCUUAAUUUGAUCUUUAAGGAUAUUGGUAAGAUAGACCAUGUUGUUGAACUUGUAAGACGUGCAUCAAAGGUGACAAUUUUUGUGUAUAAUCAUGUUGCUUUGUUAAGUUGGUUGAGAAAAAGGGAAGGAUGGACAGAGAUUUUGCGACCUGGUGCAACUCGCUUUGCUACUACUUUCAUUGCACUCAAGAGUCUUCAUGAUCAUAAACAUGACUUGCAAGCUUUGGUGACUAGUAAGUUCUUUGUGGACUCUAGAUAUUCAAAGGAUUAUAAAAGCCAAGUUGCAGUUUCCAUCAUCUUGGAUAAUAGAUUUUGGAAUGAUUGUUUGAUUGUUGUGAAUCUUAUGUCUCCACUAAUGCGUUUAUUGCGUAUUGUUGAUUGUGAUGAGAGGCCUUCGAUGGGAUAUGUGUAUGAAGGCAUGUAUAGGGUUCGUUUGGGCAUUAAGAAAUUGUUUAACUACAGCGAAAGACUAUACAAGCCUUAUACAGAGAUCAUAAAGCAACGUUGGGAUCAACAACUAAAGAAAAGCAUUCAUUCAGCAGCUUAUUGGUUGAAUCCAUGUUUCCAAUAUGAUCAGGAAAACUUUUGUAAUAAGCCAAAUGUUAUUGGAGGUGUUAUGGAUGUUAUUGAUCAAAAAGUUCUGAAAGGCAAGAUUGAAACAAUGAAUGAAAUGAGGUUAUUUCGUGAUCGAUUGGGAAGUUUUGGAAGAGACCUUGCUUAUUCUUCAUGUGAAGUACUUCAACCUGGUAAAAUAUUAUUUUCAUUUAUUAGUGUGUUUGUUCUUUUUUAUUAGUUACCUACUUACUAUUUAGUAUUUUAAACUUGCUAAUGUGUUUUAUUUUUUUUCUUAUUUUUAAUGUGAAAUGGUAACUAGAUGAAUGGUGGAGGCUACAUGGAUACAGUGCUCCACAUUUACAAAAGUUGGCCAUUCAAAUAUUGAGCCAAACCGCAUCGUCUUCUGAAUGUGAGAGGAAUCGGAGUGUCUUUGAACGUAUACAUACCAAAAGAAGGAAUAGAUUGGAACAUCAUAGGCUUAAUGAUCUUGUAUACGUUCAUUACAAUUUGCGGCUAAAAAAUCGAUAUAAAAUUAUAAAUGCUUUCUUAGUUGUUUUGAAUUCAAAUUCUUCUAUUCACAAUUAUGAAUAAUUAUAUGCUUUUCUUUUUUAGGUUUUAUAACAAGAAAAGAAUCUAUGAUCCCAUUGACUAUGCAUGCAUUGAUGAGACCGAUUUUUGGGUAGUUGAUGACGAUCAGCCAGCAGAGCUAGAUGUUGAAGAAUUGGAAAAUCUUCUAUAUGAAGAAGGGUCAAUUCCAAUAAAUGAAGUGGAAGGUUCAAGUUCUCACAUUGGUUAGUAAAAUAUUUAAACUUAUAAAAGUUCAAUAAUUAUAUUUUUUCUUCAAAAAUGAUUUCUUGUUGAUAUAUAUUCAAUAUUUUUGUAGAUGAUGAGGAUGGUGGUGACAUGGCUAGAGAAGGGCUUGAUGUGGAGAAUUUUGGUUUUCCAAAUGCUCAUUUUCAAUCUCCAUAUUCCAAUUUCCCAAAUGAAUGAAGACAUGAAUUUUAUAUUUAUUAGUAUGCAAAAAUCUUCAUGAAUAUUCAAACAUUGACAUGUUAUGUUUUUAUUUUGAGUAAUUAUUUAAGUGUUGUGGACCUAUGGUUGACAUUUGUAUUAUUUGGUAUGGACAAUGUGUUAAGUUAACAACUCUUUGAUAAUUUGGUUAUUAUAGGAUAGUAAUGGUUUGAUUAUUUGAUAAAUAUUGAGUUUAUUGACAUUAUGAAUGUAUAACAUCUUAUAUUGUGUUAUAAAUAUCAUAUAUGAUAAUUGAUGACUUCUACAGGUAAAAAAUUUUGUGACAAAACUCAAGUUACUCAAUAAACAAAGUAGAUGCUGUCAAAAUUUACAUAGAAUUUAUUAAUUUGUUAAUUUUUUAUAUUAUAUAAAAUAAUAAAAUAUAUAUUUAUGACGUCACCGGUUCGAUAGCGGUUCGACCGGCGGUCCGACCAGUGAACCGUGAACCGGUAACUUUUCCGGUUCAAUGACCGGUCCGGUUUUUAAAACAUUGCAGUUUUUCAGACUCUUUAUGUUCCUUCUGUUACUAGAGAUUUAGUUUCUUUAUCUAAACUUGAUACAAUUGGACACUCUUUUAAAUUUGGGAAUGAAUGUUUUAGUUUGUUUAAACAUAAACACUUCAUUGGUUUUGGUGUUUUAUAUGAUGGUUUAUACAAAUUAAAACUUGAUAACCUUUUUGUCAAGACUCUGUUAACCUUGCAUCAUAAUGUUGGUACUAAACGUGGUUCAAUUAAUGAAAGUUCAACUUACUUGUAGCAUAAACGCUUGGGUCAUAUAUCCAAAGAAAGAAUACUAAUAUUGGUAAAGAAUGAAAUUCUUCCUGAUUUGGAUUUUAUUGAUCUUGGAAUAUGUGUGGAUUGUAUUAAAGGAAAACACACAAUUAGGAAAACAACCACAAGAAGCACACAACUCCUUGAACUUAUACACACUAAUAUAUAUGGGCCUUUUGAUGCUCCAUCUUUUGGUGGAGAAAAGUAUUUUUUUCAUUUUUAUUGAUGAUUUUUCAUGUUAUGGUUAUAUCUAUUUAUUGCAUGAAAAAUCUCAAUCAAUAAAUGUCAUGAGGUGUUUAUUAAUGAAGCUAAAAGACAACUAGAUAAAAGAGUAAAAAUUGUCAAGUCUAAUAGAGGUGGUGAAUAUUAUGGAAAACAUAAUGAGAUUGGACAAUGUCCUAGUCCAUUUGCUAAAUUCCUUGAGAAGCGUGACAUAUGGGCUCAAUACACAAUGUCAAGUACAUCACAACAAAAUGGUGUUACAGAAAGGUGUAAUUGUACUCUAAUAGACAUGGUUAGGAGUAUGUUGAGCUAUUAUUCUUAACCUUUAUCUUUGUGGAUGCAUGCCUUGAAAACUACCAUGUAUUUAUUAAACAGGGUUCUUAGUAAGAUAGUUUCAAAAACCCUUUUUGAACUGUGGACGGGAAGAAAACCUAGUUUAAGACACUUGCAUGUUUGGGGUUACCUGGCAAAAGUAAGGAUUUAUAAUUUGCAUGAAAAGAAACUAGACUCAAGAACGACCAAUGACUUUUUUAUUGGUUAUCCAAAAAAAUCUAGAGGGUAUAAAUUUUAUUGUCCUGACUAUAGUAUGAGAAUUGUUGAAACUAGAAAUGCUAGGUUCAUAGAAAAUUGCGACAUUAAUGGGAGUGUGAAACCAUGUAAAGUAGGAAUCCAAGAAGUUAGGGUAUAAAUUUCCUUACCUAUAACUUCUUUUCAGGUUGUUGUUUCCACAGUUGCCAAACAGUUUGACAACUUGCAAGAACAAUAAAUAAAUGGUCAAAUUCCCCAUAAUGAAAUUGUUGCAAAUGAAUCUAUAGUGAAUGAACCACAUGCAGUAGCAUUAAGAAGGUCUCAAAAACAAAAAAAAGACUUGCUAUUUCUUAUGACUAUGUGGUUUAUCUAUAAGAGUUAGAAUUUGACUUAGGAAUUGAUAAAGAUUCAGUUUCGUUUUCAUAAGCCAUAGAAAGUGUUAAUUCUAUUAAGUGGUUAGAUGCCAUGAAAGAAAAGUUGAAAUCCAUGGAUCACAAUGGAGUUUGGGAUCUCAUCAAAUUGCCUGAAGGUUGUAAGAGGGUCAUUGUAAAUGGGUUUUUAAGACCAAACACAACUCAAAUGGCAAUAUCGAACGAUAUAAGGCUAGACUUGUUGCCAAGGGUUUUACUUAGAAGGACGGUGUUGACUGUAAUGAGACAUUUUCUCUUGUUUCAAAAAAUGACACUUUUAGAAUUAUCAUGGCAAUGGUAGCUCAUUGUGACCUAGAGUUAUAUCAAAUGAAUGUGAAAACAACUUUUCUAAAUGGCAAUUUAGAGGAAAAAGUUUACAUAGAUCAACCUGAGGGUUUUUCUAUUGAAAAAAAGGAACACAUGGUUUGUAAACUCAAGAAGUCAAUAUAUGGACUUAAACAAGGUUCUCAACAAUGGUAUCUUAAGUUCAAUGAUAUCAUCACUUCUUUUGGAUUUAAAGAAAACACCAUUGAUCGAUGUAUAUAUCUGAAGGUCAGUGGGAGCAAGUUUAUAUUUUUGAUUUUGUAUGUUGAUGAUAUCUUACUAGCUACUAAUGAUCUUGGUUUGUUACAUGAGACUAAGAAAUUUCUCUCUAAGAAUCUUGAAAUGAAAUAUAUGGGUGAGGCAUCCUAUGUGAUAGGAAUUGAAAUAUUUCGUGACAGAUCACAAGGAUUGUUAAGAUUGUCUCAAAAAACAUAUAUUAAUAAAGUUUUAGAGAAAUUCAAGAUGGAAAAAUGCCCUAUAAGUGUUGUUCCAAUUUAGAAAGGAGAUAAAUUUAGUCUUAUACAAUGCCUAAAGAAUGAAUUGAAAUACACAAAAAUGGGAAGGAUUCCUUAUACAUCACUUGUUUGGAGCUUGAUGUAUGCACAAACUUGCACCAGACUAGACACUAGUUUUGCUAUCGGAAUGUUGGGUAGGUAUCAAAGUAAUCCAGAUUUGGAUCAUUGGAAAGUUUCAAAGAAAGUAUUGAGAUACUUGUAAGGAACAAAAUAUCACAUGCUCACUUGUAAGAGAUUUGAUCAUCUAAAGGUGAUUGGAUAUUCAUAUUUAGACUAUGUUGGAUGUAUUGCUAUAAGAAAAUCCACAUUUGGCUAUUUGUUCCUUUUAACUAAAGGAACAAUCUCAUGGGAAAGUGUGAAGUAGUCUGUCAUUGUUGCAUCCAUUAUGGAAACGGAGUUUGUGGCAUGCUUUGAGGCCAUUGUUCAUGGAUUAUGACUGCAAAACUUUAUUUCAGGACUUGGGAUUGUUGACAGUAUUGCCAAGCCGUUGAAAAUUUAUUGUGAUAAUUCUGUAGCAGUCUUAUUUUCAAAAAACGACAAGUAUUCAAAGGGUGUUAAACACAUGAAAGUAAAAUACUUUGUCGUUAAAUAAGAAGUUCAGAAACAUAGGGUGUCAAUUGAGCACAUUAGCACUAACCUUAUGAUUGCAGAUCCAUAACAAAAGGAUUGCCGCCAAAGACAUUUAAUGAACAUGUUGAAAGAAUGGGCAUUAUUGGGUAUCGUUGUUAACAUUAUGUUAUUAUUUUGUGUUUUUAUGUAUUUGACACUUCGAGCUCUUUUAAAUAUUGUUUAUGAUAUUUAAAUAUCAUGUUUCUUAUCGUUGGUAUAUAUACAAUAAUGAAUUAUGUGAGUUUUAACAGGAUUUGGCUCUGACGAAGACAUUAUUGUUGGACCAUUAUGAUAUAUACCAUUACAGAUCAUGUUAAGUUUGAAACUAUAUAUUAUGAUACAUGGAAGGGACUAUGUCAAGAUAAUGACAUAUAACCACUAUGAUUUUUAUUAGUUUUUAUUUAAUGAUGAUUUAUGAUGUGACCAAUGUAAGAAAUGAUUUAGCUUAUACUAUGCAUAUUAUGUUUUAUUAUUAAACCAUGACGAUGCCACAUGGGCCAGUGGGAGACUGUUAGUUUUAUGUGGCCCAUGUGGUUUAUUUUGUUAUUGAUUAUCUUUUAUUUAAUCUAAAGAUAAUCAUGAUGGGUUUAUUAAUUAUCCUUUAUUUAAUUUAAAAGAUAAUUAUGGUUAAUAAUAUUAAGUACUAAAAUCCUAUUGGUCAAUUGAAAAUAUGUUUUAACCGUUGGUAUUGAUAGAACAUGAUAAGAAACUAUUUAGAUUUGGUCUUUUUUCUACCCAGUAUAAAUGUAGUUUUCUUUCCAUCAAGUGAAACACAUCAAACUAAAGGGGUGAAAGGAAAGAAAUCAAGUCUUCACUAAUUUGUUUUCUCAACAAGGAAUAUCUUUUUCAAGACCAACCUUUAAUAUCAAUGGCAUAGAUCAAGAUAUGUUUUCUUGAUUACUUUAUUUACUUUGUGAAAAUCAUAAAGUUCUAAGACCAGAGUUAUGAUUGUUCUCCAAGAAUUAGACUUAUAAUUAUUCUACAUGAUUAUAGGAAUUUCUAAUGAGCCCAACCCAAUUCAAUCACUAAUAUAUCAAUUGAUAGUACAUAAAGAUUCAUGUUGUAACCCACACAAAAGAUUUAAAUACUUGACCAAAAAUUUUAGGGAUUUAGUUAACAAGAUUCUACAAGGACAAAGUGGAAAACAAGUCUUAUAAAGGGUAGAAAAUUUUGGCCACUCCACUUGGCAUGAUCUGUCAUGUUUGGUCUUUACCAUUUUAGUCAAAGCAAAAGGAAAAUGACACCAUGAAAACAUAAACCAUCCCUUAUGUCGGGCAACUUCUAUAAUUUUAAGCUUCCUCUCAUAACCCAUAAAAUGUAAAUUUUCUUUUUAACAUUUUUGAGCCACCAAAAAUAUACCUAGUUGGAAGUUGGAACCACGUAGAAUAUAACCAUUUACCAUAAGCUCAAUUGAAAAUAAGCACGUGCUAAUUGGAAAGAAACUUUUCUCAUCUCUUCACAUUACUAAUACAAAAUACCACGAGCAAAUUGGAAAAUUUAAUAAUAAAAUAGAAAAAUAUCAAAUUCCAGGCAGUCUUUUAGAGAAUGAUAAAAUUACCAAUGCUGCACCUCUCCCACUUUUCUUCCAAUAUUUGAUUUAUAGCUAAUAAUUGAUAUUAAUGAUGAAUUAUUUUUUACUUUUCUUUUCUCACAUGUAUCACGUGCUCAAAAUAAUAGAUAAAAAUCCCAAUUCUCUAUAUUUCCUAUUUUCCCCAAUCCAUAAUGUUUUAAUGAUGCUUGUUGUUAUCAAAACAAGACAUAUUCUAACAGUCCCAGAAGGGCCAACCACAAACUGGCACGUGGUGCUAGAUCGAGAAUACUUAGACGUGGCUCACAGCCGUUGGGCCUUCAGACUUCUUAGGUGAACUACAAAAAUGUUCCACAGGGGUGAAAAAGCUCCAGCGAAAUAAAGCACUUUUAGUUUUGGUAAUUAUUUAUUAUUUAUUUUAUUUUAUUUAUUAUUUUGUGAGAGCUCUAAAGGUGACCAACCUGGUGUCACACUACGUCUCACAUCACUCUUUCUCUUUCCUCUUUCUCUCUCUAAACCCCAAACCCUCGAAAGAUCUUCGUUUUCAGGAGAUCUAAACCAGGUACGCAAAUCUAAAUCGCCUACUGCCCUCUAUACAACGCAGAAAAGUGGGUUUCUCUCUAGAUUUUGUACUCUUUUCACAUGAUCGUUGGUUUUUUUUUUUUUUUUUAAAUUGAUUUGUGUAGUUAGGUUUUCCUGUGGGUCUUGAAUUAGGGUUUAUUAUGUUGGGUGGAUUUACUUUCCAGAGGACACUGUUUUGAUGGACUGGGUGUGAGCUCAGAUACUUCUGCUAUGGAUGAGAGUAAAGAUGUGGGUGGGAGUAGGGUUUUGGAGUCUGCAGUGACUGUGAGUGCACCAGGGCGUGGUGAGAUCCUGGUGGAGGAGUUGGGGGAUGAAACCCUAAUUGAGGAUUCUUUCUCUGAGGGAGGGGGGGAUGAGGGUAAUGGUGAGGAUAUAAUGGUGGAGGUGGUGGGUUCCGAUGUUUUUGUUGAUGGGGUUGGUGGGAAUUCGAAUGAUGAAUCGGGUUGGGGUGGAUUGGUUGUCGAGCCAGGGUUGGAGAAAGAUAUGAAGUUUUUGGAUGGUGGAGGUGCAGCUCAUGAUUUAGCUUCACAGGAAGUUGGGGACUUGGAUAGUGAGGUUUGGGAUCGGGGAAUAGGAACUGGGGUUGGUGAGUCUUCUGCGGUUGCAAGUUCACUUGGUGGAGAAGCCCAGGUUGCUGUUGCAGAGGAAGUUCUGGCAGGGGUGGUGGGUGAGGAGGAUAUGGAGGGAGGCAGGGAAUUGGUUGAUGGUAGUGUUAGUGUAGCUGGUGGUGAGGGAGAUAAAGCCCAGAAUCUAGGAACUGGAACUGAGGCCGAAGGUUCCUUAGCAGUUCAGGAAUCAGCUGGUGAAGAUACCAAAGUUGUCGAGAAGGAAGUUGCAUUGAGGAUUAGUGAGGAGGAAACUGACAGAGGAUUGGUUGGGAAGGGUGUGGAGAGAGUUAUGGCACCUGUUGAUGAAGGGGAGGAGGCAAUUGAUGGUUUGGUAUCGCGAAAAGUAGGUGUUUUGGAUAAAGUAUGGAAUCCUGGCAUUGAAACUGCUGUUGCAUCUUCUUCAGUGAUUGCAAAACCCUUGAGUGUGGGAGGCCAAGUUGAGGAGGGUUUGAAUCCUAAAUAUGAAGUUCGAGGUGCUGAUGCUUUGGCAAGAGUUUUAUCAUGUUCAGAAACAAGUCUAAUCUCCACUGGAGAGGGGGUUUCUGGAGGCACAGAAAAAGAUGGUGGUGUUUGUGCAAGCUCUGUUCUCUCUGAUGAACAAACCCAAGUCGUGGUUGGAGGGGAAAUUUCAGGAGAGAUAUUGUGUUCCAAAGUUGAAGUUAUGGAAACUGAUGCUUUUCAUGAGAGUUUACAAUGUGCCGUAGAAGAACAGCAGUUGGAGGCCAAGAUUGUGGUUGAGACCACUGAAAGUCACAGUGGUGCAACUGCAGAUUUGAUGUCCUUGUCUCAGUCGACUGAAGUUGGUGGUGGUGAAGCUGCUACGGUUGGCAACAGGGUUCUUUUAAACCCCAAAAUUGGUGCUCCUAACACAAAAGGUUUGAGUGAAAUUGUGCCUUCUUCAGAAAAUGAUCAAAAUUUGAAGGUUGAGGCAGAUCAUGGAAGCACAGAAAAUGUUGCCUGUAGUGGUGGAAUUUGCCACAUGAACACCAAGGAAGUUAUGAAUUCCAAAGAUAGUGUUAUGGGAGCUGAUGCUUUUGAUGGGGGUUUACAAUAUUCAUCCAAAGAUAAAAAAUUGAUGGACAAGACGGUGGAGAGUGGCACCAGAGACCAUAAUGACGCAUGUGUGAGUCCCGAUGAACGAACCCAGGUUGCUGAAAGAGGGAAAGCUUCACCUGUGCACAAUGAGAAGAUAUUGGACUCAAAAAUUGAAGUUGUGGGAAGUGAUGAUGCAGAUGGGAAAUGCUGUUCUCCUGAAAAAGAUCAAGAUAUGGAGGUUGUUGGGGGGAGUGGGAACACCAAUAUUGAUGUUGGUGUAUGUGUAGAUCCAGUAUCCUCCAGAGACCAAAUCCCAGUUGUUGGUACUGAAAUUUCGCAGUUGAACAAUAAAGAGAUUUCCAGUUCUCCAAUUGAAGUUUCAAAUACUGAUUCUUUGGAUAGGAUUUCAGCUUUUUCAGAAAAUAAUCAGAACUUGCAAGCUGAAACUGCUUCUGAAGGCAUGGUAGACAAUAGUGUAAGACUUGCAGAUUCAGAAGCCUUGGAUGGACAUACCCUCCUUGCUAAUGGAGAGGAAGUUGCAGCAAUGGACAUCAAGGAAGCAGCACCAAAUGAAGUUGAAUUGUCUGGGAAUGAUGCUUUGGUGGGGAAUUUGUGUUUGGUCAAGGAUCAGGAGCUAGUUGGUGCAAACGCUGAAAAUUUUGUAGAGGCUGAUGGUGACCAAGUGAAUAUUGCUGCAGAAGGUGAUAUUGCAGGAGUAGACCCCAUGGAUGUCUCAAGUCCUGAAAUAGAUGCCCCGAACGGAAAUUUAGCUUGUCCAGAAUCUGUUCCAUGUGCAGAUCCUGAAUCGAAUGGUGAACAGACCUGUAAGAUUGCUGUUGGUGAAGACACAGUUAUAGGUGAUGAGACUGUCUUGGACGUUCCAAAGACUGAUGUCCUGGAUGGUAAUUCAUCCUUCACAGAAAAUCAGAACUCAAAGGUUGAGACAGAUAGUGGAAGCACAGAAAAGAGGCUUUCCCAGACAGAUGCUGUAUCCUUCUCUGAAGGAACUCAGGUUGCUCUUGGAGGGGAAGUUGCUGCCAUGGAUGCUGAGGCAGUUUUAGAUUCCAAACCAGAAGAUAGGGGAGUGGAUGUUUUGGAUGGGGAUCUGUGUGGUCCAGAUGAAGUUAAUGCUCUGCAGGUGGACCCUGAAUUCAGUUGCAAACAAAGCCUAGUUGUUCAAGGAGACUCUAUAACAGUGGAGGAUGUAAAAAAUUCAUAUUCCAAAGCUGAAGUUCCUGAGUGUGAUGCUUUGAACAAGGAUUUAUCACUUUCAGAAAAAGAUCAAGAGUUGAAGACAGAGUCAGCACUUGGGAGCACAAAAAUGGAGGCUGGCACUCAUGUAGGUCCAUCUGGUCUUGGAACGGUUUCAGAUAGUUUGGAAGAGCAUACUUCUGUGCAACAUGAGAAAUUGGAGAUGGUUGUCCAGUCAGAUAAAAUUUUGGCUCAUGAGCUAGAUGGAGAUCAGAGUGUGAAUCCAUCUACUGUAGAAAAAAUGUCUGACCAAGUGUCUUGUGUUACAGCUAUUUCAAAUUCAGUUGUUGAGGUAGCUGUUGGAUCUCAAGGUGCAGUUAGCAUUUUCUCUUUUCAUGAUGAGAGUGAUACACUCUCCUCUUGCACUGCUGAUAUCAUCUGUGAUUUUCCAGGUGGAAAUCAAGGACCAGAGGUUCAUAUUGUCAGCAAUUAUGAUUCUUUACCUGAUGGAGAUGAUAGUAUGCGUAGUCAUGCCCAUGAUUUGGUAAUUUCUCCUGAAAUUGCAAAACAGGCUGUGGAAGCAAAAGACCAAUCCUUUAAUAUAGAUGAAGAUAAUAUUAUAGAUUCUGAUGUUCCUGAUACUAAGGUUUCUGAAUUUGGUGACAAUGAUGGCAUUGUGGGCAGCUUGGUAGUAGAUUUGGAUGCUGGUCCCAGAAGGGAUGGAAAUUGGAAUCUACAUGGUGAAAUUUCCAAGAAAAACAUUCCUUCUCUGGAUGAAUCUCACCAUGAAGAAGCUGAUUUUCAAGGAACAGUGGACAACUUAGGUUUUGAGAUGUCAGAAUGCUUAGAAGAGUCCACGGCUUUUGAUGAUGCCCAGGUUAUUUCAGAUGUAGGGCAAGAAACUGAAGCUGAAGGACAAGUUACUGACGCUGAACAGGUUUGUUUACAAGGAGGGCAAGAAAUAGGAGCUGAAGAACAGGGUACUGAUAAUGAACAGCAGAAAAGCUUAGAGGAGAAAACGGUGAAACGUGCUACUCUGAAGCCUGGAAACCUGAUAAGAGGACAUCAAGCUACUUAUCAGCUGCCACCAGAAAGUGAAGGUGAAUUUUCUGUCUCUGAUUUAGUCUGGGGUAAAGUUAGGAGCCAUCCCUGGUGGCCUGGACAGAUAUUUGAUCCUUCAGAUGCAUCAGAGAAGGCAAUGAAAUAUCACAAAAAGGAUUGCUUUUUGGUAGCCUAUUUUGGGGAUCGGACAUUUGCUUGGAACGAGGCAUCACUGUUAAAACCUUUUCGGACACAUUUCUCUCAGAUAGUGAAGCAAAGUAAUUCUGAGGUGUUCCAUAAUGCUGUUGAUUGUGCUUUAGAUGAGGUCUCCAGGCGGGUGGAGUUAGGGUUGGCUUGCUCUUGCAUACCAAAAGAUGACUAUGACGAGAUCAAAUGUCAGAUUGUUGAAAACACUGGGAUCCGGUCUGAAUCAAGUAGAAGAGAUGGUGUGGACAAAUCUGCAACUAUGAGUUUGUUGGAACCUGAUACAUUUGUAGAGUACAUAAAAGCAUUAGCUCAGUUCCCUUCUGGUGGGGCUGAUCAACUGGAACUUGUGAUUGCUAAGGCUCAACUGUUAGCUUUUUCCCGUUUAAAGGGCUAUCAUAGGCUGCCUGAGUUUCAGUAUUGUGGAGGACUGCAAGAAAAUGAUGCAGAUAUUUCAUGCUUCAAUGAAAUGAUGGAGCAUGAAACUGAUGUUUUGAUGGGUGAUGAUGGGAAGUUCAAAAUCCAAAACAGCUCUUCUCAUAAGCGCAAACACAAUUUAAAGGAUAGUGCAUAUCCUAGAAAAAAAGAAAGAAGCUUGUCAGAAUUAAUGAGUGGGAUGGCAUACUCCCCAGAUGAUGAAAACGAUUCAGAUGGGAAAGCUACAAGUAAACCGGUUUCAUCUUCUGGAAGGAAAAGGAAAGUUGUUGAUUCGUUUGGUAAUGACUUGGAGGUGCAAGAUAGGACUGAAAGUAUUUUCGUUGCAAAAGUUUCUAAUACUUCAGCUCCAAGUCCAAGGCAGUCUUUUAAGGUCGGUGACUGCAUUCGGAGAGCUGCGAGCCAACUGACCGGCUCUCCUUCAAUUUUGAAGUGUAGUGGUGAAAGACCUCAGAAGGUGGUAGAUGGAAGCAUUGGCAAACUUGGUGGGCCUGGAUCUGAUGUUUCAUUAAUGAGUCCUGAGGACCCUCAAAGGAUGAUCAUUCCUAUGGAAUAUCCAUCUCUAGAUGAGAUGUUGUCGCAACUUCGCUUGGCUGCACGAGAUCCAAUGAAAGGUUACAGUUUCCUGGAUACCAUUGUAAGUUUCUUCUCCGAAUUUAGGAAUUCAAUACUUCUAGGCCGGUAUUCUGGAAGGGAGAGUUUGACCAUGGACAAAGUAGCUGGUAAUAGAAGAAAGAAAUCAUCCCAACCUAUUGGAUCUCCUGAAGAGUUUGAAUUUGAAGAUAUGAAUGACACUUAUUGGACAGACAGGGUUAUCCAGAACACUUCUGAAGAGCAACCAGAGCAACCAGAGCAACCACCUCGCAGUGCUCGAAAGAGAAAAGAACCUCAGUUUGGCAGCACUGACCCUGAAAAAUCCCCUCAAUUAGGACGUAGGUCAUAUUCUAGGAAGCGAUAUUCUGAUGGCAAUCAUGAACUGGCAGUGGAGAAACCAGCCAACUAUGUUGAUGAGAAAGAGCGAGAAUUGUUGCCAGCUGAACUUAUACUGAACUUUCCUGAAGUAGAUUCUGUUCCUUCAGAAAUGAUUCUGAAUAAAAUGUUCAGGCGGUUUGGGCCUCUGAAGGAAUCUGAGACAGAAGUCGAUAGGGUGACCAGCCGUGCUAGAGUGGUUUUUAAGAGGUGUUCUGAUGCAGAAGUUGCUUUUAGUAGUGCUGGAAUGAUCAACAUUUUUGGACCAACGCAUGUUAAUUACCAGCUCAAUUAUUCUCCCUCAACGCUAUUUACACCUUUGCCCAUUGCAAUAGAACAAGACCAGGAUGUUGAAAGUUGACGUCUCACUCUGGGAAUUAAUCUGGUGUAGAUGUUUCAGGUGAAUAUUUGCACUUGGACUAAAGUUUAUUGUUUCAUUGAUGUCAGAAUUUUGUUGAUUUGGGAAUUAUGGUUAAAACAUAUUAGAUUAUUAUAGCAGAUUCCAACAUGGAAGAGUUGUUUUGAUUGAUAAUUUAUUAAUGGUCCAUUUCUUAAAUUAUAAUAAUGAGAAUGCGAGAUGGCAUGAGUUGGAAGGUAUUAGAAAUGGGAGCAGCAGAAAACAUGUUGCAAAAUUUUUAUCACAGCAUGGUUUUACUGUUGCAUUAUGCCAUUGUUUUCACAUAUUUCACCUUGCAAAGAGAACCUAGCUUUUCCAGGUUGAUGCUUAUCUAAUUCUAAUAGGCAUUAUGUGGUGAACUAUAGGAUAGGGGGUUGAACUAUGUGCUGUCAUGAUGGCUUUUUGGUACUUUUGUAGUGCAUCAGACAUAACCUUUUGUUUCUUUUUUUGUUUUUUUCUUUUCAUUGUUUUGCUUAAUUUUGAUCUAUAUGAUUUAUUAUAUUUAUCCUCUGUUGGCUGAAACUGUAGGUGAGAGCCAAUGGUAUAAGAUAGUGGCAAGAUACAACGCCAGAUGAUGAAAGCUAUAGCAGCAUGCAACUGACUGAGCUGCUGAAGAAGGUAACAGCAUUUUUGUUCAUCUUGUUAUGUAUUUAUUUAUUUUGUUGUUCUUUCUGUUUCAUAUUUAACCAAGAAGCAUGAUGUUACAUCAUGUCAUGAAAUCUCACUUGUAUGCUUAGUUCCUUGUAUACUAAUGGCAAUGUACUAUGUAGUUUCUAAAUUCAACCGUGGAAGCAUGAUUCCUAAUACUGUUGGUGCUAAAUAGCAUGCAUGUCGUCUAAGGAUAUUAAUAUGUAUGUUUUAAUCAUAGUGAAGUUCCACUUUGUCCUUCAGCUGGUUUUUUGAAGCAUAAGCUAUUUAACAUUGGAAAUGAUAACAUUUGUUGAUGAAUGAGGAUUACAUUCAAGUAAGGCCCUUUAUUAGUUUUUUCAUGUGAUAUGUCUUUAUGAGCAUUACAAUCAUGCAAGAAAGUAGCACCGAACUUCCUCACCUGGCAUGGAUAGGUUUUCUCUUUCUUCUCUCUUUUGGAGUGCUUGAUAUUUCAGAGAGAGAGAGAGAGAGAGAGAGGGCAUCGGAUUAUUACCAAGCUCUACUGGUUGAUUUCACUUCAGAAAUGGGGAAAACUAUGGAAUAUACAAAAGAUCAUAACCAUUAGUGCUUCAAGGCUCACUGUGGUUAUUAGACAGAAAUGGGAGCAGGGAGGGGGCAGAAUUUUAAAGAUGGCUCCAUUCCAUAAACAUUUUUAUACAUUUUCCCUUUUCCUUUUCUUUGUUCUAUUUGUGAAACAAAUGGAGAGCAGGGCUAAUAGUUAAUUCAAAGAUACUAUUAGACAGAAUGAUAAGACAGUUAAAAAACUUGAAAGGUGUAUGUGAAGUUUACGCAGCCAUAACAUGUUCCAGUUUUUAUUGCUGUUAUAUGCACGUCACUGAAUCUUCAGCACACAGGGCCAACUGUUUAUUUAUAAAUGAUGUGUCUAAGAAAUAAAUUUUACAUUGUUAAAGUAAUACUACUGUGUGUGUGUUUUAGCUGGUCAUGUCUUUUAAGCAUCGAGCCCUUUGCUUAGCUUUCACAGGGACAUUGGUGGUCAUGUAUGAUAGUUAAUAGUAAUAAUAAAUAAUUAUUUACCAUUUUGGUUUAUAUGUUAUUCCAAUUUCUUUCUCUGAGGUGAAAUCAGAACACUCCAGUUGUUAUCUAUGGUGAUUACUGUUACAUAAUCAGUACAUUUUGGAACUUGGCAGGUGUUGUAUAUUGGGCUCAAGAGAUGGGAGUUGUUGGAUUUGUAAAAUCAUCGUAACCUUUGUAUUCUACCUUUUGUGUUUCAGAUUUAGGGUUGUAAUUUUAGUUGUGGCAAAAACCAACCUUGUGGUUGGUACUCAUCCUACUAUCUAUAUGAUAUGAAAGGUUGUCUCGCAACUUUGAAACUGGCCAUAAUAAUGCUCUUUUAGUUUCAAAAUCUGGGAGGUGAAGUUCAGCAUCCCCAAUUCUUGGACGAGUUGUUGACACAAUCAAAUGCCAUUCAUUCCUGUAAUAGACCAUUGAAACCCUGCAUGCUUUCUGAAGUGGUAUUUUGAAUUUGAGGCUUGGGCUAUAUUUUAUGCUCGAUAUUCAUACAAGUCUACCUUCAUCCACUCUUGUAACUUGCUGAUUCUCUGUAUGUCUCGAUUUAAUUAGGUUUUGGGGGCAGGGCCAUGUUUCAUCUGCAACCUCAAAAUCUACCUGUAGAGAGGGAGGAGGGAGGAGGGAGGAGGGAGGAACUGCACUUUGGGACUCAUUUUUCAUUUCACCUACAUAGUCAAAUUUCAUUCUAUUGAAUAUUUAAAAACGAAGAGAGAGUAGAAAAUAUCAAAUAUUUGUUAUAUUGCUACUUUUUAUUAAUUAAAAUAAAAUAUUUUGAUAAUAACAAGUCAUUUUAUGUAUUUUUAAAUAUUUCAAAAUAUCCGAAUGGGUUAGAGUAGAAAUUUUGGAUGAAACUUUCUAUUCUUAAAAAUAAAAAUAAUGACAAUUUCAAUAUAAAAUACAAUUUAUCUUAAAAAGAUGUUUACUUUUUAUUGCUCUUCCAAAAAAUUAAGGUAUAAAUUUUUUUUGUUAUCACACAUUUUAAAAGUUCAAAAUUAGUAAAAUUUUAAUAUAAUAAUCAAGAAACUAUUCUAAUUGCCAGUAAAGCAAGUUUUAGUCUUUUGACUUUCUGAAAAAAAGGUCCAAACAAGGCCCUAGUGAAGGGGAUAAAUCUUUGAAUUAACAACUUCUUAAAGCAAUUUAAAAAAAAAAAAGAAAGAAAGAAAAAAGAAAAAAGGGCAAAAAGGGGAAGGAAGCCCGCAAAGUGGGUGUACAAAUCCAAACUUUCCCGCUCAAACGUGCUUACGGACGGUUUCUUUCAUCAAGAGCAGCGAUUAGUUCAUCAACAACGCACAUAAGCCAACUGACCCGACUCUUAUUAUUGGCUACUAUUUCGUGACGUGCACCUCAAAAUAUAUCUUCAUUGGCCGGUCAUGAACAUACGUCACCGCCAAUGCUAAACCCCAUUUCUCCUUGCCUUUUUUCUAUUACGGGAGAAUAAAAUCUUCUCUCUCGCUCAUGAUCCCAUAUUAAUACUAAUUAAUUAGUUAGGGAAUUAAUGUAUUCUCAAAAUUCAAAAAUUUCCCUCUGCUUCUCUCCAUUCUUCUUCUGUUCUUCUGUUUCAUUCUGAAAUUCUACCGUUUUACUUUCUCUCCAUCAUGUAUGCGUGUAAUGUUAUCUGUCUGUUUGACUGAAAUUUAUGGAAAUGGACGGUGUUGAUGAUCAGAAGAAGAAUCUGGAAGAGGGAAAGAUUCGAUUUUCAGGUUUUCUCUCUAUACUCGCAUAUGCAAUUCAUUUUUGGGUUUGAUUGCAUGGAAUCGACAACUCUUUUAUCUUGAUUUUCUUUUUCUUUUUUCUUUUUUCUUUUUUUAGUUUUUUAAGAAACCCUUACCCUUCGUUUGGUUGCGGAGAAAACCAAGGGAAAAUUGAAAGAGGAGAGAAUUUCUCAUAAUUAUGCGUCGUCUUUUCUUCUGCUUUUCUGAAAAUUAAAAUUUGCCCUCAACUAACUUGAAGUGAUCGUAAUAGGUUUAAUUGAGUGGAUGAACGAUUUGGCAUUCAAGAUUUUGAUUAUUAUUAUUAUUAUCUUAUUAUUAUUGUUAUUAUUUUGGUUUUUCUUAUGUUUUCUUGGUGUCCAAACAAGGUUCUAGGGUUUCAGGAUUCCUUUCACAUGAAUUGGCUGAUGAUUGAUUCUUGCGGGGUGUAUGUUGUGGGUGCUAUUGUAGUCGAAUUGUGUGUUUAAUUCUUUGUUUCUGGUAUUUUUGUAAAUGAAUGCACUGAAUGACCAUCUAUGAAUUAGUUGGUACGCUAUUGUGUUGCAACUUAUAUGGUUUUAAUCUGGAUAUAUACGCAGGCCAUGUAAAAGUAGAAAAUUCAAUGGCUAGAGUUUAAUGCUAUACUAGUUGAGUUGUGCAAACUCAUUUUAGAAUUUCUGGAAAGAAAGGUAGAAAAUUUGAUGUAAUAUUUACUGCAAGUUUGCUAGUAUUUAUUGUCUUGGGUCAUUCUAUUUAUCUAGUUUCAGGUCAACUCUCCUUAGAAAAGAACACUGGCACAAGCAUUUAUAUGCAUAUCUUCUAUUUCAUUCAUUUGCUCCCAUUUGUGAUCCACCACCACCAUAAUCAUCAUUUCUUUCUCAUCAGUUUAGUUUUAAGGCUUGAAUGAUCAAGAUUACUGAUAGAAAGCUGAGCAAAUUUGAAGCGAAAUUAGUUGUAAGUUAAAAUGCUUUGAUGGGUUCCUCUUUACUUGCAGCAGGGAGUAAUUUGAGUCUGCUCUGAAUACCGUCAGGGGGAUUAAAAAAAUAAUUUAUUUUUAUAGGCAUUAAAAAAAUAAAUAAUAAUAAUAAUAAUAUAAACAAGCAGAUAUGAUGUCAAGUUGUCUUUUCUUUUUUCUUGGUGGGGGUGGGGGGGUUAGUUUGUUUUCUAGUUUGGUUGUCUCUGAAUAUUAUUUUGUGCGAGGAUCUUGAAGUCAUUAUAUCAAUAUUGUUAUUCUACUUGCCAAAAGCUUAGUUUGAGGGUUUCAGCUUAAAUUGUUAGAAUGAUUCACAGUUAAUUUUGGAGAUGAAAAUUCUUUAUGCUUCCCUCUUUCUAUUUUAUAUUGCUAUAUAACCAAGUUCUGCUUGAAAUCAAUUUGACAGUAACUUUGGAGAACCGAUAUGACAGUUUAGAGCUUUCCGACAAAAGGAAUCCUCAGGAAUUAGAAAAUGCUGGUGAUAUACCUGGGCAAAGCAAACUGGAGCCUUCACUCUCAGAUUCUCUGGAACCAGAAAGACCAAGAGGAACUGGCAAUUACAAUUUGCGCAAAAGUUUAGCUUGGGAUAGCGCCUUUUUCACUAGUAAAGGUCUGCCAAUGUGUACUUAAAAAACCCAUACUUAAAUGCCUUCUAUCAACACUAUUUCAUUGUAUGUUAACUUUACAAUUUCUUCUUUUGUACAUGUUCAGGAGUUCUGGAUCCUGAGAAUGAUGAUUUUGAGCUGUUUGACACUGGGAAUUCUCUGGAAUUGGAGAAUGCAGCUGACAUAUUUGGACAGAGAGAACACGAAUAUUUGCCAUCUGAUUCUUUGGAACCAGAAAUUCCAAGUAGAGAUGGAAAGUUUAAUUUGCGCCAAAGUUUAGCUUGGGAUAGUGCCUUUUUCACAAGUGAAGGUUUGGUCUCAUAUGCUCAGGAGACCCAUAUUUUUAAGUGUCUAUCAAUGUUACCUUGUAUAUAUCUUCCAAGUUACAGAUUUAUAUCAUAACUACUCUACAUGUUCAGGAGUUCUGGAUCCUGAGGAACUCUUUAUGAUAAACAAAGGAUUCAAGAAGGCUAAAACACGUCUACUACCUGGGAUUAAAGAAGAACUUCAGAGAUCUGCUGAGUCGAAUUCUACAAUAGAUAGUGAUCGGUUCUCUUUAGAAAGCCUUGAAAUUGAUCUGUUUGAAGAUAUUAGAGCAUCCAUCCAGAAAUCAAGUAAGGAAUCCAAUUUGUCGAUUUCAAGCCACCAAAUGGGAUUAGGAGUAGGCCUGCAAAGUAUUUGCUUUAAGUAUACUGGUUUUUCAGUUCUUGAAAGAGGCACUUUUCCUGCAUUCUUAUUUGUAUAAGUUUUAGUGUGGGUGUAGGUCAGGAUUCUCCAAAGAGGUUUUCUGGUUUAAAAGGGUCCAUUGGAAUAGGAAACAUUAAGAUUUGAUUAAAUGCUUAGGCUCAUUACCUUUAUACAUAUCUCAUUUAUCAAAUCCCAUGUGGGGCCUGAUAAGGCAAAAAUUCAUGUUUUUAGGUAAUGCUUAUUGUGAUAAUUAGUCAAUAUUGUUUAGUAUGACAUGUUUGAUCUUAUAUUUAUUUCUAUUUUUUCCUUUUGUGCAUCUGCUAUGGCUGAAUUUAUCCUCGAUUGAUGCUUGUUUCAGCCUCAGAGAAAUUGGAUGCUGCCUGUCAAACUAGGGUAAGUUCUUGUCAUGGUGGUCAUUUUUGGAAACUGCCCCUAUGUUCCUUGAGAGUGAACUUCUCUAAAUUUGAAAUUUCAGAUGAAAACGAUGCCAGCUAUCACAAGGCAAACUAUUAAUGUGCAUGGAUCACAGAGAACUGCAAAGGAGAUUUCAAUUCAUACACGAGUGCAGGCAUGUAAUAAUUGAGCUGAAUGAAAUAUUGUUUCUUUUAUGUUAUAGUGCAUGCACUUCUCAGCUAUGUAUCAUCUAGGCUGCUCAGAUUUUAAAUAUGCAUUUGUCCAUUCACAAGCACAGAGGAGUUAGUAGAGUAAAAUCAAAUUAUCACUUUUUUUUUGGUACUAUUUCAUGUACUUUUCAUUUAUGCAUUUUUAAUUAAAUAAAGCAGGCUACUGGAAGCAGAGAGUCAAUUCCCUUGCCUCUCAAGCCACCAAAGAUGUUAGGCCAGAGUAACUCCAUUUCAGCAGCUCCAACCAAAAGGGUUCCUUUGGGUGCAAACCGUGUCGAAGUGGAAAAUAGGAAUGCUAAGACUACACUUGGUGAGAAGAAUCCCCUUGAAUAUAGAUCAAUUUCAAAGACAAUCAAAAGUCCUUUUGAUUGGCUUUUAACUGAAAUUUGCCUUAAUGCAUUACAGGGAAACGUUUGGUAGUGACCCGGCAACCAUGUUUGGUCAACUCUUGCAGUAUCAUCCCUAGCUCUACACCCUCCCCAAGAUCAUCUUCAGGUUCUGCCACCGCUACCAACAAAUCAACGGUUUCUUGUUCCCCAUAUGAUAGGUCUGAUAGUGCUUCAUCUGAUGCAACUGGUAAAUCUCCCUCAAACUCUUUGAGAAGAAAAAUUGAUUCAAGGAGUAUUAAUCUGGCAACCUCUGUCUCUACCCUCAAAACGCCUCUUCGAUGCUCAACAAAAACUAAAAAUGAUGUUAGAAAUUCUGGUCACUCUUCUAGUUGGUUCUCUAGUUCAUUGUCUGCACAGAAGCCUUCCUCUUGCACAUCAUCUACAAGCUCCUUUGAUGGAUGGUCAUCGGAAUCAUCAUCAUCAACUGUCAACCAAAGAUCUAAUGGUUCAAAAGCAAGUCUGGAUGGUGCUCCUUACCAAGGGUUUUCCUUUGACAAUGACAUCAUUCAAGCAUCAGAUAUUGAGAGCCAUCCACCUAAUCAAUCCUCUGUUGGAUCCAAAAGUCACAGAACAAGAUUGCCCAAUCAAUACAUCAAGAAAUGUUCAAUGGUUAAUGGUCCUGUUUCUCCAAAUGUUUCAGGAAACUCCAAACCUUCAAGUCUUCGAAUGCCAUCCCCAAAGAUUGGGUUUUUUGAUGUGGUUAGUUUUUGCUCUCUUUCCUUUUCUUUUUCAUUUUCAUUUUAGGUUGAUCAAAUCUUAUUUUGACUUCAGCUUUUGAUCUCAAUGUCUUUAAUGUAUGAUUUAUAAAACUACCAUAUUGAUAGCUUGAAUGUUGAUUUUCACUCAUGUCAGGAAAAAUCUAUGCCCACUGGACUGAAUGGGAGUUUCCAGUUUCGUUCUGGUGCACAAAGUACAUUGGCUAAAAGCGGGACUAGAAUCAGUAAUCUCAGUGGGGCUGCCAAUAGAGCAAGGCGGGGUAAGCUUCAGCCAGCAAGAACUUCAAUAGGGACUCAGAAUGUGAAGCGAGGUUCUCACCAAACUGAAGUUUCAUGUCCUGAUUCAGGAAUGAAUCCUGCAUAUCCUGUGCAGUUUCACAAUGUUGAAGAUGCUUCUAAGAAAGGGUCUGGCUUGUUGAGAACCACAAGAAGUCAUCUUGGGAUGACUGUAAAGAAUCAGAAUGUUUCAUCUACCAAAGUUAGUAGAGAAAAUUGCUCAAAAACUCCAGAAGUGGGCUCUAGUUCAAAGGCUGAAAAUAAAGGGGCUCAAGCAGUUUUGAAGGAUAGAAUGAGAAGGGAGAGCAAGGGAACAGUCCAUGUAAAAGCCAACAAGACUCUUACCAAGGAAGGUAGACCCCAUCAUUCUCGUGAGAAUAUGAAUCUCCAAAGAAAAGAGCACGAGGAGGUCAGCCAAAACAGUCCUCAAGAUAAUCAGUCUCUACUACACAUGAAUGAAAAGGAAAACUAUUUUGAAGAUCAAGUUGAUGGUUUAAGCAGACAGGUCAGUGUCAUUGAUCUCAGCAGGGAUGUGGUGGUUGAGCCUAGAGGGAAUGUCUUGUUCCAACCUUAUUGUCAAUAAUUCUGGAGCUUGUUAUUAGCCCAUUUCUCACGAAUGGCUUCUUCAUGGGGAAAAGGGCCCCCACCUUUCCCAGAGUAGGUCUUUUUAUAUUGUUGCUGAAACCUGUGUAGAUGGUCAGAGAUUGGAGUGAAAGUUCAAAGGUAACAGGGUCUGUUCUGUUAUUCAGUUUCACGUUGAAGCCUUUUUUUUAAGACAUAGCAUCAAACGCGAUGUAAUGUGAUGCAUUUGAUAUGAUUGUGUUGAAUGUUAUGUUACUUCUCAAAUGGUAAUGAAUUCAAUUCUUUUGUGCCUGUGGUCGUCUCACCUAAAUUUCCUCCAAACUCAAUCCCCCCAGCUCACUGGUGACAACCAUUCUGGGACUGCGACCCACCAUCCUCGAAAUCAUUCCUAGCGUCAAAUGGCCGGAAAUGACCAUUUCCUUAUAAAAGCCGGAUCCGAAACCCUUAAACACUAAGUAUUUGUAUUACUUAUUUGAAUUUCUUCCCCUCCCUCACACUUCACAGAGAGUUCUAACAUGGCUGUUUGCUGUGUCUUCGUAAACCCGACCUCGGAAUUGAUUGCCUUGCUCCACUUUGGUCUUGGUCUUUGGGCUUUCCAUUAACCCAUUUUCAUCCCAACUUAAAAAUCCUAGCUUCAUGAAUCAUGAUGCUGAUAAUUUAAAUUAACCUCUAGUUUGAUUACUCCUAGAGUGUUAACUUUAGAUUUAUCACUUAGUUUUUAUUUCUUUUAAUCCCAACUUCAAAUUUUUUCUAAAAUAUCACAUUGUAUUUGUUCUUAUAAAUUUGUUUGUUAAGCUUAAAAUAAAUUAAUUUAAGGGAAAAUAAGUAAGAAUCUACUUUAGCUUGAGCAUCUUUUUCCCUUUUUCCUUUCUUUUUUCAUUUUUUUUUUGGGAUUGGUGCCAUGCCUUGCCAAUUUCCCACAUCCUAUUCAUAUGGAGGGAAGUAUUUUUCUUUUUGUAAGAAAAAGCAAGUCUCAAUUUAGGGUUGUUAUUUGGUACCCACUCUUCAUUUUAGGUACCUACCCACAUUUGACCUCAUUAAUAAAAUAAUAUAUGUAAAGUACAUAUCAUUAAAAAAUUUAUAAAAACUUAUCAAACCGGUAAAAAUAACUUAUUGGUGAGAAAUAAUCACAUGUAUUUCAUACAUAAUGAAUUACCUAACUCUAUCUAAAAAAAGAAAAUUCUACCAACUACUCUUAUACUCUCAUUAUUCAUAUAUAAAAAAAGGGAUAGUAAUUUAAUAUGAAAGUUAAAUAAUUUCAACUACCAAAUUACAAAAUAUGUAAUAUGUAUUUUGAUGAAUCAAAUUUCAAGAUCAAGUUUAAAACUUUUUGAGAGAUAAAAUUUAAAAUUUGCAUUAUAUGAAGAAGAUGAAGGAUUUCAAGUGAUUACAAGUGUCAAAGGUAAUAUUUAAUUUUUUUUUAUCCAAAUAUAAUUUUUGUAGGAAGAAAUGUGAUGUUAAAUAAUGAUUUUAGAAUUUUUUAUGAGUUUAUUAUAAAAUUUUGUUAUCUAAUUGUUAUUAAUAUUUUUAGAUCUUUUUUUUUUUGUUCAUAAAUUAAAUUUGAAGAUGAAAUUUUAUAUGUCUUGAAGAAGACAUUAUACGAAGGAUGUCAAGUGAUUACAAGUGUUAAAAUGUAACAUUUGGUUUUUUUUUUUUCCAUUUACAUAUAAUUGUUGUAGGUAGAAAUGUCAUGUUAAAUCGCAUUUAAAUAUGUAAUGAUUUAUAACAUUUAGAUUUUUUUAUUUUUUAUGAGUUAUUAUUAAUCAAAUAGAGAACAUUUAGUCAUUUGUCAUGAAAUUGUCAUCAAUAUUUUUAUAUUAUUAUUUUGUGUAUUCGUAAACUAAAUUUGAAGAUGAAGUUUUAUAUAUUGAGAGGAGGUACGAAAAUUGUGAGCGAUGGUACAAACUUUGUAAAAGAGAGUACGAACUUUAUAAGAGAGUGUACGAACUUUGUAAGAGAUGAUAUAAACUUUGUGAGAAAAUGUACGAACUUUGUAAGAGAUUGUACGAACUUUGUGAGAAAUUGUACGAACUUUGUGAGAGAAGAUACGAACUUUGUAAGAGAUGAUACAAACUUUGUAAAAGAGGGUACGAACUUUAAAAAUAUAAUAUUUUAUAUUUAUAGUUGUUUAUAUUAAAUAUCUUUAGAGAAUUAGAGAAAAGUCCAAGAAUUGUUUAGAUCAGCCUAAAAGUAUUUUUUUAAAUAAAAAUUAAGGACGUGUUGGGUAACUAUUUUCAAAAAUAAUUUUUAAAAAUUACAUUUUCUCUAAUAUUUUUUAGAAUAGAAGUAUGUUUGAAAAUUUAAAAUAUUUUAACCUAUUUUUAAUAUUUUAAAUAUGUUUUAAAAUAAAUUUUAUAUCUCAUGUUUUAUUUUUAAUCAUUCCUUGUAUUUGUAUAAUUAUUUUUUAAAAUAAUUAUUAGAAAACAAGUGAAAAUAAUUUAAAAAUAUUGUUUAAAAACAUCCUAUUUUUUAUUAUUAAAAACAAAAAAUAAAAAAUAAAAAACAGUUUAAAAAAAGAAAAUUGUCAAACAUGUUUUUUUUUUUUUUUUUACUUUUUUUAUUCUAGAGAAUAGAAAAUUAUUCUCGAAAACAAUUAUCAAACACGUCCUAAGUAUUUAAUAAAAUUUAAGAAACAUUUUUAAAAAUUGAAAAAAAAUCACUUAUAAUGUUACAAAAAAAUUUAUAAAAUUUUUCAAAGAAAUAUUUUAUAAGUGAUUAUUCUAAAAUAUACUUUAGAAAAGAAAAAAAAAUAUUUACGAACUUUGUAAGAAAGGGUACAAACUUUAUCAAAGAGGGUAUGCACAUUGUAAGAGAGUGUCGUACAUUGUAAUUGUAAGAGAUGGUAUGAACAUUGUAAAAAAUUGUACGAACUUUGUAAGAAAUUGUACGAACAUUGUAAGAGAAAGUACGAACUUUGUAAGAAAUGGUACGAACAUUAUAAGAGAUGGUACGAACUUUGAAAAUAUAAUAUUUUACAAUUACGUAGUGUUUUAAUUUUUUAAUUUUCUUGAAAAUAGUUUUCAUCAUUUUUAAGCUUGAUUAGUAUCAAUAAACAAUAUUAUUUGUAUUUUUAGGUGGAAAAAAUCGAAAUUUUUUAAAAUUUUAGGAUAUGGAGAAUAUGAGGUAGGGUAUGAAGAAUGUGAGGAUUUCUCAUAAUCUUCAUACAUUUUCUCACAUUUUUCGUAUCCUCUUUAAUUUUUUAGUGUUUUAAUUUUCUAAUUUUUUUUUUAAAGAUAAUUUACAUUAUUUCCAAUUUUAAAAAUUUUAAAUUCUUUUUUUUUUUUUUUUAACAAUUGUAUAGUUAAAAAGUAAAUAUGAAAUUUAAAAAAUAUAAAUAAUUUAGGGUACAAAAAAUAUGAGAAUGGUGCGAAAAAUGUGAUAAAUACAUGUUUGGUACUUUCAUCACAUUUUUCAUAUUGAUUUUUAGUUUUAAAAUUUUUGAAAUUGCAAAUUUAUUUUCAAAAAUACUAUCAUUAGUAACUCAAAAAAGUAUUAUUAAAUUUUUUUAUUCUAAUUUAACUUUUAAAACCUUAAAUUCAAAAAAUGUAAAAUUUGGAAAGUACGAACAAAAAUUAGGAUGAUCUAAUUACCUAAGCUUUACAUAUGAAUCAUAUGAUUAUCAAAAUGUUGAAUUUUAAUGAAAAUACUCAUUUCAUAUUAAAAUAUUAUCAUAUCCAUUUUUAUGUUGAAUUCAAAUGUUUAAUAAUUUAUUAAAAAUAAAAUAAUAUAAUUAUGAUAUAUGAUGAUUUUUUUUUGUUAAUAAAUAUGUUUUCAAAUUUUAUAUUAUUUUUAUUUUUAUUUUUUUCCAAUUCUAUUUUUAUCUCAUAUUUAUUUUAUUAAAGGAGGAAGAAAGAAGGCCACCCAGUUCUUUCCUUAACUUUCUUUAACUGGUUAAGUGAAAUUUUUAUUUCAAAUUUAAAAUGAUGACCAAGAUGUAAUCUUGAACAUCCAAUGGCUUAGAAAAACUUUUCGGUAGGUACCAAAGAGGUACCUAGAAUUUUCCCUCAAUUUGAUGAAAGAGAAAGCAUUGAGAGCAUAAAUCUAAUAUCCCAAGCCAUGACAAGGAAACCCAAGAAAACCUGUGCAAAUGGCUCUACCACCAGACUACUUAACAGUUACGAAAUCCCCCCAUUUCAGCACUGGAGUCACGAGAUCAGAAUACUUGUUUAUAAGAUGCAACAACUGCAAUCUUCAAUUGAUCAUGGCAAAAUAACAGUGGAUACCAAAUUAAGUGGUCCAUUAAACAACAAUGAUACUAAAGUUUCCAAAAUUUUGUUCUAUACGACUAAUAGCACUAAGAUUUAAAUCAACACCAAGGCAAAUUCCAUCACAAAAUCAUCACAUCAUUUCCAUUAAGAAACAAGGAGGAAAGGGAGAGUGGACAGGGAAGAUAGAGCUCAAUCUCUCUAUAAACCUAAGACCUAGGCUUUUCCUUUUUCUCUUUAAAGAGAGCCAGAAGGGACACACCAGAUACCUUCACAACCUUGAAUCGGACUCCAGGAAUAUCUCCCACAGCAUGCCCCUUCCGUCCAAAUCCUGCAAUCAAGACCUCAUCCUGUAACCAAAACAAAUUAUGUACCCAUUAAGCAGUGAGUACAAAUGAUAAAUACAUUAAUAAAGCUAAACUAGCUCUAUAAUCCUGGACAACCCUUGAACAUCAAUUUAACAAUUCUAUGAAAUCAUCGUGCCCGCACCCCUAGCCACUCACAAUUUAGAAAAGAAUUAAUAAAGAGGAUCGGAGAUUGGGGUUGGGUGCAGGCUACAUUAUAGGGAAACUUCCCACUUCUGUCUAUAGAACUUACAUUUUCCUCAAUGUAGUUUAAGCAACCAUCAUUGGGUACAAAUGCUGCAAUCUUCUUGCCAUUUUUAAUCAGCUGAACACGAGCACACUUUCGGAUAGCAGAGUUUGGCUGCUUAGCCUCAAUUCCACUGUACAAGGCCAGCAAUAAGUCAUUCAAAUCCAAACUGAUGCAGUCAAUACUAAUGAAACAUGAGAGGCAAUAUAAGUCUGUCCUUACAUCUUUUCAAGGACGAUGCCCUUUGCAUGGGAUGACCCAGCAAAUGGCUUUUUCCACUCGUUGCCAAGGUUAGACUUCUUGUAUGCCUUAUCAGCCCACCUCUGCCUUAUGCGGUGGGACUUCAGCUUGCGACCAGCUCCCAUUCCACGAGUCUUCCUGCAGAAUGCUCACAUCGUUUGGAUCAUGAGUCCAUUUGACCACACCAAAACUCAAAACAAAAGACAUGCAACUCUAAAAUUGGAACCUACAAGAGAUAUACAAUAAAAUGGCAGUACAAGUUUAUGACUAUGCAACCAAAUCACUCAAACAAAUCUACUCCCCCUCCUCUCUCACACACAGAGAUGCACAUGUAAGCCCUUUUUCCUACAAGGGAAAUAAUUCAUCGAAUCUUUCCAUCAAAUCAAUACCCAAAAACUUAGAAAGACAUCAGAGUUGAUAGACACUACAUCUUCCAUACCUUCCGAAGCUCUUAGUUGAAUAGCACCAAGUUGAUUCAUGACAAAUCCAAUCAAUCUACUAAUCUUAGUAAAAACAUUUACUCCUUUAAAGAACACCAAGAUCAUUAAAAUCGUUCAAGCAACCAGUUGCCCUUGUGUGGCAGAAUUGUUUCUAGCUGAUUAUGUCAGUAAAUAGCUUUCUUUGAAGCAUGUCAUCAAUAAGCGAGAACAAAUUUAUUUUUCAUGUUCAUAUUUCCACUGAAAGAUCACUUCAAGAUUGCCCAACUAAGAAAUAAAGCUUGGGGAAUGGCAAUGCAAGACAGUCCAAAGACUCCAAACUUUAUUUUGCUUAGAAAUGAAAUCACAAUUUCAUAGUUCAAAUUUCAUCAUGUGCAAUCACCUCUCCAAGGAGCCCAAAACAAUUAUUUGGCAUAAUUAUACUUCUUUUAUUCAAAAAGACAAAAGGGCUUAAACAAUAAAUUUUAGGAUUUUACUUCUAGCAAGAGACAACCAGUGUUAGUGAAAAAUAAGAGAGAACUUAGUCACGCUACAUUAAAACAAUCUCAAAUAAGAAUAUCCAAGCAACUCCAUUGGGAUUUGAUUCGGAACACUAUGUUUACCAUUAUAUUUGGUUUCUGAGAAAACAUAGUAAAGCAAAAAUAGUAUAGCUUCUUUAACACGGAUUUUUCACGAUUCCCUCCUGCUUCCCACCCUCCCACCCAACAAAAAGAUAAAAAAAACAUCAACUAAUCCAAGCACAACUAUGAUUUUAGUUGAGGUCAGCUUUUUCAUUUUUGGAGACGAAAACAGUAAUCACGUAGAUUUUAAAAAUAUAAAAAAAUUAUUUUAUUUUACUCGAUUUUCACAGCAAUAGUGAACAAUAAUAUAAAACAGAUCCAUCACAUAAAAACUGCUUUGUUUAGUUUCUGCUUAACGUAGGUAAAGCCCAAAAAGGAAAAAUCAAACUACAAACCCCUAGAAGAUUGAAUUUUUCGGAUCCGGUGCUUACAUUACCAUCCGCCUUAGCUAGUUAAGUGAAUUCAUAUUCCCAUUUCAUUUUCUCGCCAGUUUCUCAGAAACCAAACAGAGUGUAAGAGGAAGAGAAAAAAAAAAAGAUGAAUUCAACACAGGAGAUCAGCCAUGAAUCUCUAGACCAUGUAUCAGACAGAGAAAAAAAAAACAGAAAAAGUAAAAGUGUUCUUACCCCAUGGCUGCUGAAAGACGAGACUCGGCUGAUGAAACCCUAGCCCAGAACCCUAAAACUGAUCUUCAGGGUGACGAUGUAUGGAUAAAUAAGGUACUGUUUGGCUGCAAAGACGGAAAUAGUGUGGCCUUUUCAUCAUAUUACGACUCUGUCCUUGAGAAAUUUACAGUCUCCUUGUUAUCCACGUGGCAGCUAUUAGUGAAAAAAUGCCAUGGUAAUUGUUGUGAUCUACAGCUUACGAACCGAUUGUUCAAGGUUUGACUGUUGACUAAUUGCAUAAAUGCAUAAGAUGUAGAUUAAAAAAAUAAGGUUUAAUAUAUAAAAAAUAAACGUAAGUAAAAGAAAUUGACAUCUAAGUAAAAAUAAAAUAAAUAUUAUUUAUAAAAUAAAAACCAAUAGAAGUUUUUUAUAAGAUGAUAAUUCAUUAAUUUGCUAUUGAAUGACAAUGCUUGUGAAUAAUUUGACUUAUUGUAAAUCUCUUUGGUUUUGACAAUUAUUUUUAAAAAUAUUUUUUUAUUUUUCAAAACAAAAACCCGGAUAACAAAAAAUUAUUUUUUAUUUCAAAAUAUUUUUAUAAAAUGUUUUUUUACUUAUUUUUACUUAUUUUAUGAGAAUUGUUUUAAAAAAUAAUUAUACAAACAUGCAUAAUGAUUAAAAAUAAAAUACUAAAUAUAAAAAUUAUUUUUUAAAAAUUUUGUUAUACAAAAUAUUAGAAAAUAAUUUUUAAAAAUUAUUUUACAGAACUGUUUUUUAAAACAGUUUCCAAACAAGCUCUUAUAUUUUUAUUUGUUAUCUAUCAAAACAUUAUUUUACACUCAAAACAUAUUAUGAAAUAAAAUAUUAAAAACUAUAUAUCUUAAUACAAUAAACUAGAUAGUGAGUUACUGCUUUAACAUAAAUAAUUAUUUAUAAAUUUAAUAUUUAAUCAUCAAAAUAUUUUAAAAAUUAAAUAAAAAUAAUAAUUUUUUAGUCUAAUAUAAUUAAAAAAUAAAAAUGUUUAAAGUAUUUUUUAUAUUUUAAUAAAAUAAUAUGUUAUAUAAUUAAAAUUUAGAAAAUGAAUAAUAAUAUUUGAGUUCAACUUCCAAUGGAUUGGUUAGACCUUCAACACCCACAACAAUUCUAAUAUUUUCAAUUUAAUAUUUUUUAGUAGUGGAAAAUCUCUCAUAUGUUAAAGAGCUAUCCAUGUGGAAAAUCUCUCAUAUGUUAAAAGAGCUAUCAUAUUGAACCCAAAUCCAGUAAGCUUGAACCCAUCACCAUUUGUUAAACUAAACUUUGAUAUUAGGGUGAACGAAUAAAUUUUUCAAAAACUAUUUAUUUCCCCAAUUUAUUAAUAUUUAAUAUUAUGUAAAAGCUUAUUUAUUUUCUCUAUUUGUUAAUUUUCUCAAAAAUUUAUUUAUUUUCCCCAUUUAUUUAUUCUCCUCCUCGCAAUUUUUUAUAUCUUUCUUUACAUAUCUCUUAUUUUUUUUAUAUCUCUUCUUAUAUCUCUUCUUCAGAACGUAGAUCGAUCUUACAAAUUUAAUCACGUAUAAAGGAAGGUGUUAAAAAGUAUAAUAUAUAUAUUGAACAAAAUAUGAACGAUUUGACAUGAUAUCAAAAUUUGAUUUGAUGGCAGAAAAACUUAGAAGAUCGUAAUUUAUGGUCAGAAAAGCAAGAUCAAAAUGAUCUUAUAAACACUAAUCCAUAAAUAGCAUUUCAAAGUUAUUUUUCAUGUCUAAAUAUAAAAGCCCUUCUUUCCUUACAUUCUUUUUUAAAACAAAGAAGAAAUUAUUAAUAUUAUUAUUAUUUUUAAAAAUGACAAGGAGGCUAGUGGAUAUGAUAUUAGAUAAUAUUCAAUAUUGCUUUUAAGUUUUAACAGCGGAAAAACACAACCCAACAACAAAUUUUGUUUAUUGGAAUAAAAGUGGGAUUGAAAAAAAAUAAAAUAAAAUGAUGAUCUACCAAAUAUUUAAAUACAAUUUAAUUCAAGUAAUGGUUGAUUGAAGUUAAAUAAUAAGAACCAACCUGGAUCGGGUCUAAUUUUCUCUCCAUAUGUGGUUUGAUUGAAUUGAAUGAGAGAUUUUUUGUUACUAGGGGUGAGCCAUGAGCAAAAAAAUUGCAUUAGAAAAGGAAGAAACUAAGAAAGAAAGAGAAGAAAUGGUGAUAAAAUUAAGACAAAAGGAUAAACAAAUCAUAGUGGUCUGAUAUCUGCUAGAUUAGAACAACAAAAGAGAAGGGGGGACACGCCCAAAUGUAGCUACAUAUAAUCUUUGUAAACAUUCAUCUUCCACUACCCAACCAACACAUAAAUUGCGUAUAUAAUUCCAGGUAUAUAUCCCAAGAUUGUCAGCAACAAGUCUAUCCAGAACUCUAUCUGCAAAUCCACAAGAAGCGAAUGAAUGAAUAUAUAUAAAUCUCAAAUGAUAAAAAAAGGCAGGAAAUGGGAAGAAAAUAUAUAAUUACUCCACAGCCAUAGCGGAGGAAGACGCCGACAGGAGGGAGGAGGAUGGCGAGGAUGAUUUCUAGGAAUGUCUCUGAACCCAUUAUGAUUGUUGCUUGUAGGUUAAAAUGUCGGUCGGUUGGAAUGGAAUUGAGGAUUUGAGAUUGAAGGGGGAUGGAGGGCAUGGGAAGAAGACAGUUAUUGAGGGAGGACAGGUGUUUGAUAGUGAGGAGGUUCAGGAAUCGGUGAGGACACGUAAGGGAGGUGUUUUGACACCUGCCUCCUGCUUUCUCUUCCUCUUGACUCGCGUUCUUUGAAUUCCCCCUCCAUCUUCACACAUCAUUUGGAAAAAUAUUUGGCGGUCUCUGUCAUGGGUCCAUUUCCCACCAACCAGACAAAUACCAUUUUGUUUUUACUUAUUUAUUCUCCUUAUCGCAAAAAAUAAAAAAAAUAAAAAAGGCAAAAUAUUCCAAUCCUGUCGUGCCUUCAUAUCAUGAAAUAAAUAAAUAAAUAAAGAUUAAAACUAAAUAUAAAAUAUAAAAAUAAAAUAAUGGCUUCCUUAAAUUUAUCAUUUUUUUAAUAUUAUUUUUUUCUUUAUUUAUUUUUUCUUAUACACAUGAAAUCAUUGGACCUAUUGCUUCAAAUCUUACUUUUUAUUUUUGUUAGUUAUAAUAAGAUAAGGUGUCUUAUUAGAAAUAUUAGAUUAUUGAAGUAUUAUUAACCACUUAAAAGGGAGGUUAAGAGAAGAUUUUUACAGACUUUUCUGCUUAAAGUGAUCUGCAACUUAUUUUACCCCUUAUAAAAAAAAAUUGUCUGAUACCUUUGUUCAUAUCUCCUUGCUUAUCAGAGUGCUCCUCCUUUCUCUAGGCUUCCGCUGGAUAAGUAAUAGAGACCCUAAAGCAUGACAGAGAUGGUGAUAUGGUUCAGGUACCCAUGGUUUUUCACCAAUAUAAUGAAUUUGAGGGCAUCUGAGAAUGCAUGAAUGCCAAAAUAUUUGCCUAAAAAAGGUGAUUACAGAAAUCUAAAGAUCAACAUGUAUAUCAAUUCAUUGAGGUGAAACCUGGAAACUUCACCAGUAAGUUUUCCACCAAUUGUUGCCAAUUCUAAGGGCCGCAUGGUUCUUUAUGUCUGACGGAGAAAUUAUCUGGGGUAAAAAAAAAAUUGAUAGAUUUAGAGGGAUGGAAGCUGACACUCAAGCUGAGAACUUGUAUUUUGGAACUCCAGGAUGAUAGUCUCAUCUUGAAGCCAACCAUAUUUAAUUGGACUGAAUUACCUACAAGAAAGAGCACACCAUGGAAGUCGCAAGCAUCAAGUAAAAAUCAAGUAAUCGUUUCUGCUGAGUGCUGAUAUGCCUUUCAAGAGCCAACAUGCAACUUAUAACAAAGGGGAGAAUUCAGAAAGCACACGAUAAUUUAUUUCAUUCCUUUUCUCCAACAAUGGGCUUCAUUUGUUUGUCAAGGCAACAGUGUAAGGGAAAAAAAUUUUGGAAUCUAACUUCCACCACACCAACCACAAAAUGUCCCAAGUUUCCAAAUUAUUUUUUGUCUACAUUCCAAGCAACCUAAUAGAGAGCGUUAUGUAACUCGAGACCCUGUUCCCAGAGAGCUACACAAUUCAGAGGAUGGAUGAUGGAAUCAUGGAACUGAAGAAAGAAAAUACAUGUGCUAAAAACAAUUACCAGGACAAAAAACAGGAACCUAUUCAUUCCUCUCUCCAAUAUUUUACUGCAUCAGUGACAAUUUUUUUACCAAAUUUGUGAGAUUAAGUGCAUGAAACCUACCACCUAAUCAAGGCUGAUAAACCUCUGGAAGCUGAAGACCCACACUUGAAGCAGAUUUUCCAAGAAUUCUCUUCAUUUCAUCUGAUCUAUCCACAGCAAUGUUAUAAGAGAGCAGUAACUCCUGCACAACCACCAUCAGUUCAAAAUUAGAAAUUAAGGUUGAGGUGGCCACCGGUUCUUGGAAUAUUUCCUUUCACAAAAAUCGCUUAAACUAUUUAUUAUUAAAUAACAAACAAUCAUGCACUUGUGAGAGACACAUGGACAAAAAAACAAAGUGAUAGCUAUAUUUAUUGUUAUGCAAAGGUAAGACAACCAUGAAUGGACUAAAAAUAUGGCAGUAUGCCCAUUUCUAAAAUUUGCCAUCCCUUUGUAGCAUUUCAAUAAUUUCAAUACAUUGAAACUAGACAAUAAAAAACAUAAUUCUUAAAUUAGGUACUUGGAUGUCCUUUGAUCUUGAGCAAUGAAAGGUUGUAAGGGCCAAUUUGGGGUAGGAUCCAAGUCUUUUGAAAUCUAAGUAGAGGUUGUCAAAGGUAGGGGAAGGUAUAGUUCUAGAAAAGGGGUCGUGGGUUCUCUAGUUGGAUUAAUUUCCCCAAACUCUUUUGGCUUUCCUUUUCUUUUUUCUUUUUUCUUUUAUAUUUUUUUUGGAUAAGUAAAUGUAGUUGUAUUAAGUCUUAGAACCAAAUGGGUUUAUUAUAACUUUUGGUAGCUUUGUUAGGACUAUGUGAAGAGUGAAGUGUUGGGAUUCUUUGAGCAAGGCCCUUUUGAAGGAAGUUUAAAUACCACUUUCUUGGUCUUAAUCCCUAAAAAAAGUGUAGAGUAGAAAAUUUAAAGGAUUUUAAGCUCAUCAGUUUGGUGAGAGCCUGUACAAGUUAGAAGGAAAGAUGUUGACAAUCAAACUUAAGAAAGUUGUGGAAGAAGUGGUCUCUAAUUCUAAAAGUGCCUUUCUAGAGGGUAGACAAAUUUUAGGUGUCGUUCUUAUUGCAAAUGAGGCCAUUGAUUCAAUGAUGAAGAGCUUCUAUAACAUUUUUUAUUUAUUUUUUAAUUUUUUUUUAUUUAAUGGAAACUUGACAUUGAGAAGGACUAUGACUAUGGUACACCUGUCAACUUCUUUCAAAGUUCAAGGGGUUGAGGUAAAGGGAUCCUCUUUCUCCCUAUUUAUUCGUUUUGGUGAUGAAUACUCUUAGUUAUCCUUUAAAGAGAGUUAGGGAGGAGGGUUUCAUCUUUGGUUUUAAAGUGGGAGAUAAGGACAAUGAGGGAGUGUCUCACAUGUUGUUUGCCAACAGCAUUCUUACUUUUUGUGAUACAAAGAUCAAAUGUUACAUCUUAGUUAGACUUUCAACAUGGUUUGAGACAAUUUUUGUGCUAAAAAUCAACCUAGGAAAAAGUGAGUUAAUUCCAAUUAGGGGUAUUACUAAGGUAGGGCAAUUGUUUUGAUAGUUGUAUUAAGGUGUAGACUAGGGGAUGCUCCCUCACAUGUAUCAGAUCUCCCUUUGAGAGUUUCAUACAAAUCAUCAACAAUUUAGGAUGUGGUGGAAGAGAGGUUUUACAAAAGACUUGCAAUGUGGAAAUGACAACAGCCUGUCAAAAAAAAGAAAGAAAAAAAAAAGGUUUAAUAAAAAAAAUGCCCUGCCUAGCCUCCUAAUUUAUUUCAUGUCCUUAUUUUCAUUCCAAGAAGGGUGAGUAUGGGAUUGGAAAAUAUUCAAAGGGAUUUUCUGUGAGAAGGGGGAACACUUGAAAAAGUUCACUUAGUGAAAUGGUCAAAUAUUUGUAUGGAAAAGAAAGAAAGGGGGGUUGGGUAUUCGUGAUUUUUAUGUUUUCCAUAAGGCUCUUUUUAGGAAGUGGAAUUAGAGGUUUGUAUUGGCAAGGGAACCUCUAUGGGAGCAGGUUAUCAUACGAAAAUUCAGGAAAGAAGAGGGAAGAUGAUGUUCUCUAGAGGUGAAUAGGGGUUUGGGGUAGGGUAAUGGAAGGCAAUAAGGAGAAGAUGGAGAUUUCGAAAGUAAAAUCUAUUUCUUUAUGGGCAACAAAAGGAGAGUAAAAUUUUGUAAGGAUACAUGGUGUACUGAUACACCUCUGAGUACUUCUUUCCCUUCAUUGAAUGUAUAUGGUGUUGAUACGUUCCUUUUGAGAAUGCAAGGAAAAUCAAUAAAGAAGGGUGAUGAACAUAGGGUGACUUUGAUGGUUUCAAAGAGUGGCAACUUCUCAAUUAAAUUCUAUUACUCUUCGAUGGUACUGAGAUCAUAGUCUUCUUCUGUGGAUGUUAUUUUGAAUUCAUGGGUUUCAACAAAAGUGAGCUUUUUUUUCCUAGGAAGUGGUUUGGAAACGAAUUUCAACUGUGGAUGAGUUAAAAAGGAAAGGAUGGACUUUGCUGAAUAUAUGUUCUACGAGCAAAGGAGAGGAAGAAUCUGUUAAACUCUCUAUCAUUAUGCCAAAGAAAGAAUCUUAUGUCAGCUAGUCUUCUCCUCAUUUGGAAAAGUAUGGUGCUAAAUUCUUUAGUGUAAACAAUACAAUACUUCUAAGUUGACAUAGAUCCUUUAUCUGAAAGAGGCAGAAGAAAGCAUGGAAAGUUGCUCCUUUGAUUUUGUUUUGGACCACUUGGAAAGAGAGAAAUUGAAGGUUUUUGACAAUGUGGAGCUUUCAGAUCAAGAACUAAAAAACCUGUUUUAUUUGUAAUUUUUUGGAGAAAGUAAAAGGGGGUCAUUGAGGAGUUGUCUAUGUCUAUGGUAGAGUUUGUUGAUUGGUUAGGUUGCUAGUAAGGGGUGGGAGUGUUUUUUGUUACUCUCUUCUUGUUUUGCUUGCUUGUUAAAUAUAUAUAUAUAUAUAUAUAUAUAUAUAUAUAUAUAUAUAUAUAUAUAUAUAUAUAUUUUGUGUGUGUGUGUGUGUGUGUGUGUGUGUGUGUGUGUGUUCUUCUCGUAUAGAUAGGGUAUGACCCUUUUCCUUGGCACUCUUUUAAUAGAUGCCCAGUUUGCUUAUCAAAUAACAAUAAUUCUUAAAUUUUUUAAUCUGUUCAUCCAAUAUUGAAAGAGCAGAUGCAAUUUUUUAUCCAUCAUGCCAUAAGACUACAAUAUGUACCUCAAAUGUGGUAAAGAGAAUAUCCUAAGAUUGAAUUCUCAAAGGAUCAAACUUGGACCAAAUGUAUUCACUUUAAGUUCAACUGAGUUAUAAUGUAAUGAAUGAGAUUUCACUUCAAAAUCAGGCAGGUCUCAUUUGCAAAAUCAGCAAUCUGAAAUCAAAUCUACUAAACCAUCUAAGAGUAUCUGAUCAAAGAUCCACAUGUUGAAAAGAAUAUAUAUAAGAUAGCAUACUCCCCUUGUAAGUAACAAAGUCCAAUGCCCAAGAAUUUUAAGGCUCUAUUUGGUUCUUAGAAUUUAUGAAGGAAAAUGAAAUAGAAAAAGAAUAGGAAAAUAAAGUAUAAGUUUAAACCCAAUUAAUUUUCCUCCACUACAUCCCCAACUUUCUUCAUUUCUUUCAAGCAAAAAAUGAGGGGGGCUUUCACUUUUUGGAGUUUACAAUUUCCCCCUAAUUUCCAUCUUCUUUUCUCUUUCUUAGGAUUUUCAAUCACUACCAAACAACAAAACUAGGUAAUUGAUCCAAGUUUUCUUCCAAUUGCUUCUUGUUACCAAGAUGAAAACAGAACAUAAAAAUUUAGGAAAGAAAGAGAGCAAUACCUUGUGAUGGUGCACACUGUUAAGCAGAUAAGUGUAAUCAUGGGCAACCUUUAAUUUUUGUUGAAUAGAUGAGAGGUCCAGCAGUCCACGGUUCUUCUGAAACUCUUGUGUUAUAUGGUCUCUGAAGUGCCUUUUGUGGUCUUCCUUUCCAAUGUGAUUCUUGACAGCUUUGAGAAGUUGGCGAUAUACCUUAGUAGCUUGCAAGGCUUCAGAACCCAUUUCCGCAGUUUGUCCUUCUCUUGAUCUAUCUCUUUUUCACCUUUUCUGCAAUGCAGUUUGUAUUUAACAGAAGCACCUCUCACAAACUCAGUGAAAAAAAAAAAAAAAAACAAAACUCCAAUAUUGUUUACAGAUGAAAAACUAAUAUAGAAAAAUCUUGAAGGCCACUGCACAUCACAGGUGAAGAAACUGGAAGUUAGCCAUGAUUAAAAGAAUGGACUAGAGCAAGUAAUCUAAUAUCUUAAUCCCUUUAAACCUGGCUCAGGAGACAAGGAUUUUGUGCUAGCAAGCAGGGGGUUUGGGUGAGAAAAGUGGGAGGUUCCAGGUUUGAGUUCCAACAGGUACAAAGAAAAAAAAUCUGUAUAUCUAUAUCUAUACACACACACACACACACACAAAACAGAACAAACAAAAUCUUUUUCCUAAUAAAAAAUCUAGUGUCUAGAAUCACAAAGAUAAUGUGAUAUCAGGAAAAAGACAAAAGAAUAGCUUGCAAAUAAUGGAAGAAAUCUCUAAAAGGAUGUUAUGUAGCUUACAGCUAGAGAAAUCUCCUUAGCAAUAGGGCAUGUAAAAUGCACACGUACAUUACUCACAGAUCUCAUAUGAGAAUUUGCAAAAUUGGUGAUAAAUAACACUGGUUCUCAACUAUUCAUAGGAAAUGAUACAAAUAAAGAAGUCUUCAAAAUUGGAUCUCUAAGGCCUGGGAAGCAACAGAAUAGAGUAAACAAGAGAGUAGACAUUCAUAAUAGCUAAGCCAAUGACCAGAUUUGUUCUCAAACAGGCACAUGCACAAACAGCACACAGAUAGAGAGAGAUCUAAAGUCUCCAACAUUACACUGAUUUUUUUUUUUUGAUAGACGAAGACAACUUGAAUUGAUAAGACGCAAAAACAGGGGGGCAAUAUUACACUGAUUUGUGCAUAGCAAAUCAUACACUUGUGUCAAAAUGUGCAUUGUGCCAGAAAUUUUGACCAUGUGGCAUGACAAGGGCUCUUAAGAGACUUAUGUUGAUCAUGUGGUUCCAUUAAUGAAACUCAAAUUACUCAUCAAACAAGUAAAAGGCUUAGCCACCCAUGGAGGACAUUGCUAAACCAAGACAAAUAAAAUUACAGCUUAUCAAUUCUUUGGUUUACAAAUUUUGAAGUACAUUCCCUGCAUCUUGAAGCAGAAAGCUAAGUAGUAUCCCAUCUAAAGAACCAAAUAAAAGAAAAAAAGAAGAGUCUUAAGAUUCUAAACAUCCAAUUUAAUAAAAAAACAUGCCCACACAUAACUUUUGCUAAUAAAUUUUUUUAUAAUGAAUUAUAAAUCCAAGCACUAGCAUCACAUCAACAUUUCCUACUAAAAUAUGGCAUUAUGCAGGAAACAAACAACUAAAAGUAUGAUUGAAAUACUUUUAACCGCAAGCAAACACACGAAUCCUCAUCACCAUACCACCCAUACUUUCAAAUUAAGAGCAGAUUGUGCUAUCAUCCAGUGAUAUAAUUAUAAGUUAUAACUGUUGUGUCUCUAAAAAAUGCCUUUUUCUUUAUUCAGUUUCUUAUAUGCAAAUACUUCUCAUUCUGUGUCCAAUGCUCAUUGGUGGGUUGAUAACAGAAAGAAUAUGCACAUUUACUUGGAUACAAACUUUCGUGUUCUAGUGAAUACGAAAGUUCGUGUUUACUACAAGACGAACCUCGUCUUGUAGGCAAGACAAGAUCUCAAACUCGUCCACUUCAAUAACUAUGUACCAAAGCACAAAACUGCACCAUCACAUAUCUAGUAAUAAAAUUAAAUUAACUGCAACAAAACUAACUUCAAAAUAUUUUCAUAUUAUUAAAUCUUUAUGUUACAACAUGAUCUAUAAGCAACAUUUCUUAGAAAACUUGUAAGUAAAAAUCAGUGACUGGAAAAUAAAGGAAGAUAUCUGAAAUCCAAUUUUUGUCUCCUAGGUCUUUCAUUGUUUGGAACAUGGCAAAACCAAGACCUCCAGUCAAAAGAAAAUUUUCUAUGACAACCAUUAUGCUCAAUUGAUUUAAGUUUUCCAUUCAUUUUCUUGGAAACCAAAUAAUCUAACAUAAAUUUAUUUUCCCCACUUUUCUCAUGGACUCCAAAUGUAGGGUAGGGUUUCUAAGCUACUUAUGUCUGAGUUUGGGAUGGAUUGGCAGCAACUUGGAGCAGUGGUUGAAUAUUUACUCUGGUUCUAGCAGAUUUUAAUAAUUCAAUCUAGAGGACUUUGGUUCUGCCCAAGGAACCAGGUACAGUAAAUCUACCAAGCCCAACCUGAGCUCAAACCUGGAUCAAUAUUUGAGCUCAGCUCGAGUUAGAUUAGGCUUAGGCUAAUCCAGUUAGGUGUAGAAUCUAGUAGAGGUUGGCAACCCAACUUUUCUUUUAUCCUUUAUUUUCUUUACUUUUUCCAUCAAAUUUCCUCUUUUUUUCAAAGCAACCAAACAAUGUCAAAAUCUGUUUUUGGUUGAAGUUGGACCCGAUUUGUCAUCAUGGGACUUAUCGACAACAAGACAAGGAAGUCAUAUAAUCAAUAUGGAUGCUGAAGAUCUUACUAUUCAUGCCAUUUCAACAUAAUUAAAGCUAUUUAAUGCACUCAGAGGAAAAUCAGAGCGUCAGCAAUCUUCACAUAAGGCAAGUGGCCUAAGAAACAACUGCCAUGAUUUCGUUUUACCAGCAGAAAAACAACUGCAGUGUCUCAUUGAUGCUGAAAUUGAGUUCAAGGACAACAAGAUUAAGAUGUAGCUACAUUGUGCACUGUACUAAGCUAUUCAUAAAUCAAACAGUUUUAAAUAUAAGAUUUUUUGCUUAGAGUCAUAAACCUUCGUCAAAUUUAGACCACAAUAGAUUAAUUUUUCAAUAGAAUUAUUAAUCCAGUAUGUAAAAUAUUGAUUAUUUAUGAACUGGCUUUGCUUUAGUUUCUGAUUCAACAUUACUUUUUCUACUAGCUUCGAGUCGCUUUGACACACUAUUCAAACAUUGAGCAGAUUGAGCAAAAUUGAGCAAUAAUUCAGUCUUUCCAGGAAAUAGUCAAAUUAAAAUGUGGACUUUUUAUAGCCAUGAUUUUAGGUAAAAAUGCAUAAGAAGUUAAAGCGUACACAUUGAAUUGUUAAACAAAUGGGUUAUCUCUUAUGGGGCUAUAAAUUUAUUCUAUUCUUUUGGUCAAUCGUAUAAACUAAGAGUUAUAAGAAAUCAAUCAAACAUAGCUAAACGUUAAUUCAGAACUUUAAUGGUUUAUUAGGACGAUCUUCUUUACUGCAAAGACUUUCCACCAUCCUCUAACCUGCUAAUAUUACCGUUAAAAUUAACCGAAGUGACGACCAUAGAAACUCCAUAAUUCAGAAAAUUUUUCCGUUGAUUGUUAAACUGUUUGCUCCUCAUUUCAACUCCAGUUUUCCCUCCCAUUUAUAUGCCUGAGAAAAAGGGAAAAUAAAUCGGAAACUAGAGAACACUAGAUGAUUAAGGUGUUGUUACCUGGUUUUUCUUGAAGAAGCGAGUGAUGGAGAUCAAGGACAUAAAAAAUCCUGCACCGGGUGAGAGAUUGAGAGAGGUAUGAAGAAGGUGUGGGAUGGAGUGGGAAUCUAGGGUUUAUAUAUAGGACAUGAUAAGAAAUAUGCAAAAUAGUGAAGGACAAAUUUGUAUUUUCAAUGUAAACGGGCCCUGUAAGGAGGGUGGAAUAACAUUAAACCGUCAAAAACCUCCCAUACGCAACCCAUUGCGAGUGAUAUGCGCUUGGCCUACUUAUUUGCAAGCUGGAAUGAGGAGGGCUAAAAUGUCGUGUUGGGCUUGGGCUGUUGGGCUGAUCCAGCAACUUUGAAGUCCAAAUUAAAACUGAAAAAAUCUUACUAAGCAGACUUUGGAUGAGAAUUGCCACCCUUGUGAGUCACGCCCACGGCCCACCUAAAUACAUAAAUUAUAAUAAUGAAUCACUCCAUGAACACGUGGGGAACCGAACAUAUUGUAGAGGGUGAACCGUAGAGUAACGCUUGUGGUGGGGGUUGUUAAUAUUCAAAGCCCUGGCGUCUCUCACACGAGCUCUGCUCUCGAACCUCCUCCUUUCCUGUCAAAACACGUGACUUCAACUUCCACUACAUCCUUCAAGUUAAGAUUCUCGGCUUUCCUCCAUUUUUUCUGUCACCAAAACCCCUAAUUUCUCCAUUCACUGAAUUUUCCACUUGUUUUUUUGGUCUUCAUCCGUUUUUCUGUUUCACGAAAUUCAAUUCGCAAUACAGACAAUUGGAAUCGGCGAGGACGAUAUCGAUUCGAGGCCAUGUUGCGCCAGAGAUCCAGAAAAGGCCCGUUGCCUCCGGCUCAGGAGGUAUUUGUCGCUGUUUGUAUAAAUGGGUUUCUUUUUUCUCCCCAAUUUGUUGAUCGCGAUUUUUAGAUUUGAAACUGUUGGGUUGCAUUAUCUAUUUGGUUAAUUCGUCGGCUUCUCGUUACUUUUGUUAUGCAUUUUUGUAAACGAGUAACGUGGAGUCGUCUGUAUGGUUGCCCAGAAAAUUAAGGAAGCGAAGAACACGAAAUGAUAUUUUUUUUGUUUUUUUUUUGUUGGGGUACACUUUCUGCUCUUUCUUUCAUAAGAGAAUAAAGCGAGUCAGCUUGUUUACUUUUUAACUUUGGUUUAUUUGAGUUCUUUCGGGCUUACUCGAUCACGAGGUUUGUGGGCAUUGAUGUGAUUGGCAGGAAUCAGAGAUUAGUCUGCUUCCCCCAGAGUCUUCUGAGUAUGAAAAAGGGAAAAUGAAAAGGAGGAGGAAAGGACUAAUUUGGCUUAUUACAUCCUUUUUUAGUGUUACUUUUAUUGGAAACAAAUAAAGAAAAAUAAAGGGUCAGUUUUGUUCUGUUUUUAAGUAUUUGUUGUCAUCCAAAAUGCGAAGUAAAUGAUCAUGGAUUGGAAGUUUGUUCAUCAUCUUUGCAAACUGUUUUCUUCAUUGCGUGGCAUAUUACUUGGGGAUGCUGAAAAAAGGCUUUUGUUUUCUGUUCAUUUAAUUUUUUUAAAUAAAUUUGGAAAUUCUUGUCUGAAAAUGAAGCUAAACUCGAUAUAAAUUUUAGUUUUUUUUUUCCUCUUAUUUUCCUAUGAUUUCCAGAAACGAAACAGAGCUUAGAUCAAAUGUGGGGAUGUUGAAGCUGAAAGUUAAUAUCAAUUGUUUUGGAGACCUUGUCAAUUUAAAACAAUCUAGUUUGAACUUAGGGGUCUUUUUUUUUUUUUCAUAGGCAAGUCUUGGGUUUAUUAUGUCAAAAUAUUGUGUGAAUGGCCGAAUUCCUUGGCCUUGAGUUUUGUAUAUUAUAUAUAGACUUUACAAGGAUGCUAUACAUGGAAAGCAAAUAAAAGCAAAUAAAUUCCCUCAUGAUUCUAGUCCUAUACAUGUAAACUAUAAUCUGUCAAAUAAUAUAUGCUAACUGUACAGAAUAAUAAAUGGAGAAAUAAGGAAACAAUUGUAGGCUAAAAUAAGGAAAGAAGUGUGGGUUAAAAUAAGGAAAGAAGUGUGGAUAGCAAAGCUGUCCUUAGACAUAUUAUAAGUAAUGAAACUAUCUGAACUUUCUUGUUACUCCCUUUUUUUGAGGUUUUGUUUCUGGUCAUAGAGGUUUUUAUUUGAUUAGGAAGAAGAUCUCUGGCCGCCUUACAAUUUUUUUGUCUGUUAAAUGCAGCAUAUUGAUAAAUUAGAGAAAACUGUGAAUGAUGGUGAUUACUAUGGAGCUCAACAGAUGUACAAGUCAAUUAGUGCAAGGUAUUGGUUGUGAUAUUUCUUAACUAUCUAUUUCCUUUUUAUUUCUACUUAUAUUUCAUUUUCUGUUUAAUAAUUUUUUAUUGGGGGUAUGGAAUUAUUCUGAAGUCUUGGUAGUUGGUAAAUAUGGUAUUUCCUUUUUUAGUUGAUGAUCCUCAAUAGAUUUAAUUGAGGGGUUGUACUCUAAUUUCUAGAUUGGGGCUGUAAUUGAGGGUUGUUUCUUUUUGUUUCCUCACAUGUUUACUUCUUGUGUAUUAUGAUCACCUCUUGUUGAUUGACAUUUUUAAUAUAUAUAUAUAAUGCUUAUUUGUCUAUCAAAAAAUGGAUCACAAUUCUCUAUCACUUAAGUAAGAUAAUGCAUGUGUAGGGCUGCGGCCCAUGUACAGUCGUAGUAGAUGUGGUAUGCCUGUACAUACUGUUGUCAAUGUAGCAAUAAUGCUAAUCGCCAACAAUUAAGGGGAGGGAUUAGUUUUGUGUGUUUGCCUCGCUAUUUGGCAAAUCCUUUUGAAUUGCAUUGUAUAUGUCCUGUGUACCUUAGUGCAUAACUCCUUUUAGAAUUUUAAAAUAUAUUCUUGCUUAUGAAAAAAAGCCAGUGCAAAUUGCCAGAUAAAUAAUGUGAGCUCAAAGAAUUUUAUACAUUUGUUUUCUUGAGAGGUCUUUAUUUGUCACAAUCAUUUGAACUGACUCUAUUGUUUUUGAAUUUGUGCAUGCUGAUGAAAUAUGAAUAACCACAGAUAUGCAUCUGCUGAAAGGUGCUAUGAGGCCUUGGAUAUCCUUGAGUCAGGUGCUUGCAUCCAGUUGGAAAAAGGACAGGUUAUACUAUUUGUAGUUAAAAAUUUCCCAUGUUAUAGAAUGAGGUUGUGUUGAAGUUGCUAAUAACCAUGCUAUACCUAUUUUUUACUUUUUCUUGGAAUGUUCCUGGGUCCUUUUGCAAUUUCUCUCUAAGCUUACAUGUGUUAAAAUAGAUGAUGUUACUUGCUAGAUAGCAUGCUUGUUAUAGUAUGCCAAGUUAUUUUUAUCUUUUUCUUCAUAUAUUUUUCCUUUCUUCGCAAAAAGAAAAGCAGUUGGAUUAUACCUAUCAAAAAAAAAAAAAAAA
This 131948-nucleotide long non-coding RNA is filed under the name Vitis vinifera (wine grape). Its description in RNAcentral is "long non-coding RNA (VVIN_LNC004063)". Lineage: Eukaryota; Viridiplantae; Streptophyta; Magnoliopsida; Vitales; Vitaceae. The record is from RNAcentral.